RNAcentral lists this long non-coding RNA (109954 nucleotides) under Coffea arabica (coffee). RNAcentral describes it as "long non-coding RNA (CARA_LNC004541)". The record is from RNAcentral. Lineage: Eukaryota; Viridiplantae; Streptophyta; Magnoliopsida; Gentianales; Rubiaceae.
GAGAAGGGGUGAAAGGAUUCACCCGUCUUCGACGUGUUUCCGGUGGCAAUUCCUGCCGCCGGUGGGUUGUUUUUGGGACCUUCCGCGGCCCAUAAGGGGGUUAAGAAGCGAAGCAAUUCUCAUCUCUCUGCAUUCGCAGCUGCGGCAGUAGAGGAAGGCAAAGAAACAAGGGCUUUCACUAGGGUUGGCCAGCUAAACCAACGAGAGCUCUCUUGUCGCCUCUCUUCUCUAAUUUCUUGCCUAGUUCCUCAGGUGGGCAAAUAUAGAGUCGAUGUAGGGUAAAAUGGUCAAUUUAGAUUGUCCUCCGGCUCUUCAAUCUGACGGCUGUGACCCGCUUGAUGGAAGGAUUACGUGUCAAGAUCGUCGAUGGGUACUAACUGCAGCGUUUGGAUUAUGUGAAUGAUUGGGCGAGACACGUGUGCGACACAUGCGGUAAACGAGCAGAGGUAAGCGAGUAAAACACUUUGAAACCAACUUGUUGUGUUAUCGAAAUUACUUUUUUGUCCUUCUUGUCACCAUGUUUUAUAUGUACAUAAUAUUUAUAUUAAGGCACAGAAUAGGAAAAAAAAAUUAUUAUAUUAGUAAUACAUAUAAUAUGAUGCAAUUGUAGUCCAAGAAAAAGAUGACAAUUACAGAAGUGCCACGUCUACGAUGUGGGUGGAAUUGAGGUGGGGGCAACAUCGUCAACGUCUAAAGUUUGUGCAAUUUUGGGAAUGUAUGAUGGCAAAGGUUGAAUGAGGAUGUAUGUGACCAUGCUGGCUAGUUUAAUCGUAAAAGCAUCAAAGUUCUCUUUGACAAAAAAAAAAAAUAAAUAAAUAAAUAAAGGACAACCUUAAUGGAAGAAAGUAGUACUUAUAAUUUUAUAAAUUUCAUUUAGAGAUUGUUUGGGUAAAAAAUAGUUGCGAAUUUGACUGGUUUUAUAGUUAGUGUUAUACAAGUCAACGAACAAUUCAUUGGUGAAAUUUCAAAAGCUGAAAUGUUCAAUGAAUUGUGAGAUGAUAUUCAAAUUCAUGGUGUUGUCUUAUCAAAUUCUUUUCUAAACUUUUUUGAUCCGUUGCUAGCACCAUUGUGAAACUUGUAAUUAAUUUUUGGGAUAAUUUCAGAAAUCUCCCCAGAAGUUUCUGACAAAGUUCCUGUGAGGUUUGAAAAAUUACAUAUAUCUCCGUUGUCAUUUAAAAUGACAAUACUACCCUUAAAUAUUUUAAUAAAAUUCUGUUGUUUGAUAUGCUUAUAUUUAGAAUGACUUUAAAAUAAUUUUUUUCAUUCUUUUUCCUUUUUAUUUUAAUUUUUUACCAAUAAAAUUAUAAAAUUACCACUAUUAGUACAUGCAUCUAUGAUUAACCGAGCAAAAUUAGAAUUAACCAUUUGAAAUCAAGAACAUGGCCUUUAACCAUGUUGGGCUGCAAACUUGGAAAGCAAACAUUUGUUGGCUUAGUGUAUAGCAUGUAGCAGGUAUGGAGGAGGAACAUAGUAUCUGAAGCUAGUUAAUCAUUAUUUGCUUGAUAUAGAUGUCGAGUAUAGAAGAUCCGGAGCCAUUAAUUAAGGUUUAUGUUGAUAUGUUCUUCAUUUUGCCUGGGCAUUCUUUUUUUUUUCUUCUUUUACUUCUUCAGGGAGAGGGGCUGGCUGAGGUAAGGACAGGGAAGAGUGAAUAACCUUUGGCUGCAGUUCAAUUUGUGUUCGAUUUUCACCAUUUAAAAGUUACACAAGGCACAAGUAGCGUCAAAGUAAGCAAGUACAACAAAAAGCAUGUAAUGACUUGAGAAAUUGAAAUAUCAAAGAUUUGGGAGAUUCAACUUCUGAUUUCCCUGCGCAACAGGUAAGGCACAAAAGACAGAACAAGUUACAGAAAUAGCCAAACGAAGUUGCACGAAUCCAGGACCUAGUGGACUAGUAUUGGCAUAUGAACAAAGAAAAUUUGAAGGAAAGCAAGGUAUCAAUUUAUCAUUCCCUGUCUUACAUGCAUGGCUGCAAAUAUAAACGACGAUGGUCCAAAUGGUCCACCGCAGUGCGCUGCAGAUUAUGUCUCUCACAAGUGUCAUGCUGCCCACUACUAACUUGCACCAGGGACCAGAAUCUAGAAGUGAAUACUUUGUUACAGAAGAAAGAACGACGAACGCAUAAAAAGUGAGGAUGAGAGACAUUGCCAAUUCUAUUCAUAAUCUUGCGAGUUCUUAUUUAUUGUCCGCCAUUGUGCUUCAAUCAUCUAUGAAAAUGCUUCCAAAUCAUCAAAAAGUUUGUGAAGAAACAGAAUGGAAAUAUUUGAAUGGAAACCGUGCUACUGCACAAUAGAACGUCGUACAUUUUGCGUUUUAACUCAGAAAAUGAAAGAGAGACGAGUUUCUUCAAGUGAGGGUGGUAUGAAGAGAAUUUUGAACUCAAGAAGAAAAACCUGUGCACAUAAAUUAGGUCCUCCUCCCACUAAAAUGAGAAGGCAAAUAAGAAACAUGGAAACAUUUCAAUGGAAUCCAUACUACUGUACAACCUCUUAAUGGAAGCAAGCACAGAGCUCAUAACAAAAAUUAACAGAUAGGUAAAUUUGCCAAGAAGUGAACUUUUCAUUUUUUGUAAAUUUUUGGCUCAAUCUCUAUGAAACAGGUUCAAUGUCCUUCAGGAGCCCUACUACUUGUUGCAUACUUGGUCGCUUUGAGGGAAGGUCAGCAGUGCACAAAUAUCCAAUCUUCAGAGCUUCCACCAUUUGAGUCUCUAGUCCAGUACCAUGGAUUUUUGGAUCAAUAGCUCUUGACCCUACAUUCUUCCUCACUAAUCCUCUCACCCAACUAACUAAAGUUGCUUCCUUUUCAUCUGGAUAAUCAUCGUCUACAGGCUUUUUCCCAGUGAUCAGCUCAAAAAGAAUGACUCCAAAUCCAUAGACAUCAGACUUAGGUGUUGGAUUCUUAGGGGAUCCAAUCUGUGGGUCAAGAAAUUCUGGCGGCACAUAUCCUGCAGACCCACGAGCAAUCUCAUCCUCCAGACCAUUGCCAAAAAUUUUAGCAAGUCCGAAAUCAGAUAAUCUUGGUUCCAAAUUCAGAUCAAGAUAGACACUGCUUGCUUUGACAUCUCGAUGUAUAAUAGGAGGAGAACAGCCAUGGUGGAGAAAUGCCAGCGCACGCGCUGUGCCAAGUGCAAUUUUGUACCUAAAUCUCCAAGUUGUUAACAAUCCUUCGGAGCCAAUGUUUUGAAUGGAAUUGUUAUCAUCUUCUUCCCACGUGUCUGUGCUCCAGUCUUCUGUAGCUUGAACCCCCAGUGGGAGGUCAUGAAGCAAAUUUUGCAAGUUUCCAUUCUCCAUAUAGUCAUAUAUAGCAAUCCUUUGCUCUCCAGCCAAGCAGUAUCCAGUCAAUGGGACAAGAUUGGGAUGUUUUAUUCGACCAAGAUACUCAAGCUCUCUAGCAGCUUCUUGGUCAGUCAUGGUCGAUCCAUGAACCAAAACUUUGACAGCUACAUGAAUCCCACCAGACAAGAAUCCUCUAUACACUGGUCCAAACUUACCUUCAGCCAACAAUGUGCCACGGUCAAAAUGAGAAGUUGCAGACAAGAGGUCUGCAAAUGUGAAAUUCAACAGAGGCUUUUCAAAUAUAACUACUGGGACAGAUGUUGCUUGCUUAACAUCGGCAACCCAAGUGGUUGAAUCCGUCUGGAAUGAAAAGGGGCCAGAUAUAUUCUGUUCUUCUUUGUAAGAAUUCUGUUUCACUUCCCACAUUCUGGUUUUCCUUCGACAACCAAAGGCUAAAAACAGCAAUCCCAAAAGCAAAAAGACCAUGGAGAUGGUUAACACCACGGCAAGCUUGAGGCCCCGAUGCUUUUGAGUUCUUCUCUUGAAAAGAUCAGGAUUUGCGGCAAUUGGACAGCUGUUCAAUGAGCCGAUGAAAGCUGAAUUGAGGGUUUCAGGGGAGAAUUCUGAGGCACAAAGGGUAAGGUUGUUGUAAGAGAAAUUAAACCUCUCCAUCCAUGGUAGCUUGUCUAUGAGCUUCAUUGGGAUGUCACCACUUAUAUUGUUAUAGGAAAGAUCUAGUACUUGGAGUUUUUGGAUGCUUAAAAGAGGAAUAUGGCCACUAAGAUGGUUCCUAGAGAGAUCAAGUGUCUUCAGAUUACUCAACAUCGAAAUUUCACCAGGCAUUUCGCCAAUCAAAUUACUUGCAGACAAAUUCAGAUACUCUAAACCAGAAAGCAUACCAAUGUGCAGCAACUGUUCUUUGGAAAAUCUGUUGUGUGCAAGAUUAAGGUGUCUGAGAUUCUGAGCUUCAUUUAAGUCGUUGAAAAACUCUCCACUAAGCUGAUUCUCAGAUAAAUCCACAUAAACCAAGCGAGACAAGCUGAAACUGGAGAUAGAAUUUACCUGAGAAAUGUGACCUUGAAACUGAUUUCUGCUCAAAUCAAGCACUUCCAAUGGCCCCUCAAAAAGACCAACAACUGAACCUUGAAAAUAGUUUCCUGAAAUAUUGAGAUAGGUAAUUGAUGUCAGCCCCAAAAAAUCUGAUUCUUUUCCAGUGAAGCCAUUUCCAGCAAUGUUCAAAUAUCUCAACUUUGGAAAUGAAGCACCAAAACCAUCACGAAGAGAACCAUUGAACUUGUUCCCCGAAAGAUCAAGCGAAACCAAAGAACGGCAUUGCAGGAUCCCCAGAGGCAUGCUAAACUCAAACCCAUUUCGGUCGAGUUUUAGAACUCGUAAGCUUCCAAGGGAGCUUAUAGCUUCAGGGAUACUGCCAGAAAAUUGGUUAGAAGAAAGGUCCAAGAUUUCAAGUUGGCCAAAAUUACCAAUGUUGCUAGGAAGGUCCCCUGAAAGAUAGUUAAAUGAAAGAUUAAGGCUCUUGAGUGAACCUAAACUCCAAAAAUCAGAAGGCAAACCAGUGAUUUUAUUAUUGCUCAGAUCCAAAGAUUCAAGCUUUACAAGUUUGCCAAUGGUAGAAUCAGGGAUUACACCCGAAAGACCCCACCCUGAAGCUACCAACUUGACAACAUUUUCUUCAUUGGCAGCACAAAAGACACCAGGCCAUGAACAAAAGGGGGCAGAAAAGUUGUAGAUAUCGGAAGAAUUUAAACCCAUUUUCUGCAAGAAAUCAGAGACAAAGGAUUCAUCUGUAUUGGGUUGCUGACAAACCAAAGGCCUGAAGAACAGUGUUAGAAUAAAAAAAGAGCUAAAAAAACUAAAACCCAUUUGGAAAUGAGGCCUUAAACUAGCAACCAAGAAACAGAAAAAAAGGUAAAAAACACCAGCAGAACUCCCCCCAAAGUCACUUCAAACGACUAAUCUUUUUUAGCCUCUCUGCAGCAUAAAGGGCAGUGAAAGAUCACUAUUUUUUCUGACUUCUGGAACACCAACAUUAAUUCCAUAACCACCCCCCAACCUCUCAACAGAAACUCCAGUGAGGAAGUGGUAUUCAGCUUUCAAGGGAAUAUUACCACUGGGCAAAAGGAACCAACCACUUUUGCCUCAACUUUGUGGUGGUCUUUUUGUGCCCAUAACCCCAGAAAGUGCAGUGAGCAGCACAUGACUGGAGACUCUUUAUCAAGAACAAAAAUGGGAUUUUAUUAUUGUUUUCCCUGAGAGAGGGAACAAAAGUUGUAAGUGUAUGGGGAUGGUCUUGAGAGAAUGAACGUGAGCAUUGUUUCUUCUGGGCUUGCAGUUUCACUCAAUUACAAGGGGGACAGAAAACCACCACUAAAAGCGGUUUUGUUUAAGUCAAAAUCAAGACUGGCUCACACAAUUAUCCCAAAAGAAACAAAUAUCAAACACUGAAAGAAAUUUGCCAGACUACCUUAAAACAAGCGAGAGUGAACUCAGUGAAAUGGGGUGUUGUUUGUUGGGAGGAGAAAAUUGACAGUGCUGUACGGCUGUAUGGAGUGGUGAGAAGUUGGGCUUAAUAAAUGACAAAGGAUUGAAAGAAAAUGUCUUUUUGGUUGGUGGAAUUUAUCAAAGGGCUGUUGGCAAAUGAUUCAAUUAUUUUUUUCCCCCACAUUUCUGAUAAGAACAAUGCAUUGAUUCUGCAUUUAAGAUAGUGGCAUCUGUUUCCAAAAUAAAUCCCAUCAAUUAGUCCCUUUUGGUGAAGUAAUUUUGGGGAGUCAAUAAAGAUGUGGCAAAAAGGACAAAAUAAAACUACUUUUCAUUGCUAUAUCUACCGGUUAGAAUUCUCUACAAUUUUUGUUAGGCAAGCAUAAAUUUAGAAUUGUAGAUAUUUUUUAGACAAAUUGCAAAUACCACUGUAUUAUCUAAUUAGAUAACAAGUACAAAAUUUUGGGUUGUUUACCUUCCAAAAUAAUUCCCCAUUUUUUUAUGGAUAUAAUAGGGAAAGUUAAUCACAAAAAAUCUGUUUCCAAUUUUAACUUACCUUUUUUUUGUAAUAUUUAGUUGGAAUUCCAACUUUCAAGGAUGUCGUUACAAUGCAAACUUCAGUAUUUAGAUGCAGAUAUGAACUUGAAGCAAUUGAGUGUUUAUAGACAAAAAUCCAGAGGCUUUGGACUAGUGAUAAUCCAUGAAAAUUUGGACACAAUAGUGAAUUUAUUGUCUUAUUUAAUUUUAUCCUUAUUAGUCCUUAAAUAAUAAAAAUAAUAAUAGUGGUAAGUAACUUAGGUCGAAAGGCAUUUUUGACACUUAAUAUUAGCGGCUUGUAAAAGGCAACAAAUUGGCCAACACAUAUCAUGACAGGGAGAAAUUGGUUCACCAUUAUAAAAAGUCAAGAAUUUGAUCUCUUAUUAUUAUUAUUAGUGAGUGUAUAGCAUUUACCAUUCGCCAUGUGAGUGCUGAUUAUUUUAGCCUCCAAAUAGAAGAAGAUAUUCUUUUUUCUGUCAAGAGAUAGAAACACACACCCAAUUAGAUCAGAAACACCCAGGAGGUUAACGGUUAGAGGACCCAAUUAAGAGUAAUUUAAGGGAAACUCACAAGAAACCCAAUUAGAUUAGAAGAAGAUAUUCAAUUCAUUCAAUUAUGAGAAUUAUUAGCAGAGAUUGUCUGUACUGUACCGUAUAACAUGUUUGGUUGGUCCUUUUGUACAUGAACCAUUACGUAUCAAAGUGUGCUUGUUCUUCUUUACUUGAUUUUUGGUACAAUACUUUAUAUGAAAGGUAGAGAACAUAAAUUGAAGUGGGCAGGGCGGUUGUUUUAGUUGACUUCUAAGUUCUGCCCGUGACAUUUUUCCUCAAGAUAUGUAUUAUAUAAUUUAUGGCAAGGUUGGCCCUGAUGGACUAAAGUUUAAAAGAAGAUAUGUUUCUUGGAAAUGUGAAUAAAUUCCAAAUUCAGGUUAAUUCCUAGAUCAGGAAGUAUGCCCUUUUGCAAUUGUUCAUAACCAUUUGUUGAGAAAGUGGAAGUAAUUUGCUUCUGUUUUCCAACUUGGAUUUUUACCCUCUUCCAUCAGCAUUUGAUGGAAAUUGCGCCAGCAGACCAGGUCAGCGGACCAGUUGCAUUGGGGUCGCCCCAUCAGAACCGUUAGCUUGGUGGACCAGGUUUGACAAAAGUGGUACUUUGUGUUUUAUAUGUCGCUGCAUCGUGCAAGUUAAGGAACCAGACAGAAAUGCAAGGAAAUUUUGAUUUGUCAGUUUUUUAAAAAUAAGAUUUUCAAAUACAAUGUUAUAGUAAUAUACAGAUAAAAAUAAUUAUAAAAAUAUUAAAAACAAUAUCAAAAAGACAAAAAAACCAUCAAAAAUACCAAAAACACAAAAAAUAACCUCAUAAACAAUCUCAUCAAUAGUAAAAAAUUUUCACUUAUAUUACUACAGUUUAAAAACACAUUAAAAAAAAACUAAUCCUCCUUGAAAUUAAAAUAUGAGUAAUUUGAAAUUUUGUUAUAAUUCUCCAAAAGACACUACUGUCCUCCUUGAAGCAAAUCAUGCUCUUUCAAUCUUGUUCUAUUGAUUGCAUUUACCUUUCUAUGCUAAUUGUACAUUCCUGAGAUUUGUAGUUUGAACUUAGUAAGUUCAAAAUUUGUGCUUGUGAUGUUUCAAAUCUCUCAAUCUCGUAUUUGUCAAAGAAAUAAUUAUCAAUGUUCUUCUAGUAUUUAUAUGUAAAAAAAAUGUCUUGCAGUAUAAUCAACCAACAAUAGCGUACGCAAAUGUACUAGGGUUAACUGGUUAUCAUGAUUCUAAUAGUUUUUGCAACUAAAUCCAUCUAUAUACUUUACAUACCGUUUAACUAAAAAAUAAGAACAUUUUUCAAUCGUCUUUUUAUUUUACGUAUAUCAAAUUAUUAUAAUAUAUAUAUAUAUUUUACAAAAUUUUUAGAAAAUAACAAUCCAAACUGGCUCUUGAAUAUCUUAAACGUCUCUACAAGAUUUCAAAUCCUGUGGUUCACAAAUCCUUUGAUAUCAAAUAUCUGUGAGAAUAAUCCAUCCUUUGUGGGAAACUGGAAAUCCCUCAAGCUACGACCAACACAUUCAAGUCAAUAUCAUGAUCUUGAUAAGCCCAAAAAUUGUCUCGUAGAUACCAAACUAUUCAGUCCUUAUGGGCCCCAAGAAGUGAUCACCGAUCAUAAUCUAUAUUCCAACCAUUGACCAUUCGUGGACAGAUAAUUAACCUUAUUAAGGUCUCAUGAUUAAUCAUGUGAAAAUCAAAUUGAUCAUAUGACGCACUUGUCCAUAAACAAUGAAAACAAUGAGUAAUCACCUCUAAUCAAACAAGAGAUUGGACAAUGCCAACCCCUGUUCCAAGUGUUGUGUGGAUGUGAGUGUGUGAGAGAGAAAUUGGUUGGUUUUUUUUUUCUUUUGGUUGAGCACGCCAAGGCCGACAAGAGAUGAAGUGGGGGUGGUGUUUUAAUGAUUUGCAUUGAUUGAGGAAGCUUGAGAAGUGAGAACGAAGAAGAAACCAAUAAAUCAAGAAAUCAAACCGGCAGCACAGCUAAUGAUCAAGGUCAUGUCAUUUGGUCAUGUGCACAAAUUCAAAUGCCGGCAAACUUUUUUAUGGGAUAAUUUCAGAAACCUCCCCUGAGGUUUCUGACAGUCUCAAGGACCUCCCCUGAAGUUCCGAAAAUCCCUUAUACCUCCCCUAAAACUAAGUAGAUAGUUUCAGGUCCAACCCAAUUGAGGUGGACAAUGAAUAUAAAAUGUGUUUCAGGAGAAAGAAAAUAAUCAAAUUCCACCUCUGCCCUCAAGAUUGUCAUUAGUGAGGAUGUUUAUGUUGAAAAUUUCAAUGGAAUCUAGUUCCUUUGAAAUUGCGGGGGGUGUAUGUGAAACUGAUGGAAAAAGGUAAAGCUGUAUUGCAAGAAAUUGUCUUCUAGUUCAUGCCAACGGCUCUCAAAGUAGUUCUUUGUAACGGUAAUAAGAAACAGUAGUGUUGCUUUGGAGCUCUAUAUAAUUGCCUACUGAAGUUGCAAGAGAAACCAGUGAAUGUUGUUGGGUUGUGACUGAGGUUUCUGCAAAAGUGCUCAUACAGUGAAUGUUGUUGGGUUGUGACUGAGGUUUCUGCAAAAGUGCUCAUACAAGUAGCAAAGCUGAACUACGUACAAACAGAUACACAUGGCUUCUUCAAGCCUGGCAGAUUCAUCAUGGAAUUCACCAACUUCAUUUUCAAUAAGAAAUAGAUAUUGCUAUUGUCAUCGGAAAGCAAGUAUUAAGAUUUCUGAGAGCAGGAGGAAUCCGAACAAGCUCUAUUUCUGUUGCUCAAAUUGCAAAUUCUUUCAGUGGUUCGAAGGACCUGAAGAAGGUGAAGUGAGCAGCCAAAGAACAGAUCAACGUUCAAGCAUGCAAAAGGAGGAUCAUAUACAGUUUGCCAAAGUAGAGCAGUCGAACUCCAGAGAAAUUUCUAAUGUGGUGAUGGUUUUUAAAAAAAUUCUACAAAGGGGGCGUUUAGGGUGUCAUGUUCUGUAAAAGGGAUGUUCGCAUUUGUCAAAUGCGAGUUCAUUGAGAUCGCAUUUGCUAAAUGCGAAUUAUCCCCCAUUUUCCAGCCACCAAGAUCCAAAAAAAAAAAGAAAAAGAAAACAUGACCUCGCAUUUCUUAAAUGCGAGGUCAUGUAUCUCGCAUUUCUUCAAUGCGAGGUCAUGUACCUUGCAUUUAACAAAUGCAAGGUCAUGUACCUCAGUUUCCCAUCAUUGUUUCGUAUGAUGCUUCCAUAUUUUGGCAUGAUUUUUCCUUUUGCUUCAGCUGUAAUGCCAUGUACUCAAUAUAAAUGAUUUAACUGCAAAUUAUAAAAUGAUUUACAAUUUGCAAUGAAAGCGUCUACAAAUUUUAGCAGUUAAGGCUCUAAAUUCAUUAGAACUGGAAAAAAAUUUUAUUUUAAUUCAAUAAAUUUAUUUUAUUUUAUUUUAAUUUCGGCAUUCAAUGGGUUUAAAUUUAUUUUAUCCGAUAAAUAAAUUUCUAUUUAAGGCACCUUGGGUAUUCUGUGAGUAUAAUGGACGAAAGGCAUAAAGAGCUGGUCUUUUAUUCAACAACGGAUUUAUUUUUAUUUUAUCCGAUAAAUAAAUUUCUAUUUAAGGCACCUUGGGUACUAUGUUGUUGUAAUAGAGAAAAGCCAUAAAGAGCUGGUUUUUUAUUCAACAACGAGUUAAUUUUUAUUAUAUCUAAUAACUAAAUUUUUGUUUAAGAAAAAUGGGUACUCUGUUCUUAUAAUGAAUGAAAGCUUUGAAAAGUGGGGCUCUUUUAUUCAACAACGGGUUUAUUUUAUGUUAUCCGACAAAUAAAUUAGUAUUUAAGGAAAAUGGGUACUCUGUAAGUAUAAUGGACGAAAGCCAUAAAGAGCUGGUCUUUUAUUCAACAAUGGGUUUAAAUUUAUUUUAUCCGAUAAAUAAAUUUCUAGAAAAUUUUCUAGGCAAUUUUCUAGGAAUUCGUAUUUAUCGGAUGCAAGAUACAGUCCAACCAAAAAGCUUGCUAGUUUGAUGCAAUUUUUGGCGCCUUUUCUCUUAGCCCAAAUUAGCAAUUCAUUUUAUUAUCAAAUUCCAGUUAAGUUACUUAAUCCUUUCUAUUACUCAUUUCACUAAUUAAUUCAUGUUAUUAUCAGAAUAUAUUACUUCAACAGCAGGGAUAUUUGUGUCAAUUCAACGUUUUUCAAGUCAUUUUGGGACCCAACAAUCUGACAGGGGAGGUAUAAGGGAUUUUCGGAACUUCAGGGGAGGUCCUUGAGACUGUCAGAAACCUCAGGGGAGGUUUCUGAAAUUAUCCCCUUUUUUAUUCUUCAAACUCUAAGUAUUAAUGUUUCUUUUCAACAUCUACUCCAGUCAACUAAAACCGGCUGUAGCUUUCUGAGUUAAUAGUUUAGAGCUGGCUUGAAAACAUAUUUGAAAGAUACCCAUAAAUUGAUCAAAGAAAAGGGUGUAUGUAGUUCUUUUUUCGUUCUCUAGAAGUGGUCUUUGUCAUUAACACAUAUUCUACAUUAUCAACUACGUCGGUGAUUGAUUAUUCUCUUUAAUUUUGUGACGAAAUCAAUCAGGCAAUAAUAAGUUCAUGUAAUUUUUUCAUCACAAACAUCCACACAUACAUAGCUCCGAUUAAUGUUAAUUGGAUUCUGAGAGAGACAAAUAACGUUGCAUAUGAACUUAGGUUUUUUGCGAAAUCUUGUGAGUUGGCAUAUGAACCGCGAAAUUUUGUGGCACAUGAGCUCGCAUUUUUUGCGAAAUCUCUUUAGAAUUUCUCUCCUACUUUUGUCGAGUAAUUCAUGUUGGACAAUUUUUAAAAUAAUGAAAUUUCUCUUUUAUUAAAAAAAAUCAAAGAUGUGUUUACUACGUACCUAUCCUUAUAUGUGCCCCAAAAUUUUUACCUAUUAUCUCAUUCGUGAGUAGCCGAAGUUAUCCUAGUUGAAAAUUGUUGACUCAAUGGAAUAGUUUAGUAAGCUACUUGAUGCAUUUGAACUUAGUGAUUAAAAGGUUGUAUACACAAUUUGACAAUUAAAAGGAGAAUCCAUAGAUUGAACAUGGGUUUAUUCAAUAGCCGGCCGAUCCCAAAAAGGUAUUUGAUCAGGGUCUAAUCUGACAUCCAAAAGUCAAGAGGUCUUUUUAAUUUACUCAACAGGGUCCAACUUAAACACUUGUUUAUGUGAAUCGUACCCACCGGGGUUAAUAUUAUCAUAAGCCUGACUACAGAAUUUUGUGUUGGGGGGAUAAUGCUGAAUAUUUAGACAGUGGUUUGGUUUGACCUUCUCGUUUGCUUGUCUUCAACUAAUACACAAUUAAUUGGUGGUUUCAGGCAAAACUAGUAAAUAAUCUAUCAUUAUGGUGACCUACUCCUACCAUGAGAAAUAUGUCACCGUUUUGUAUCACUAUCCCAGCAAUAAAAUAGUCAGUAUUGAUAACUUGGAAUUAGCUCUCUCUUGUAAUGAUUGAAAUGUGCUUUUCUGAAAUAUUUUGUUAUUGAAUAAAAAUUAACUCAUUCCAAAAAAAAAAAAACUCUGUGAGAUGCAAUGUACUCGUCUCUAAGAGUUCGAGCCCUGUGCUUUGCCUUUUUUGUGCUUGGUUUUUCGUUGAAAACACAAUAUUCUCUCUGUGCCUGUGGUAGUUGCAUCUGCCUGCAUGUUUAUGUCCACUUAUAUUUCCUUUCUGUCUUACUAUACUAGUGUACAUUUUAUGCAUGUAAAAGCAAAUGCUAGCAUUCCAGAACAUUUGUAAUCAUUUUCGAAAGAAAGUCCCUUUAAUUUGAUGAAGCAAAACGCUUGCCUGGAAAGCAAUUAGGAAUAUGAUAAUGAUGGCAGCAGUAAAUAUUCAUGUCGUGGCACCAUUAUUGCUUCCACAUUAUUUCCUUUUCAAAGAUCAUUAAAAGUAUCGAAAUUUAGAUGUUUAUUGUGACUUGGGUAUAUUUAUUUUGAACCUCUUGGCAUAAAAUGUUAAAAAGAAUUAACAUUUAGUAUCUAAUUAUCACUUCUUGCAUUACUAGCUAGUUUCAUUCCACCUAUAUGUUAGUUAUUCUGGGUAAUUUAUUCCUAACCCUUGAUGAGAUUAAACCUGACCUCAAAGAAUACUACAUACUCCCUCCGUCCCACUUUGAUAGUCCCGUUUCUUUUUUCACACAGUUUAAGAAAAAGUAGUUAAUUUUGUUGGAAAAGUAAAUUUAGAUUGCUAUUUUCCUAAAAUACCCUCACAUUAAAUAUGGUACAACUUUAUGGGAACUUGAAUUGAUGGUAAAAAAAGAAUCAAAUCUCAUUAAAUGGGGUAGGUUUAUAGUAACAACUACUUACAUUGAAUAAGGGUAUUUUAGAAAAAUUAAAAUACAACUACAUUCUUCAAUUAGAAAGUGGACUACAAUUUGGGACAGAUGAAAAAGGAAUACAGGACUAUCAAAGUGGGACGGAGGGAAUAUAUAGUAUAUGUUGUGAACUUCAAUCUUGAUUCUUACAGCUUUUACUGUAAAGUUGCUUAGCCAUAAUGAGUAUCACAGAGUCCCAGCGCAAACAAGACUGGUUGGUUAAUGGUUGGACAUAAGAAACCUAUGACUUGGUGAGCAGAAUAAUUCCUUCCACCUCAGCAAUUAAUCCAACAUCUUCAUCAACCACGUUUUGAGGUUUGAGCUGGAUCGGAGUAGCAAAUUAAUGGAUGUGCUUUUUCUUUUUUUGGGUGAAAGCUGGAGUAGCAAGCACGUUUCAUCAUCGAGGUAGCCUUAAUUAGAGUGGGACUGUUUCAGUCUUCACAGACAUACGAUUGAUUAAUAUUAUCCUUAGAUUUCUACACCCAAAAUGUAAAGGUGAAAAUGGUAUGGAAGGAAGACAAGUCUGGAAUGGAAGGAUGUUCCCUGCCUUCAUUAUUUCUAUUGCGUGAGAGUUUCUACUUUCUACUCUUAUCAAUUAUUACUGCCACAUCCACAUGCAGGUAACAUCGCCACUUGACAUAUGUGAUGGUUAUAAGCAAUUAGUCCAUAACUUUUUUUUCCUUUUUUUUUUUCCUAAUGACACAUCUAACCUAGCUACUCUUAUUCCUACUCUAACCUAUUCCAGGGUGGCCCAACUGAGGCACAUCCAGCCUUAGGGUGUAAAUCGGAAUCGAAAUCAGUAAUUCAAAACUUUGAAAUCAGAAUUUCCAACCGAAUUCGAUUUCAAAUUCACCAACUCCGAAUUCGAAUUCGUUCCAAAUUCAAUUCGAAAUUCGAUAAAUUUCAAUUUCACCGAAUUUAGGAAUAUAAAAAUUUUUAUUAUUAUAUAAAUGUUAUAUUACAUAUAUAUAAAUAUUGUGUAUAUAUAUAUGUGAAAAAUGAAUUUGAAAUCGAAAUAGGAAUUCUGAAUCACCAAAUUCAGGAAUAUAAAAAUUAUUAUAAUAAUAUAAAUGUUAUAUUACAUAUAUAAUAUAUAUAUAUAUAUGAAAAAUGAAUUUGAAAUAGGAAUUCUGAAUUCCGAUUUAAAAAAUCCCAUUAUCGAAUUCGAACCAAAUUUGCAUAAUUUGAAAUCAGAAAACCCGAUUUUAGUUCCGAAUUAUUGAUUUCGAAAAUUCCGACGAUAAAUCAAAAUUUUUUGAUUUUGCACACUCCUAUCUAGUCUAACCUACUCCUACUCCAACUUUAACCUACUCUAGGUUGAUUCUAAAUUUAAUUCAAAUUCGGUCGAAUUAUAUCGAAAAUUUUCAAUUUUACACACUCCUAUCUAGCCUAGUCUACUCCUACUCUAGGGGGUAGCCCAAUUGAACCACAUAUAGUUGCACAUUGAUGAGAGGUAAGGAUUGAAUUCUUGACCUCCCACCCCACAAUACUGGUUAAUUAAUCCAUAACUUAAUGUAAAAAGAAAUGUGCAUGCACAAUAAAGCAAGUUCAAUAGAAACGAAGGAAAUAUGAUGAAACAACAAAGUUUACAAUAGAGUAACUAUAUACAAUGUUGUGAAAUUCAGGGGAAAUGACGAGAGUAAAACUAAAGUACUUGGAAAUGGCAAUACUUAUUAUUCAACAGGUUCUAAGCGUUGGAACGUGAGACUUGAUCUCUUUGGUAGUGUUUAAUUUUCUUUGCGGCUAAUUACAACAGUUUCCUAAUGAAUGCGAGUCAUUUGCACUUUUCAACUUUGGAUGCAAACAAAUAGUAGGCACUUUACUCUUGGAAGAACAUUUUAUUUACAUUUCUAAGUUCUAACCAAGAAACCGUUGACCAAUUUGACCGUCGAAUUUGUGUACAAUUCUACCCUCCAUAUGAUGACCCAAAGAAUUUUGUCUUCUUGACCAACUUGUCAAUUGAAACUUGAACUGCAGCAGCUAUCAAUAGCAAAAUCGCAUAACUAUUUAAAUUUGGUAUUUUUUUUAAUCGAAAUGACCAAACAGAGUAGCAUCAAUUUUUAAUGAAAAAUCUAUCAAAACAAUAACUUAUAAAGUUGAACCAUACUUUAUUGCUAAAUCUAAUUUCAUAGGAUCUUAUUGGGUGUUGCGUUGAAACAUGCUCCAAUUAGUAGUUUAAAAAAAAAAAAAAAAAAGAGUAACGAGUCAUAAUGCGUUUUCUCUAUAUAUUUCACUGAGAACACUUUCUAAUGCAUCUUUCGUUUUGCUUAUCGUGGCUCAAUUCUGUUUUUUUUUUUUUCCAUUUUUAUACACAAUAAAUAUUUUCAAUUCUUAUGCUUUUAGUCUUUCUAUUUUCUUUUAAUAACAAAAAUAGUCCUACACCAAACUUACUUUCGAAAGAAUUUUAAAGGGGACCCAACAUUUUUUUCUGAAGGAGGAAGUUAAACUCUACAUCUAGUUCAGAGCAGUGCAAUUCUGCUACUUUGGAUUUAACAUGAUUUGAACUUUCAAUCUAUCAACCUGACAAAACGAGCCCAGUUUUAAAUGCUGGAACUGAAACCAAAAGUCUAAAGUGACUCAAAACGAGAAGUCUAAAGUGCCUAUUUUGUGCAUUUAGGAAGAGAGAGAGAGUGCAAAUGACCCUGACAAAGACAAAAAGUGUAAUUAACCGUGGUUUCCAUCUGUUUAGGUAGACAUGUCGCUCAAUCCUACUGUUUAGCGGAAACUCAUCCGCACGUACACCUUAGAAUUGGUAAAUGCUGCUGUUACUAGUGAUUGCUUUCCUUCUUGUAAUCUCCGAAACUAAUGAUACGGUGAUUUUUAGUCAAUAUGUGAUGUAGGAAAGAGAUUAGUCCGUUUACUUUUCCAUGACAAUCGUACUUGCUUCUAGCAAUUCGGUCAGGACAGAAAUCGUGUUUGCUCUUUGUCGUUGUUUUGCUUAUUGCUUGCCCACUAAAGUACACAUGUCGCUGGCCCAGUUCCCCAUUUCUGUCUAGCGUCCGCAGGACCACAAGUAAGUCCAUCAGCGCUCCAUUGCAAGAUAUUUCUCCACAGUUAGUUGAUUCCUCCUGGUCUCCAUGCGAACAAAAUCCCUACAGUUUAGCUUUUGGCAAAUUGUUAGAACUUACUCAGGUUUAAGCAAGCAUUUUUUUGUGUUGUGUUGCAAGUCAAGCAAGCAGAUGAAAAUAACACUCUACUCUUACAAGAGAACGCCGAGGCUCAAUCAGUAAACAAAACUUCAUGGAGAAAUAAAGGCUGGUAAAUACUCAGCAUCUAUCUCCAGAUAAAUUGCAGAGUCAGCUGUAAACCAGAUAGCCUGGCAGGUCACCCACACAACUAAACACUUGGGAGCUCAGGCAAGUCCCAAAAUACAUAUUUUGCCAACUGCCAAAACAGAUGAUGAAAACUACAUUUAUCGGGUGGGGAAAAAGAAGAAUAGCAUUGACUAAAAAAAUUUGGUCCAUAACGAUUUCGACCACACCCUCAGCUCUGCCCAGCAACAAUCGUUACAGAAAAAUGCAGACAUGCCGCCACUCACUAUACGAGGAAUUCUCUUCAAUUCGACAAAUUCUAGACCUUGUGCUUCCGAGUCAUCAUAUCCUGAAUGGUUGGUUUGCAGAGCUGCAUCGGUCCAACUUUGCUUUCUUUGAUUUUGCCUUGUGCGUCGCAAUUUCUUGGAAAGGAUUGAUUCCAUCAAAUGUGAGCUUGGAGCUUCUAACCUUCUUCCUUUUUCCCUUGUCGUAUUCCUCAUCCCUGCAAAAGUAUAGAUGAUUUGAAAUGGAGACUGCAAUAAGAGAUCAUUCCAUACAAGAAAAACAGCUAAAAGAACAAGUAGGCCUGAAACUUUUAUUUGGUUAAUAAGCCCAAUUUACUUUAAAUAUAUCACGACAGAAAGAGCAGAGAAUUUCGACUCGUCUAUAGCUGGUCUCACAAUUUAAACAGUAGGAAUAUUGGGCUCCCAAGGCAAAAGGAGUGGAACGAACUGAGGAAUUCACUGACAAUUCAUGGGUGGUAGCCAAAGCAGCCAGCAGCAUCCAAUCCAGAUUUUAACAAAUUAAGCUGCAUACUUCUUUUUAAUGAUGUGAACCUUGGUAUUGUAAUUUAUAAAUUAGAAAAAAGUACUAAACACAAAUAUCUCAGUAACUUAUAUUCAACUCACCACUCAUCCCCAAUAUAACCAAUUCUAAGAUUUUCAGCGCCUCUGGAUUCUAGAAUAUCUUCAGAACUUUCAACACCAUCCCAACGUGCAACUGUAAUCAAUCAAAUCAAAAGACAAGUGAUAAUCAGUGCUCCAGCAGGGAGUCCAUGGACAAAAACUAGAUUGAGCUAAAAUACCCUAAAAAGACAAAAUUAUGCAGGUACUCACCAGUUGUCUCUUCCAAACCUCUAGCAGGAAUCUGUAUCAAACCAUUCUCCACCUUUUCACCUUUCUUGUGUGCGGAGCCACAUGAUUUUCCAUUAUCUGAUAACUCUCUGCCCGAUGUGGAAUAAUAACUCUUGCUUGGUUGUGCUUCUGUCAAGGGAACUUUCUCAUGUUGACCAACUUCAUCCCUACGUGGGACGACCUUCACAACCCUUAGAAGUUCACCAUUGUUUGAAGGACUCUUCAAACCUAGAACCUUAUCUUUCUCAUCUGCACUAGAUCUGAGCCUCCUAGGAGGGUAAGCUGAACAGCUUAUAGUUUUGCAGUCCUCAGAAGUAGAUGGCCCGAGAUCUGACAGGAUACGAUUCCCAUCCAGUUUUUUUGGGCAACAAUGUUUGGCCCUGUUUUUCUUCUUUCUCCGUCCCAAGGCUGCUCCUAAAAUGAUGUUUCUGCUAAGAUGCUUGGUUGUAACAACAAGCUUCAAAGGCUUCCUCUUUACUAAAUGCAGCCUGUCAUUAAGGGACUUUUCGCAAAGCAAGUGUUUUGGUGCUGGUUUUCUGCGUGCUAGAUCUUUGCUAUCACGAGCCUUUCGAACACCUACCUCAGCUACACCAGUAUUGUCAGGGAAACAUCCAACCUACAGAAGAUUUGGUUAGAUGUGCAGCAAGAGGGGGAGGGGAAGGCCUAGAAUAAGUGGCUGUCUUUGUAACUUUGUUUAUUGACUAUGCUGGCCAAGUAAAAAUUUGUCACUUAUCUCCAGAUAUGUUAAUUAUCAAAUCAGAAAUGACAAUAUAUAUGGGAAAGAUGCUUGAAAUAGUGUGACAUUCUGCAGAUACAACUGGGCAAGUCAGAUGGCAUAUGUGCAAUUCCAAGAAAGCAGGUAAGAAAAAGAAAUAAAAGCUAAUCACCAUGUUUUCUCAUAAUCUAAGCAAAUCAAGUACCUUUCCAGCAUUAGUCUCCAAAGAAACACAUGUAUCUUGAGGAGGUCUAUGGAGGACAUUGCCAUUAGGUGGUCUGUCAACUGCGUUACUGAGAUCUUUACCAGCGCUCACUUUAAUAUUUCCAUUAGUUGGUAUGACCGCAGAAUCAGUCUCGUUCUUUCCAGCAGAGCUUUGGGAGCCAUUGAUGUCUUCUUGCUUAACAAUAGCAGUAGUCAGUUCUAUGCCACUGCUACUGCCCGAGUUACUAGAAUUCCCAAGAUUAACAAAGCCAUCAGAUCCCUUAGAAGAUGGAAGUGAUUGCACCAAGCAAUCUCCACCAUUUAUAUUUGAUCUGGAAAGGCCAUCCACAGGUGGCACCUUCAGUAAAUUUGCGGCAGGACGGUCUUUCUUUAAGCAUGAUUCUUCAGGAGCUGUUGGGCCAUUAAUUUUCUGAGCAGGAUCCUUUUUCAUUUGAUUUUCGCUUAUGAUGUUAGGAUUCACUACUUCUUUCUGAGCAGCAAUAGCAGAAAAGGAAUCAUUCAACUUUCCCCCAACUGCUCCGUUCGGGAUAUUUUCCUUCGAUCCUUGAUGAAAAUUAGGAUACGUUUUCCUUCCAAAUGUAUUUAUAACCAUACUUUCUUUAUGUACUGCAUCGACAACUUUCUUAGGUGUGGAAUACAUUCCAUCUCGAACAUAAAACAACAUAUAAGCCUUCUGCUCCAAAACCCUCCUCUCACUAACUUGAACAACCUGUAAUUCACGGUGCAUCAGUUUACAAUGCAGAGAAGCCAAAAUUUAUCUAUUCUGCACAAACAUGUGCAAUAGACGACCUAACAAGUAAAAAUGGAAAAUUAAUCCAAUGAUGCAUCACGUGAUGGAGGGCAUAUAAAACUGCAAUAGGCAACUGGACAUGGUUAUCUCCACCAACAUGUGAACCUAGCAAAUCAAGACAAUUACAUUGCACCACAAUUUAAACUGAGAUAGAGGAAUUUGGCAAGAAUUCCGCUUUCCUUAGAAAGAGUUGAUUGUCCAAUGUGACAAGGAGGAAGUCUUUUUUAUCACAAUUCUCUUAAAAAAAGUUAGCUCUUUUGAAACUCUUGAUCUUGAAGCUCAACUAAGACUCUGAUGCUUAAAAGAAUUUUAAAACUCUGUAAAAGAUCAAGCAUUCCAAGUUCCAUUCAUUAGGUCCUUAAAUUCAUUCCGUAACUGUUCCGAAACUAAAAGCAUUAAACAGUUAUGUUACCAUAAUGCAGCAUUAACUGUUCCAUUUAUUGACUGACAUGGUCUGGCCGCAUGAAUUGCCCAGCCCAUUGCAAAGAUCCACCACUUUCUCUGUGGACAGACUGAAGCUACUAGAAUUUGAUUUAUUGGGAAUCAGAUUUAUAGGUUGUAAGUUGCAUUUGCCAGCAAAACCACAAACCAAAAUGCAACAUUAAAGAAAGCAACCCAUAAUGAAGAAAACCGUGCUGCUUGGAUUCCACCAAGUUCACCUCUUUAAAGACUGAGUCAUAAAGACCAAAAAAUAAUAAUCUAUGAGUUGAACAGAUUUGACCAGCUAGUUCAUGUUAUGAAGCUGGGGAGGACCAAUCAUGAAAUAAUAGCAAACCCCAAACAAAUCAUUCAGCAACCCUGAUUCAUGCAAUAUGUUUCCUGUUCUUUUUAGCACAUUGACACCCAAAAGUUCCAAACUGCCCACCAUCCAAAGGAGGUUUCAAAUAUUAAAAUAAAAAAGGUGCAUCUCCAAAUAUCUGCUUUGGUACAAGUUACUUCAAUUUCCCACCAAAGAAAAUAACACGUCCACCAGCUCUGUCAAUCAAUUUUCAGGUCAUACACAAUUAAUGUGGAAAUUUAUAGCACUAAUAAGACCUUAAUCCAACAAGGAAAGAGAUCCACAAAUACUAGGAGAAAUGAUAGGUCCUAAGUUCUGUAAUUGGCAGAAGAAACUGAUGACAAAAUUGAUACAUCCUGAUACCUGGUUGUCGUCAAGAGAGUACCACACGCCACUUGAUGUCCGAACAAAGCAGUAGUAAUGACCAGAAUGAGUGCUCCAACCAGCAUGAACCAGAACACCAUAGAGAGUAUAUUUCAAUUCCCCAUCCUGCAAUGAAUUAAGAAAAGAAAGCAAUAGUUAACAACGGAAAACCCAAGAUAUACAAAAAAACAACGGAACAAUACACAAAGUGAAAAUGUGUUGAUAUAGACAUGCAAAAGCAUUUCAAGCUUUUUCAUUUUCUAAACACUAAUAGCAGAACACAUGCACUAGGCUGGCUUUACUCAUCUAUUAUUAGAAAUAGCACUGAACUGUACAAUUCAGCAUCUCAAUAUUCAUCUCAUUCAGCAUCACCCUUCAAAAUAAAAAUUGUGGAAUGUCUAUCAUGCAAAAGAUAAUUGAUAACCCAUCAUAAGAACAGAAAUCACACCUAUAACCUAGUAACAUUUUUCUGGUUUCGUGGAAUCAGUCGAAGAGUUUAAAACAUUUAAUCCCUCUGUCCCAUAUAUAUUUGGCCUUCUUGUAAUUUAGUCUAAAUGUAUGAAAGGCUCAAAACAUUUGAUAAGUGCAUGAUCUUUGUUGGUAAACAGCGGAAAAUAGUUUUGGAAUAAUUGUAGAAGGAUAUAUAGCCAAUAGAAACAGGAAAAUAGUAGAAAUCAGUAAAAUAAGAUCACCAAAAGUCGUUUUUGGAAACAGUUUCAUAUUACCAUGGCAUGCAAAAACAGGAAAGUAACUUCAACAAUACAAAAAUUAAGCAGCAGUAGAGCACAUACAGUAACCACAGCAAGAAGUUAAAGAUGCAAUAUCUGCUCAACAUGCUUUUUCUUUGUUAUUACUUCAAAACUAUUAAGAGUGUAACACUCCUUAAAAUGCUUUUGUAAUUUGUUGAGUGCAUUAACUUAUUCACUCCAUGUCACAUAUUUAGGCACAAGAUACGCCUGAGAAAAGAACAGAUAAAAACUUAUAUAUAGACAUUUUAGUGGAAGUAUACAACAUUCUCGGACUAUAUGCUUACUACUCUUAGAAAGUAUCUACUACUUACAUAUGGACCAGUCACGAAAGGUUUUAAGUCCAAUGAAGGGCCAAACUCAACUUUUCUGUCAAUCUUCUGGCCAGGCAUAUGAGAACCAAAACGCUUCAAGUGGAUUGCAAGGACAUUGGGUGCCUUGUAAACAGUCAGCUGCUUAAGAGCCUUGACUUUUUGCUCGCAUUGUUGGCACUGAUAUUGCCUCUCCCCUCCAUCUAACUGCUCUUUGGCAGUAAAAUAAGCUAGUGCCUUGUAUAAUGAGUCUGCCUUCACUAUCUCAAGACUUAAAUCCAAGAAUGGAUCAAACUUGUUUGAGCAAAACGAACACUGCAUGCAUUUCACCUGUAAAAAUAUAAGAAGACUAAUAAACCUUCUGGUACUCAUAUGCUAAAAAACACAAUCAAAUCUUGAUCUUUCAGCAUCAAAAAAUUUUUUAAAAAAAUUAUCAUGUUUCCCAAAGUGAGACUGACUCUCUGAUUCUCUCUGUAGCCAAUUAUCUAAUACCCUAAGCAAAAAAGGAGCUAAGCAAGACAUAUUUACCUGACUACGAAGGCGACCACCAAAUAUCUUAUGGACCAAACUUUUCUCGUAAGCACUGGGUGACUCGCUCGGCACUCCUGAAGGCAAGCAGCAUUUGUGCAUCGAUUCUAAUAAAUUGACCAUGUACUCAUGAGCAUCCUCUUGUCUAGCAUUUCUAAAGUUCCGAGAUAUGCCUAAAUAACUGUCAAGGAUCCAAACUCAACUCAAAAAUCUAGAGCCUAAGAAAUUCCACUACAGUGAGGAGAAUGCCAAAUUAAAGGCAUAUAGUAAUUUCAAGUUGGAUAACAGACAAGUUUUAAUGUAAAAGAAGGAACAAAGAGCCAAAAAAAAAGUAGAAACUAAGAUCACCAACGAUGCUAAAAAGUCAAGACAAACAGUAUCAAACUGCUAUAACAGGAAACUUAUUGAACUAAAUUGAGAUAAGAUGAUAUUACAAGCCGAUGAAGAAAAACCUACAACAUCACAAGAAGUCUAGCGAACACAUUAUAAGCAAAAAAUUCAGGAUACACCGCAAGUUUGAUACAAGAUCUUUCGGAGCCAAUACCGUUCCUGUCGAUUCCAGAGCUCGGUUCACAUGUUUCUGAAUGGCACAUAAAGCACAAAACCCAGCAAUAUGACCUUCAUAGCAUCAUGUCAAAGAUGCAAAAAAUCAGAAUCCAAUGAUUGACCUUUUUGAAAGUGAACGCCAGAUGUAAAACAGGGCUCAAGAAAAAUAUAAGCCACCAAAAUGAGCCAUGAGAAGGAAAAAAAAUGAUGAACCAGAAAGAACUAAUGCAGACAAGCUCUACAAGUCAGCAAGCAUGUUUGUUGUAGGACCGCCAAACAUUCAGUUAACAUGAUUUAUUAUAUUUGGCCAUAAGAUCUAAGAGAUGCUACGGUUCAAAAGAAUUGAUAGCGCAAAUGACAAGAAAAGUGCAAGUAGAGAAAUUAGGAUGAAUUUUUACAAAAGUAGAAAGACGAAAGACUCAGUCUAGCCCUGCCAGAAGUUAUACGCAUCACAUAGAAAAUCACACAAGAAGACUCAAGAAGCUGCAGAACAACAAUUAUCACAAAGUGCAAGAAGACUCAAGAUGGUAAUUUGCACUGUCUACGUCUCAUCCUUAGGCAUUCCUUGAACAUCAAACAAUUCUAACAUAUUCUUGGUAUUAAUUCACUACAUCCCUCAUUGUCAGACCUUCCAUUUUUACCUGGAACCAUAUUCAAUCAUUUAAUUGUUCAUAACUCUUGUGUCUCUUUCACUUUAGGUUUUACAAGCACAUCUGAGGUGUCCGUCGAAGUUAUCUCACCUUCAGAUAUCUUUUUCCGCAGAUGAUAAAACAGCACAUAUCAAAAUACAUCAUUCAGAAUAAAAUAACAAACAUAAUCAGGAAUUCCUCAUACACACAUUCUAUAUGCUUCAUGUUGGUAAUCGUAUGAUAAAGAAAAUGUAAGAAAAAGAGAGAGUGUCUCACAGGAUAUUUUAUGCCGACCACUUUGUAAAUAAGCUGCCAAGGGCUCAGUGUAUGUCAGACACUGUAAUACAGAAUUGAGAAAACAAGUAUUUCCAAGAUUUUGCAAGCCAGCACCCUGUCAUUAAUCAUAGUUACGCUCCAUUAUAGCGUCAAAAGAAAACCAUGAUUCCAAAUGCUAAACAAAAUAGAAAAAUAAUACCAAUAAAUAUACUCACGAUAUCCCGAUUUCAGGUGAGUGUAAUUCAUGAUUUGUGUAUAACAUCAACAAUACUUUCACGCUAACAAGAACCACCUACUCAGAAGAAUCAAUGAUGAAAAUAGGUUUAACACGUACCACUGAUAUGAUUGACGAAAUUUAAAAAGUUACACUAUAGUGCAUGAAUAUUGCAGAGUGAAAAGGCCAAAUGUACACACUUUAUAAUUCACACUUGUAUGAAUUUCCCUUUUCCAACCUCGGCAAAGACAUGCACAAACAAGAAUUCAAAUUUGCUAUUCGAGGUUUACUAGAGGCUUGCCAUAUAAGAACUUCAUUGUUUCACCAAUCCAGCUUAUGCUAAGUUUCCACUCAUUAGAAAGUCUAAAUGCUUAGCAUCAGUUACAAUAAAUUUCCGAUACAUAAACAGAACCCAGAACUUCAAAUUUUUUCAAACAAAAAAAAAAAAAACCAACACAAAGUUAUUUAAAACCCGUAAGUUAUUCUACUAUAACUAGCUAACUAAUGCUUUCUAGAGACACAAAAGUUUCCAGAAAAAAAAUCAUAAUAGCUCAAUCAAACAGCAAAAAAACACAUUACUGGAUAAAAAUGAAAAUAGAAAUGGAAAAAUGUAAACUUUAUUUAGAAAACAAAUAAAAAAUCUUACAAUUCUCCUGAAAGUGAUUGUAAAGCUAAGCUCCGGAUCCAACCCACUAUGAUUCUCCAAGGAAGACUCGGAGGAGGCCUUCCCGUACCCGGACCAAGUUUUGUGGGACUCCGAUUUUAAACUGGCAUUCGAAUUACGCGGGUUUAAGGUCACCAGCUUAAACCCAUUUCCACUGUUUCCUCCAUCAUUGAACCCAUUGAACGACUUUCUCGCCAAACGAAAUUCAAUUCUCCGAUGAAACAACGCCGCAUUCGAAUUCGAAGCAUCUGACGUUGUAACCGACUCCUUUUCCGGAUCCUCAACUGACCUGACCGACAAAGAAUUUAUCAUCGUCUCCGCCGCCAUCAUCAAAUCAAUAAAACCUCAAACAAAAAAGCUCUAUAUACAUAGAAAAAAAUCCAAUAUAUAUAGACUGAUUUCUUUUCUCUCUCUACAGAAUCAAAGAAUUAUAUGUUAUACGUUUCUGGGGGUGUGAUAGUGUGUGAGAAAGAAAAAUAGAGCGGUUCUGGGUUUCGACUGGAGCUCGCUCAAAACAGCUUUAAACCCUACACAUGGGAGUAUGUCGGGCGAGUGUAAAACUGGCUGUGGGCGGCGAGUCGCAGGGGAUUACUUUUAGUCUCGAUGAUACUUGUUCGACGCGGUGGGAUCUGGUGUGGUAAGGUGUAAAUUUAGAAACCCGUUUGAUUGGACGGGAGGUUGACUGAAGGGCGUAAUGGUCAUUUUACAUUGGAAAUACUGACAGCUGCAGGAGAUGGAUUUGCGCUUGCGGUGGUUAAUUGAUUGGUCGAUGGCUUGAUUCUAUGGAAUCUAAUCAAGCGGGUCGAGUUGCCGCGGUGCUUUUGAUUUUGGCAAGUUUGUCCUCGUGGUGGGAAAUUGAGAUGGCAGCUCUAGUGAGACCCUGCAGGAGAUUCAUGCUAUUUUUUUUUUUUUUUUUGUCAAACGCAUUCAUGCUAAAUUUGGAUUACAGGAAAUUUUACCAAUACAGAUAUUUUCCCUUAAAAAUUAAAGAAAACGAGUAGUCAAGUUGUACGUUUUAAAAUAUUUGUCAUUCUUGAAAGAUCAAAAUUCAAAAGCAACAAUUACACUGUUCUUUGCUGAGGGUUAAUUUCACUUAAUGGCCAUUUACCCAUCAUGUAGAAAAUUGAAUGAUAAUUUGCAUAUCCCAAUUAAAGGGAGGAGAAUAAGUGUCCUAGAGGAAAAAAAAAAAGAGAGAAACAAAUUUGCCAUAUCUUUAAAUAGUUACUAAAAGAAGAGCAUACAUAGUUACUCUGAAUACAUUAAAAUUGAUUUCGAUAGUUGCUUGUUGUUUAUUUUCUCGUGUGAAAUGUCAACUUUUAAUUGGUUUUAAAUUUGAUACUCUUUUAUGGUUUAUUGAGUAUACCUAUGUAGUGAAAAUCGGGAAACAGAGAAGCCAUUAUGCUCCAUAAAUUUAUAGAAAAAAAAAUUUGAGUAAAGAUUCUUCAUAAAACUUUUAAAGAAUAAAUCUUAUAUAUACCGAUAUAUUAUUACCAUUGACUCUAUGACAUAUAUACAAAAAAUGAAUUUCAAAUUCAAUUUAAUUUUUACAUAAUUAUCAUUCAUCAAAUGCUGACAGUGUAUAUAUCAUCAAUGCAUGAAAAAUUAAUCCAUUUUUAAAAAGCAUUGUAAUCUUUUGUUGGGCCUCAUUUGUAAUCUGAAUAUUGCGAUGUUAUUUGAGUUCAUUCUAAUACAAAGUAUAAACAGUAGUGUUAACCGCAGGAAGCAAAGUGCCGACUUGUUUCCCGCAAAGGGAAAUCAACCGGGAAAAUAGUUGAAGCUUCUUCGUUGAUGGUAUCUUGAAAGGACAAAAACUGUCCUUCCAAAAGAAAUCGGUCCAUGGCCAACUAGAGCUGUUAAGUCAAUCAAAUAGCUCGAAAGUUCGUUAGAACUCGACUCGUUAAGGCUCGAGCUCGGCUCGUUAAUUUUGGUUAACGAGUCGAGCUCGAGCUCGAAACAUGCUUGUUUAGUUAACGAGCCGAGCUACUCGGCUCGUUUGAUACUCGAGUAGCUCGUUAGAGCUCGUUAAUGAAGGGCAUAUUUGUCAUUUUAGAAAUCAAAAUUAUAAAAAUUAAAAUUUAUAGGUUUUUAUUAAGGUUAAUUUGCACGAACUCGAACUCGAGCUCGUGAAGCUCGACUCAUUUGUGAUAAACGAGUCGAGCUCGAGCUCGAGCUCGAGCCACAUGUACAUUUAACGAGCCGAGUUCGAACACAUUUUAAAGUUCGUUUUCCUAACGAGCUCGAGUCGAGCUCGGCAGCCAAAUACUCGGCUCGACUCGGCUCGAUUAACAGCUCUAUGUUAACCGCAGGAAGCAAAGUGCCGACUUGUUUCCCGCAAAGGGAAAUCAACCGGGAAAAUAGUUGAAGCUUCUUCGUUGAUGGUAUCUUGAAAGGACAAAAACUGUCCUUCCAAAAGAAAUCGGUCCAUGGCCAACCAUAUAUUUGCCACAAAAUACAGGCCGAUAAAAUGACUGCUUCCUUAGGAGCUACAUGAAUCAAACCACACCCUAAAAGAGCACAAAGAACAAUGGAAUAAUAGCACAGAAACGUGAAAAGCACGUUCCAAGCCCAUGGCAGGCAAAAUUUAAGAUUUGACAAGUAAUCACACCAAACCAAAAGCUAUCUUUUUCAAUAAAGAAACAAAUUGGUUUCACAGAAAUGAGACCGUAAUUGCAUUAGCCAGCAGAUCAAACCAUGAAUAAAGGAUGGGAUCAACCAUUUACUUGAAUUUCUCAAUCAGGGAAAAGGGGUUAGAAGGGCCAAAAAUCCAAAAAUGCUGAGCUAAGAUAUAACUGCAUAAAAGUUAACCCACACCAUCCCAUUUCGUUUCAUCUAACCCCUUGGUGAAAACCCCCUUUUGGUUGGGGAGGGGUUGAAAUUCUGAUACAUGAAGUGAGAAAAAAUAUGCCUCUACUUCAUCAUUUUGUAAGAAAUAGCAAGUCAAGAUUGGAUGGUACUUGUGGUUAUUGAAUGCAUCAGUACUCUGUACUCUGUCAUAUAACAAGUUACAAUAAUCUGCACUUACACUACAGGUAAAAAUGUUACCAUACCUAGCAUUGAAAUGCAUUUGGCUGGACAUUUCAACAGAAGGGACUGUGAUUUAUGCAUAACCAUGAUAUGCUACUGGAAGAAUAUCCUUCAGACAUAUAACCAAUUAAACGUGGUUAAAGAGGUCUCUCAACAAGGGCCGAGCUUUGUGGUUCCCAAACUUGUAUUGCCAGUCACAAUUAAUACAUUUACCAUCUCAGGAAACCUUCACGGAGCAGCCUUAAGUACCACCUCCAAACAUUAAUCUUUCAAACCCUGGUGUAUUUACAAGAAAAGAAUGCUGUAAUGGUCUUCAAACCCUAGUAUAUUUACAAGAAAUCAUGCUGCAAUGGCCUUAUCACCAGUGCCAAUAAGGAGGAAAUUCAAUUAAGUCAGUACGUUAAUAUCUUAACACACUAUUCUGAUAUAGCUUAAGCCCGCUCUAGAAUGAACCUGGCAUGUAUCCAGCUUAACAUCAUUAGAGGGUGAAUGGUUGCAACGAUAUUCAUUCUAUCUACUGAGACACAUUGAUUCUUCCAUCACCUGUGCCUGAGUAUGAUAGCUUGCUGUAGGCUUUUGGUUGUCAUUUGAUUUUACCCCACAAAUAACAUUGUCCUAGCAAGAUAGGAAUCUUCAUUGUCCAAAUUAUGUAACUUCUACCAUGAAGUCUUCAUGGUUUGGACUUAAUAAUAAUUCUCUGAUUUCCUUGCUCAAAUUGUUUGUAACCAACACUACAUCAUCAUAAUGGGGAUGAUAAACGUGGCCUCUGAAAAAUGUCAUGAUUGUUCCAUGCAAUUCAAUGAAACUCCAACCUGGAACCUUUUUCAAACCAAGAGAUUUCAUCUGGCCCCAAGCUUCACCUACACCAUCCCAAUCGGCCAUUGAAGCAUAGCUGUGUGCCAAUUGCACAUACUUUCCGGGAUCUACAGGCUUCAGAAGUGAAAUUUCUUUUGCAACAGUAUCAGCAAGCUCCGUCUUUCUUUUUGUUCGACAUGCAUCAAGUAUAAUGCCCAAAACAUCAGCCAUUGGUUCAGGAAACAUUUUCUUAUAAAAGUCAUAUGCAUCUUCUACCCUACCUGCUCGGCAAAGGAGAUCAACAAUGCACCCAUUGUGCUCAAAUUCAGGUUCAAUCCGGAAAUCAUUUAUCAUAGACUCAAACAACCUUAUUCCCUGGUCAAUAAGCCCAUUAUGGCUGCAGGCAUAGAGAAUGGAUAAGAAAAUAGUAUGGUUUGGCUUGAACCCAUCUCGCAGACACCUUGAGUACAUCUCCAAAGCAGUUUCUCCUUGGCCAUGACUACCAUAACCCGCAAUAAUUGUACUCCACGAAACUAUGUCAUGCCGUGGCAUGUUAUCAAAACACUUCCUAGCAAUAGCCAAGUUACCGCAUUUACAAUACAUAUCAACCAAAGCUGUGUCAAUCCUAAUGCAUGGUCCAAGACAGCUUCUAAUGACAAAGGUGUGAAUCCACUUCCCUUGCUGGUAUGCCCCUAUAGAAGCACAAGCUUGAAGAAGACAGACAACACUGACUGAAUCAGGCUUUAUAAGAGCUGUUCUCAUUUCAUUAAACAAACAGAAAGCUUCUCUUAAUUUCCCAUUUUGAGCAUUAGCAGCAACAAUUGCAUUCCAGGAUACAACAUCUCUUUCCUGCAUCAUCUGAAAAACCACAAAACUUUGAUCUAGGUAGCCACACUUCGCAUACAUAGUAACAAGUGCAUUUUGGAAAGGAACAUCAACAGCUAUAUUUUGCCUCAUGAUAUAGCCAUGAAGUGAAGUCCCUAGUUUAUAUGACACCAACUGAGCACAAGCUGCAAUAGCACUCGCCAAUGUAGCACUGGAUGGCAUCGCUCCAGAAAUUAACAUCAGCCUAAAGACUUCCAAUGCUGUAUCAGCACGCUCAUUCUGUACAAGCCCUGAUAUCAUUGUUGUCCACAUAACCACAUCCUUUUCUUUUGCUGUUUCAAAAAUUCUGUGUGCAUCGUUCACGUUGCCCUGUUUCAGAUACAUUCCCAUCAAUGCGGUUUCAACAUGGGCACUUGAUCCAAGACCAGCAGAGAGUAUCUGUCCAUGUACUGCUUUUCCCAAUCUGAUAUUAUCCUCUUUAGCAAUUGUAGGAAUCAAUGAUGUAAAAGUCUGUUGAUCAGGUUCCAUACCAGAAAUUCUCAUCCUAUCUAAAAGCUCUAAAAUCUCUCUCAUAUACCCAACUGAAGCAUAAACUGAAAUCAAAGAAUUCCAUGAAACAAGAUCUUUGUCAUUUAUUAAUUCAAACAAGUUUCUAGCAUCUUCUACUCUUCCACAUUUCCCAUACACGUUCAACAUGCCAUUGAUCAAAGCUACGUUAAACUCAAGUCCACACUUCACCACUGAAGGAUGUAAACAUUUCAGCUGAUCACUCUCUGAAAUCCCAGAAAGCAUAUUUAGAACAGUAACAGCGCUGGGUUUUAUUCCUUCAUAUUGCAUUUUAUUAUACAUAAAGAACGCAGAAUCAAUAUCACCAGCUCGUGAAUAACUCCCGAUGAUAGCAGUCCACGGAACAAUAUCUCUCACAGGCAUUGCAUCAAACACUUUUCGAGCACUGCUAAUAUGUCCUAAUUUUGAAUAUAAAGUUAUCAAAGAAGUUGCAAUAUAAGGAUCUGAAGAGAACCCAUUAACGAUAACAUGUUGGUGGAAACAGAGUCCUUGAGAUUGAAGGUUAAGCGCAGUGCAGGCUUUAAGGAGACUGGAAUAAGUAAAGGGGUCUGGAGCAACAUUGGAUUUCAGCAUUGAAAUAUAAGUCCGGAGAACUUGGUGGGAUUCUCCUAGUGAGGAAAGCCGGUUUAGUUUCGAGUUAAAUGACUUGGUAGCUGCAGUAGCCGUGGCGGAGGGUGGAAGUUGUAGGGGUGGCGGUGGCAUUAAAGUAUGAAAAAUAUGGGGUCUAACUUUGUUGUUCAUCUUUUCUGGCAUAAACUUGGAUCAGCAGACAGCUUCAUAGUUACCCUCUAUUGGAAUUUAUACCUUCAAAAGAAAAGCAUGAUACUCGAGACAGACACAAUAAUAACUUUAUAAUUGCAAUAUCCCAAAUUUUUUGAGGCUAAGGUGAUUGAUCGUGUAGAACUCAACCUCAUUUCUUUCAGUUCCCCCAAGGUUGAGUUGUUAUUCAUUAAAAGUACAACGCCCAGAACAAUUUUCAAGCUAAAUAAAGUGAAUCACUCAUCUGGGAGAAACCUCGGAAACAAAAGUGACAACUAGAAAAUGGUAGACUCAGUGAGUAAAAGAACAGAUUUUUAUUGUAUAAGCCCUCAAACAAAACAUCUUUCAACCUAUGAGCGAGCAGACAAUUUCCUUGCAGUCAAAACAAAGUGCAGCAAUGGAGCUGGACGAGCAUGUUUCAACUGAAUUGAUAUUGGACCAACGAUUGAAAUAUUGACAUCUUGACUAGGUGAGCUUUGCUAUCCCAAUUUGUUCAUUUCCAGGUCUUUAUAAAAUCCAUCAUACAUGAUUAUUAGUACCUUUUUUAAGCGAAACUGUAUGAAUAUUUGCAUCUUCAUUUAAAGAAGCAAGAAAUCAUACAGGACAUGUAAAUUAUCUAUUUUUGAUGCAAAUGAAGGUCGUAAUCGUAAUAAAAUAAGGUGUGAUUUAUCCUCAGAAAAAGCAAGCCCAAGGAACUAUGAUUUAUUUUUUUCUGGUUUGCGUUACGUUUGUCGCACUACUUUUUUAUAUAGUCAUAACCUUCUGAGUCUAAAAUCAGGGAGUGAGUGACCAACUUGUCAAAGAUAAAUAUGCUAUAGGAAAGAAUUGCACUUUCCCCCCAAACCAUUAGGCCAAGAGCUCAAAUCCCCCACGUACAAUUAGAAAAAUUGGGAGCUCGGACAUUUGCAGGCAAAAAAAAUUCAGAAGAAGUUGUACACUAAUACACCCUUUGUGGUUUAUGGUUAAUUGUUUAUACUGCUGGUCAGAGAAAAUUCCUAGGUAGAUUUAGUUCCACUAACUUAUUUGUCGUAGACUAUGUAAUAUAUUUUAUAGCCAUAUGUAUAAUAAUGUUAGAAAAGUGAUAGUGGAUUUUUUUAUUUUUUAGAAAAGUGAUAGCUAAGGAAACGCCUCAUCCCAAGAUUCUAUCGGGCUCGCAUUUUAUAAUGAGGGGUGAAUAGGUAUAAUAAAUUUAGAAAAGUGAUAGUGAUUUAUUUUUUAGAAAAAGAUUAGGUAGGAAACGUCUAAUCCCAAGAUUCGGUCGAACUUGCUAUUUAUAAUGAGGGGUGUUUUUCAUUUGGAUUCAAACUUUGUUCGUUAUGCAGAGGGUCGCAAAUCCCUUUUCACUUGCUCCAAUUAUUAUUGAUAAAUGUUAGGCAAGGAAACGUGUAAUCCUCAAGAAUUUUAUUGAACUCACUUUUUUGUUUUUAUAACAAAGGGAUCCUUUCCAAUAUGAUGUCCCCAAAUAGAUUCGAACUUUGUUCAUCAUACUAAGGUUCCGUUUGAUAAAACUGAAUCUGAAUUCUGAAGUCUGAAUUCUGAAAUCUGAAUAUUGAAACAAUUAAUUUGUUUAAUUUUAAGCACUGAAAAGAAAUAUAUGAAUGUCUGAAUUUUAAUGCUAAACCUAUUUAUACUGUUUGAUAAACAAUUAUAACUGAAUGCUUAAUAAGUUAAAUUUGAUAAUUUUGCCCUUAUAUCUUUUCAUCCAAAAAAGAAAUAGAACCUAUAAUUUAAUUAGCUAAAAAUAUUAGGUAUGAAAAUGAUAAUAUUUAUUUUUAAAUCAAAUUAAUAUAAAAGAUGAAUUUUAUUAUAUGAGGAGUAUGGAGAAGAAGUGAAAGUCAUUCAAAAGGGAGAAAAAAAAUAGAAAAUCAUUAGAUAGAGAAUAUUAGAUUGUUUAAUUAUACAAGAAUUUUAAACAUAAUUAAUAAAUAAGGGUAGAUUUGGUAGAUAAGAUAAGGUAGUUGAAGUGAUUCUAUUGAAUUUUAUCAGAAUUAAGCAUUCAGUUAGGAUUCUUGUGCUGAAAAAAAUACACACAGGUUCAGCACUGCUUAACAAGUUCAGCAAAUGAAUUUUCAUUUAUCAAACACUGAAAACAUCUGAAUGUUUAAAAAAAUUCAGAUUCAGCACUUUUUUAUGUUAUCAAACAGACCCUAAGUAAGAAAAUGCCUAAUCCCCCGAGAUUAUAUCGGGCUCGCUUUUAAUUUCAGGAGGAUCCCUCGCAACGUGGUUUCUCCGGAUGGAUUCGAACUUUAUUUGUCCUGUCCUUCCAAAAAAAAAAAAAAACUUUAUUUGUCGUGCUGGGGUCACAAGUGCCUUGUGCUAGGCUGUUUUUCUGGCUAACCUUUCCACAGUAAGUGCUGAAUGAUGACCUUAAAAACUGCCUUAACAUUGGGCCAUGCAUUUGAGUGCUUGAGGCCUACAGAAAGAGCAACCCAGUCCAUACUACAUGGGUCCAAAGUAGUAACAAAAUGAAGAAAAAAAAGAGAAAAAUGCAAAUCCAUGUGGAAUCCCAUUAGCUGCCGAAAUAACUGACGUCCAAUUAGAUCUUCUUCAGGGCAUGUCGGCCCGGUUGGGUACAUUUGUUCCCUGGGAGUGGAGGUCUCUUCAACUUCUUCGCCGGAAGUUUUAUAUAAGCAUGAAUUUCAUCGGCUUCAUUUUCUUCUUUGGUCCUAUGAAUUUCGCAGCGCAACGGAUCUUCUGUCUCAUAUCCUGUGCCACUCUCUGUCUCACUUUUUAUUAUAUUACUAUUUCUCCUACAUAAACAUUAUGUUUUAAUUCUUUAUUGUUUCUUUAAGAUUCAAUAACUAUCAAUUAAGUAAAAAAUAAAUACAACAGUUUCAAAAAAGUAAUACAUAAUAGAAAAUUUAAAAAAUCAGAAAAUUCAUAAAAAUAUCAUUUUUUAUGCAUUUUGAUUUUUUGAGUUUGUUAAAUUUUGUGUAUUAUUCAAUUAAUAGUUAUUGGAUUUUAAGGAAACAAAAAAGAAUUAAAACAUGAUGUUUAUGAAGGAGAAAUAGCAAUAUAAUAAAAAGUGGGACAGAGAGUGACACAGGGUGUGAGACAGAAGAUCCGUUGCGAUUUCGCAAUUGGAUGUGCAAUUCGUGUGAUUUUGAACCUGGAACCCUUAUAAUAAUUUUUUUUUAUUUCAGAAACUCUUUGAAAAAAAAUAUCAAUUGAAGAAAGAAGAUGCAUAAUUGCAUAUAUAUAUAUAUAUGUGCUUUUUUUUUGGAUUUCUUUUUUGAGAAUGAAGUUGCAUAUAUUGAGUAAUUCAUUUAGAGCAAGCUAUUAGAGGCUGUGAAUUUGCAAGAAUUCUUUCCUUUCUUUAGAGCUUUUUUUUUUUGACAAGAAAACUCGUAGCCGCUACUUGAGAGUGCAUACUGGAUAAACCCUGUUUCGUGCAAUAGCCCGCCAAUCACAUGAAAAGAUAAGAUAUACUAGGCAAAUUCUGUGUGACGUAUAGAUGUUCCAAAAGAGGUUCAAACUCGAGUUGGGAGGAAGGCAUCAACCCGGAUUGUUUUGAAUUCCAUUUACUACUAAAUUCACAUCCCAAGCUUAAAGCGCUUUUCUUGUGGGGGUGGUUAACUUCGUUGGAUUGGGAUGUGAUGGUUGUCCAAGACAAGAAUUUAGGUGUUGUAGUAGACAUUUGCAGGUCUUCUACGCAAGAAAACCAUCGGUUGUCUUUUUCUUUAAUACCUGACCAAGAGCACCAGUCUCUACGAUUAAGGCUUCGAAAUAUAUGGAAAGUCGUAUGGAUCAAUUUAUAUGUAUUUGGUUUUCCUAACAUGCCUUCAAAGCUCAAAUGUGAUAAAUUUUGUAUAACAUUUUGUGUGCAAAAUAGUCACUGGUGAUUUUGUUAUGUGCAGAGGCCCCGUCCUGGGCCUAUACACGUGGCAGCCCAGGGAGGCCUGAGCUGGGUUUAGACUCCGGGCCCAUGGGAACCGUCUCGCGGCCCUCCUCCGCUAGGGCUCUAAGGGGCUCCAGAGAACAAUCCCGCAUAGGUCGGGAUUGCUCCCCCUCAGUGCGGGAUUGAGGCUAUUCUGGGCAGGUCCCGAAACGUACGGAGGUCAGACUCCUAAACAGGUAUAAAUAAUAACGCACACCGACUGCGCAAGGGACGCUCACUAUUGGACAAUUACUCCCGACCGUUUUACUUCCCGUGAAUCUCACUCACCGGAAAACUAACUUGACCGUCGAAGUGCCCUCGGGGACGACCUCGGGGCUCCCCCAUUGGAUCACUUUCUUGUCCGUUUUUCAGGCUUAGGACGUGCUCUUCUCAUCAGCACGCCGAGCUCAUCAGGUCAGCUCGGUCCGGGGAAGUUCAGUGCUUCUUCAUUACGUGUUGUAGACUAAUAGAUAUUGAUGUUAAGUAUACUUUUAAGAUUAUAGUUAUGCUUAAAUUUAGCAAUGAAGAUACAAUUUUUUCUUUGAGUUUAGAAAUAUCAGAUCAAAAGAGUUUUUCUUCUUAUGAUCAUGACCUCAAGAUUAUCUAGAGUUUUAAUUUUCAAUCGAUAAGUGUGGAUAUGAUAUAACAAGAGAGUUAAGACUAAUAGACAUUCAUGUUAAAAAUACUUUUAUGCUUACAUUUGUGCUUAAAUUUGGCAAUGAAGAACAUUAUAUAUAUCUCUUUGAGUUUAGGAACAUCAAAACAAUAAUAAUGUCUUCUUAUUUUGAGGUCAAUAAUAUAAUCUCGAAUAGGUCCAACACUUUUGUAAAAGGUAACGAGCAUGUCAUUCUAAUAGUUUAGCUAAUUCAAUGGAUAACAAAAGGGAAUUUCAUAAUUUUUUUUUAGGUGUGUAUAAAAUGACCAACUCUUUUUAAAAAUCUUCAAAUUAUAUAAGCUCAAUAAUGAAUUUCCUUAAAGUGAGGGGGCAAUUACCCAUUCUCACCUACUUGUUGCUCUUAAUUAUGUGUCAUUAACUUGAAAAAAAAAAAAGAAGAGAAGUGGAUAGUUAUAAAAUUACCUUGAAUUAAACUAUAUGGAGGUUAUUGCUUUAGCAAAUAUUUUGCAUGGGAAUAUUUGGACGAUUUUGUCCUUUACAACGGGGAUGUAAUAUUGGUGUUUAAAAAAUUAAUAAUAAUGGACAAAUACCAAAGUCAUUGUUGUGACAUUAUAAUAGUUAAAAGUUAUGUUAGAUAAAUUAGUUUAUGUAAUUCAAUUAAAUGCAUUUAAUUACUCGAAAAAAAUCUACAAAUUCGUUACUUGUGGUCUAAUAGAAGUGUACAAAUUUUUGUAGGAAGCUAAAAGAAAUUUUUUUUUUUUUUGUGACAAGCUGAAAGGCUCUUUCCAUCUAUUACUAACACGAAGUCGUACCAAAGUAUCGACAAGACUGUGUCAUCUAAGCAAUAAAUUAAGUAGGAUAAGUAAGUUUACAUGACAUGGUGAUAUUGAUUUACAGGCAUACCAACCAAGAUUCUUCUAUAAUGACACAAUACUUAAUCCUUCAGAAAUACUAGUACGAGUCUAAACUUUUUAUUGCAAAAACAUGAACCACAUCUAUUAAUUUUACUAAACAAAAACGUAAGAAGUUGCCAACAAGCAAAGUGAGAAAACACAUAUAUAUCCUGUGUUUUUCUGACUUUUAAGAUAUAUAUAUAUAUUUUUCAUUUCUUGAUCCUUCUAUCAUUGUCAUCUGUUGUCCGUCCAACUCAAAAAUCACUUUUGGUCCCGUAGACUGUAAGGCCAUCCUGUUUGAGAUCCCCAUUCUUGACGUCCCAAUACUCAAAAGCAACGGAAUUUCCUUUUUCUACAUGACUUGGAACUUUAAGAAAAGCAUAAUCUCCAUGGUUAAGACGGGAUUAAAAAAAAAAAGAGAGAGGAAACUAUCAUUAGAACGAUGUGUAGGCAAAAUUGAAUUCAUGGGAUUCUUAAAAUUUCCGUAUUCUUUUUAAUGUUUGAUCGAAUUUUCAGUAUCCUCGAGUUUCAAAAUCUCUUAGGACUCUAAAAUCCCUUAAAACAAAAUGGGACACUUUAGAACCCUUACAUUUUUCAUUCUUGCGAUUAUCCAUGACACUUGCAUCAUUUCAUGCGUGUUCUUGAGGACCGCGCGCCAAAUCUUGUAAGUAGCAAAGAACAAUAAAGCAGAAUCCCAGAAUUCAUCUUCCUGAAAUUUCAAUCUCCUGCCAAACAUGGGGUAGAAGUUCUUUGAUUUUCAGUCCCCGGGGAAAGAAAGAUCCCUUGCACUAAUGAGAGAAAUCUUGUACUAGUAUUUAAAAGUAAGCUAAAUCAGGAUGUGACACCACACGAUUAAGCUAAGAAUGAUGAAAAUGAAGCAAUUCAGUGCAGUUGGGCUGUGUGAUAUGGUUGUUUUCGUGCUUGGAGUUCACGGCAACAUUCAAUGAUGAUAUCAAGAAGUUGAAGCAAAUUAGAUUGCAUUUUCCCUAAACUGUAUAAUCCUCAAUCAUAAUUCUUAACAACUCCUUGUUGGGUCUCGCUGCACUAAUGAACUCUAGUGCUCCACUGCUAAUAGCCUGACAGGGAAUGUUGCCAUAAGUGAUGGUUUACAAAUGAAUUAGGUUCUUAAAAAGUUGUUUCGUUUAUACAAAGUCAUUUUAUUAAAAAUUGUUUUUUCUAAAAAGGUCUUCAAAUCAAAGUUUUGUUUCUCCACGCACCUUUUAAUCUCACGCAUAUCACAUCCCAGAAAUUAAUAUAUUACAAUAAUAUUCUAAAAAAUGCAUUAAAAAAAACACGCAAUUGAAAUGAAAAAGAAGAUUUGAACAAUGCCUUAUCAAUAUUGAGUAGAAUACAAGAAAUUUGGCUGGUUUUACUACUGGGUUUCUUUCUUAACGAAAAAACCAACCAUAUUAGUUCACUUCUCCUCUUUAUUUCCGAAGAGAAAUUUACUUCGUCCUUUUUCUCAAAAUAACCAUACGAGAUACUAAAUUAGCAUCAUUUUACUUCUUAGUUUUUCUUUCCCUUUCCCUUCUAACCAUUUAUUCCCAUCUCAGCUUCAAAUCAGAUAUGCUCUUAUCUUAUCCACUGUAAAUACUAACUUGUGAAGGUAUACAAAUUCCCACCCAAACUUUUUACCCACCCUUCAUGAUGGCUGAAAGAAAGCAAGUUGUUUUUUUUAAAAAAAAAAAAAAAAAAAUUCCUAUUCGACAUUGGUAUAAGUUGCCAUUCUUUUUCGGGUUAAUUCCACUUUGUCCCCCCAAACUUUGGACGAUUAUCCACUUAAGUCCCUAAACUUCAAAAUGGGACACUUAAGUCCCUAAACUUAUAAAUACCUCCCACUUAAGGAAAAUUGUUAACAAAUCUUGAAUGCCGUUGGUGGUCGAAGUGUCCCAUUUUAUAAGGGUUUAGGGAUUUAAGUGUCCCAUUUUAUAAGUUCAGGGACUUAAGUGGGAGGUAUUUAUAAGUUUAGGAACUUAAAUGUCCCAUUUUGAAAUUUAGGGACUUAAGUGGAUAAUCGUCCAAAGUUUGGGGGGACAAAGUGGAAUUAACCCUUCUUUUUCUUUACUUUGAUACUUUCUGCUUGACCUUCCAGAAGAAGCAAGGAAUCCGGUCAUUCACCAAAAUAAUCCAGCAUAUCAGCAUGCAAUAUGAAUAAUUCCAUUGAUGUUUGCAUGUGGGCUAUUAACCUGUAAGUUUUUAUUUGAAGACAGCCUAGAACAUACAAAACAGGAAGAGAAAUAAAAGAUGAGAAACUGUAAUUUACAAAAAAAAAAAAAAAAAAGAAACCUAACCUCUGUAGCAUCUGUCCCAAAUAUUUUGUGGUUUAGUUUUCAAAUACUCCACUACCUAAAUGACUGAUAAUUUUCAUGACAUAUCUCCACCAAAAAAAAAAAAAAAAAAACUUUCAUAAUUCCCUCAACUAUAAAUCCAUGUCAAUUUAUUCCUACAGGGAAAUGAUUGAAAAUUGUUUGCAAGUUGCCUAACCCCAAGACACGGUAUUUGUGUAGGUGUAGGCCAACACCAGACAAAACGCUGCUGACUUAACUAACACAACCAACCAAUGACCUUAAAAUGAACUGCCUACAAAGAUAAACCAAACUAAGCAUCCUCUAAAUUAACCAUCCGAUGAAAAUCUUGAUUUAUCGAUGGUCCAGAAUAAAGGAGAAAAAUGGACCCCACUCCAAGAUCAUUAGAUUAUGCAGACUUUGGUGGUACUAAAUUAGUAGUACUGUAUUUCUGAAGUCUUUAGACCCCAGGAACGUGUAAAGAGUAAAGACUGGCAAAGGCAGAAAAUAGAGAGAGAGAGAGAAGAAAGAAAACAUUUUUAAAACACGGAAAAAGCUAAGAAAGAGAUACACAGGAAAGAAGAGAUCAAAACAGAGUCAAAUUUUUGAACGCCAACCGCUCCAAUUUUCCAAUUCCACUUCAUCAAUGCCCACCAUCGCAAAAUCCCACCUUUAAAUACCUCCAUUUUUUCAAAACCCAUGUUUUAGUUUCUCAAGUUGUGAUCAUAUAUUUCCUCUAUCAAUCACCGCAUAUAUCCCCAAGUUUUUCCCUGUUCUUUUGGCUUUUGUACUAGCAGCAUGACGGCUUUGAACAAGAAUCAGUCAAGACUCUGCCUUUUUCUCCUCAAAAUCUGAUCCCAUGUGUUGUGACAGCUUCAGUUGAAUCCGUGUCUCUUACUUUAUCUUUGCCUGCUAAUAUAUUUCCCCUUCUGUUAUUGAUAGAAAUUUAGGGUCAUUUGAAUUCAAAAUUUUACACUAUUCUGCCUGUUUCUUUCUAGAAUCAACAAAAUUCUGUUGAUUUUGAGGAAUCACAAUCCCUUUCUAUUCAGUUCCCGUAUGUUCCUCUGAGAGUUCCUUAAUUCGUGUUAAGAAGAUUCAAUUUUGAUUCCAAGUUUCUGUCUUUUUUGUUUGUUCCCUUCAAGUUCCCAAUUCUUGCGGAAAUUGAACCAUGGGAAUUCAGAAGGAUAGGGUGAGAUUUAAUGUUGGUGGAAAAAUCUUUGACACUUCAGCCACAACCCUGGCGAAUGCUGGCCGAAAUUCUCUCUUUGGAGCUAUGUUUGAUGAGAAUUGGGACCUCCAAUCUGGUCAUUCCACCACGGAGCACUUCAUUGAUCGAAAUCCAGACUAUUUUGCAGUUCUUCUUGACCUUCUCAGGACAGGGGAAUUGUAUCUUCCGUCAAACAUGUCUGAGAAACAGUUAUACAGAGAGGCUCUGUUUUAUGGCAUUUUGGACCACGUCAGGUCUGCUAAGUGGGGUCCGUUCGAUGGAAACAGGCUCCGAUUAGCCCGGUCAGUAACUGGCCGGGCACCGGGCGAUGGGACUGCUAUCAGGGCUGGUCCAGAUGGUGGCUGUUGUGUGGCUCAUGGUAGCAUGGUUCAUGUGUAUGAUUGGAUGCUUGAAGUGCAUCCUCCUAUUAAUCUUGAUUAUCAAAGAGUCAAUGAUGCUGGUUGGAUCGAUCCUGAGAGCAUUGUAAUCAGUGCUUGUGAGAGGUUUGGUACGGGAGAUGGAGGCAUGGGAUUGUUCAGUGCAUCCACGGGGGAACGAAGGUAUAAAUUUCAUGUUAGUCAUGAAAAUCAAGUUAAGAGUUACACUGCUGGUGCAUUGAGUUUUAGUCCAGAUUAUAAGUUGUUUUCUAGUUGUAAAGGUAGGAGCAAUGAGUAUGGGAUUGGUGUUUGGGACCAAGUGACGGGGAAGCAGAUUGACUUUUUUUAUGAGCCACCUGGAUGGUCACUCGGUGAAGCAGACAAACUACAAUGGUUACAUGGUAACAACUGCUUGUUGGUAGCAACUUUGUUUCCAAGGAAGGACAACUGUUACAUUGGUUUGCUGGAUUUCAGGGACAAAAGCAUGCCUUGGUCCUGGUCUGAUGUAGGGGCUCCAAUUACGGAUGAAAAGCGAGUUAGGGAUGCAAUAGCAAUGGAGGAGAGUAGCUCCGUAUGCGUGGUGAAUGAAUACGAGGACUUGGGGUUCAUGGAUUUGAGGAGGGCUGCCGGAAGUGUGAGAUGGAGUUCAAGGAGCCGGUUGAUGAAGGGGAAAAUGCCUGAUGAACCAUGCUAUCCAAAACUGGCGUUGCACGAAGGACAGCUAUUUUCAUCGAUGAACGAUAGCAUCUCAGUGUUCCGUGGUCCAGAUUGGGUGUUAACAUCAAGGCUUCGACGAACUUAUGGCGGUUCAAUUUGUGAUUUUUCCAUAGGUGGUGAUCGGCUUUUUGCCCUGCACAGCGAGGAAAAUGUAUUUGAUAUAUGGGAGACUCCAUCUCCACCUAUCAUAUGAUCAUAUACUUAGUUUUGUUGUUCAACUUCUUAGUCACCUUCUUCUGAAUGUUACUGUUUGUUCUCUCUUAUACACUAUUGACAACCGGGUUGGCGCCUUUGAUAGCAGAGAGGCCUAAAGCUUCUGUUUGGUGCUUGAAAGUUAGAGAAGAUAAGGUUGAGCCUUAUCUAAUUGUGAGAUUGUACAGAAUUUUCUCAUAAUGACAUAGACAUCAUAUGAUGAGACAGAUUGCUUAACAACCAUAUGUUUUCAAAAUCGGCUUGCUUCUGGAAGUCUAAACUCGAGCAAAUUGUAUAAAAUUGGUUAAUUUCUUGACCUUCUUGGGAGUUUGGGACCACCACAGUCCUUAUCUCUCUCAAGAGCCCUUUAUCAGCAAUCUUUUUUUGACCAUUGCUUUUGCAAAGAUGGUUCUUUAGUUGUUAGGCCUGCCAUCCCACUUUUUCAUCUCAGUUAGAUUCCACGUUCUUUACAGAGACAAAAGGAGAUGAAAGUUGCUAUAUUUGCAUGUUGUGAGCAGUUGAACUAACUCCUAAACCUGAGUGGCUAGUUAUUUAUGAAGCUGGUGAUCUCGAGAAGUCGAGCCAGUGCGAGAUAUUGCCAUGGUUUUUUGUGAAGUAUCAAGAAAAGCCCAGUCUUGCCACCUAGUCUUCUCCAUUUACGCACUCUAAACCAAGUCCAUUGUUCCAGCAUCUCUUUCCAGAUGCUGCAAAUUAAUAAUACUGAUUCAACUGCAGUUAGUUCAUUUCAAUGCAAUGUACUUCAUUAAUUUAGUUUCAAAACUGCUAAGAAAGGAGCAAAUCCCAAUUUGAUGGGACCACAGAAGGAUAAACAAAACAUGUAUUCUGCUGACCAUUGCCGGCACUCCUCAGGAUUUCACGGCAGAUUAGAUAAACAAGAGCUUAAAGCAAAGGGUGUUUGAAAAUUUUAUAUGAAUCCAUCGACUAUUGACAAUGAUAAACAGUUUUUAUUUUACGACAUACAGGUAAAUGUGAGAAACCUAGUGUGUACCUAGGGCAGAUACAAGAACAUUAAACUUGUCUAUUAGGUAUCAAAAUCCCCUUCCCCAACAAAAAGAAGAAAGCAAAAAAGGUGAAGAGGAACAAAAGAAAGAAUGGAAAUCAGACUGGAACUUUCCCUGAACUGCCAUAUGGAAAGAAAUCCAGACUUCAGCGACAACACUUAGUAAGCUCGCAAAAGAGAAACCAUCACAAAGAAGGUCCAAUUAGUAGGGAGACCAAGUCUUGUGUUCAUUACAUAUAAAAAUGGAACUAUUUCUUGAGAAUCUAAAAUCUUUAAAACCAAUGUAUGCACCAUUAGGAAGGUUCCUUCGUUCUAAACUUGAUUGAAAAAAAUUAUUUGAAGAGAUGCAAGUACAGUAGGAAUAAGACAGAACCUUACUGCUUGGAAGCAAAUAACAAUAUUUUGUGAUAAAAAGGCAGUGGACCCAAUUAAUUAAGCAUAAUCUGGCAUUACUUUCUUAAGGAACUUGAUUGGCUGGGACUCUUCAGCGGCGAUUUCAUCGAAGGCGAUGUAGUUUUGCUCCUUAUUAUAAACGUGACACAUUGUCAAUAUGGUCUUCAUUAAUCUCCAGUUCCAUGUAGCUUCAUUCAGAUACUGUUGCAUCAUGGAGAACAUGGAGAAUACACGUAAGGAAGCUGAAGAAUAUCUUAUAGGCAUGUACUUAUAAUAAGGAGGAGGAGGGCUUGUGGAAAUCAGAUGCUGCCCUUAAGGACCCUCCAGACCCCCCUCCAGUUAUGUUCGACUAAAAAUUUGAGAAUUCCCUUGUGAGGUAAAAUGGAAAGUAUUGUUUUCGUCGUGGCUGCUGUAUCAUGGAAAGCACUUAUAGAAUCCAUACCUUGCCCCAGUUCUCCUGCAAAGACUGAUGGGCUGCCUGCAAGUUGUAGCUUGGUAUCCGUGAAGAAAUGUGAUGGGGAAUAUGAACAUUGAUAUUAUGACAAAGGAUUUCUAUCCUGUCAAAGAAACAAAAGGACAUAUAAAUUCCUCUGCAAUGACAAGAAAUGAAAUCAAAACAUUCCUCCAGGUGAUACAAUAUAGUUAAUUCAGGAUCAAAUUCCUAAUUAUGUGUUUCGACUAAACUCCCACCAUAAUUUAUGUUUAAAAAGCAUCAGCUAAACAUGUGGUUGUCAUUAACAAAAUAGUUUCAGCAUAGCAUUUCGGCACUCCUGGUUUAUGCUUAUAUCUUCAACAAAUUAGUCAAGUGAGGUGGGAAUACAAGCCAUAAAUACUUUUCAAGGCAUGAGGAUAUGGAUCAAAAGCUCUUCAUCAAUCAGUAGACAAUUUCAUAAAUAACAAUUCUCUUGAAUAACAUGCAUAAUCAACACAAAUAUCUAAGCAGGAGCAGCAAUGUAAUCACCAUGUUGCCAAUUCAAAGAAUCACAAAGGAUAUAUUUCUUUUACCAUUUAGGAUAAUCACAGUGCACUGUCCCAUUAAGCUGGGCCUGAGCUGCAUUCCACUCAUCUGAGUCUUUGAAAGGUAUAUGAGGAGCUGUGUGAUGCACCAUUGUGAAAGUGCUCAUCUGCAAGUUUUGAUGACACAAAUUCAAAGUGCUAUAAAUCAUCAAACAUAAGGGUGGAAAGCACCAGGUUCUCUGUUAGAGAGAAGACAAAUGAAAUGUAGGAUUUUAUUUUUGUCUAGCCAAAAUCCAGAACUUUGAUGCAAAGUUAAGGAUACUGAAGUCUCAUCUCCUCUGGUUGACGUGAACCAUGAAGGAUUCUGUCAAGUUAAAAUAAUAUUUCAUGGUGAAUUUUAAGCAACAUAUAAAAAUAUUAGAUGAUAUUCACAGUACUUGGAAGGUCAGGGAUUCCUUGAACAACAUCCAGUAUAAAUAACUUCAAAAGGGUAAGAAGAAAGUCAAUAAGAUUGUCUAUGGACACAACAGGCCAGUAUUACAGCGUCUCUACCAUGACUACCUGAUGCAAAUUUGUUUUCUAAAGAAAGAAAUGUUCAUAAUACUGGCUUUCCAUAUCUUCAAGUUAUAGAUUCCAAUUAAAUUUUCACCUGUAAACCAUAUACCGGGUUAAUCUAGUAACCACUGUUCAAAAUGGUGCCUAAAACCAAAAAAGAGGUGAGAAAGUAAGUUACCCAAAAGUGAUAACCCAACCAUGGCAUUAACCAAAAAUUAAUCCAUCCAAUGAUCCCUGUCUUGUAUAUUAUCAGCGGCCAUCCAACAGCCAUAAAAGCAAAUACACAAGCCAAGCUUAUCUUCACCCUGUGCACUUCACUUGGUCUGAACUUCUUCAAGUCAAAGUGCCAGAUUAACCUAAAUAAUAGUAUUUGACACAUAUGCACAAACAUCAAAUUUGCUUCUAAAAAGAAAGAAUGGAAAAAAUGGAUAAGGUCCUAAGUUUCAAAACAUAUUAAAUCUCUAGCCGUCAAGUACCAGUGAGCUAUAGACAUCCAAGGUCGAAAUGGUCCAUAUCCGUAUAUGAUUGCUUUCCUUAAGACUGGGCUUGAGUCAAAUUCUUCUUUUACAACAGGAUGCCAAGCUGUAUCUUCUUGCAGCCUGGGAUGAAAGCAGAAGAGGCAAUAGAGGUAAAGAAGACUAGCAGAAAAUCUAUAAAAUGAGAACUCAAAUGCCCAUAAACAAGCUCAACUUCCCCAGAAAAAAGAAGAAACAAAGAAACAAUAACCAAGAAACAAGAGGAAUAGGCAAUAGCAUAGAUAUACUUUAUCUAUAUGCAUAUCUUACUGAAAUAUGUAAUUUACUCUGUGCAUGUGGAUUGCAGAAAGAAUUAAGAAAAUUUUACUUUCUGUGGUAGAUAUAGAACCAGGGUAGUUACUUUAAUGUCUGAGCAUAUGACCAGAUACCGAGGUUUCAAUUAAGGUUGUAGAAGAAAACAAAUAUCUCUAAAGGACAUAUAGAUUCUUCCCAGGCAUCUAGUUCAAAUGGAAAAAACAGCCCGUGAGCGAACUGAAGUAUGGAUUCAUUACCCAAAUACUGAAUGAUUUUUCCUUCAAGUUGCAUGUCCAUUUACAGAUUUCUCAAAAAACUAAUGGUAGAGCCACAGAGUCUUCCUAAAAUCUAAUGUUGAAAAAGUCCACUAACCACCUUACAAUGACAAAAUUGCUGAAGUUUAGCUUUGUCCUACUCUCUGCAAUGACCUAAAACAAUCUAUCCAUACACUUGACCAGCACUCCCUUAUACUCCUACAGCUCAGAGGCAAGAAAUACUGGACUAAAAGACUACCUUAAAACAGAACGAAAUUCAUGUUGACAACGGACACUCAAAAGUUAAAAGAAAAUGAAAUUUCAGUCUUAAGUUGCAAAGCUUAUGCAGGUGCACAUGGGUAGCAUUUCUGUUAAGUCUGUGUGUGCGCGCAUUAAUUGUUGACCUCAGUAAAAAUAGCAUAUCUAAAAGAAGAUAUGUGAGAACAAAGAAAUUGAUUAGUUCAGUCCAAAGUGCAUAGCUUCAGCAUAUGACAUAUAUAUGGGCAGCAAAGGGGGGGAAAACAUGCAAUGUGCACCACAAUCAGUACUCAGAAAACACUCUUGUAUCAAAGUAGUCUUUGUCCCAGCCAUCAAGAUAUAUUUAGCUUCUUCAAAAUAUAAAGAAACAAAUUCCGAAAUACGCUAAGUGGCUAGACAAAGACGCUGAAAUUCUUACAAGGAUGUCGGUUAAUUGAUCCUUUCAGAGUUAUAAGUAUGAGCAAAAUAAAAUUGAACUUAGAGGCAAAAUAAACAAUUCACAGGAAUCUCAUACAGACAUGUUUGUUUUUGCAUGAUGCCUAUCAUGCUUAAAACGCCAUGGCUCGUAUGGGUAAAUCAGUGGCAAGAAGGCCAGAGUUCCAAUGAUAUCUUCCACUAGCUUGUUCUUCGAGAAUGAUUUGUGCGCACAAUCAUGUCCUAUAACAAAGAACUUCACAAUACAAGAUAAGAAAGAAAAUAAUGCAAAAAAGUUGGUUUUGUGUACCAUGAAUGAAAAUAAAUAAAAAAAGCUUCUGCUAUUCUGAAAUAACUUGACAGGAAGGAAAACUUGACAUGAAAUCAAUUUGAUAAUGCUCUUGGAUUUGAGGUCCCCCGGGGGCCCGGGGGGAGGGGGGAUGGUAAGAAAAUUUUCAUCAAAUUGUUAUUUUCCUUCCUUUCAAACUGUUAAAAUAUGGAAAUAAUAAUGAUAAAUAUACAUGCAGAACUAACCCCAGUAACUGCAGUUCCUGUCCAAGCCCAAGCCAGGGGAAGUAGAUACCAUGGUGUUUUAGCAAUCAUGAAGAGUCCCAAGGCAUAGGAUGUUGCAGAUAUCAAGACAGACUUCCAUGCUUUUACAUCAUCUAUCUCAAAUACCUAAAAGUAAAAUUUAAUGGGAAGAUUAUCACUGUUUUUUCUUGGUAGUGUUACUGGAGCCCAAAACUGUAAAAUUUUCACAGAACACAUACUACCAAUUUAGAGCUCAACUCAAUUUUCACAAAUGCUUGGAUCCUUGCAUUCAUCCAGAGUGGUGGAGCCACAUAAAAUAAGUUCAAACCUAGGUCAUUAAGUAAGUUGGAGUAACAUCCUUAAGCCUUAACAACAUCUAUGCCCAAGGCAAAUAGUGCUAUGCUGCCAUAUUGGCAGGCAUAGUUGUUUAAACAAGAUGCAUUGUGCUAUUUCUGUCAUUUACAGCCAACUUCCAGCAUCUUCUUCUGCAUUUUUUUUCACCUGCAGAGAGAGGGGGGGCAGUGGCUAGAGGAGGAGCCAAUUAGUCAAGUUUUUGUUCAUUAACUAUUUGAUAUUGUAUUGCGUUCUCACUCAUGUCUUGGUUGGAAUUGAUAUAGAUCCUAAAGUGAAGCUAAAAUACUGUAAAAGACAAAAGUACAGACUGAAGUUGCAUAAAAGUGCUCUCAGAAUAUGCUCCUUCACUGUUUCAAAUAUUCAAAGUUGAAUAACUCCAACAUAUUACAUAUUUCCUAAUCAGAUCAAAGAUCAUAUUCACAUCCUAAAAAACAUUCAGCAAUGAGAGAAACAACAUCCAGUGCAACUAUCCUGAAGGAGAAUAAUUUCAUUCCUUAUUAGGAAUCAACGAAGCCAAGUUAAGACCAAAAAGUUGAGCUUAAAAAUUUGGUUCUACGAAUAGCAAAUCAAUGGAAAUCUCACUGAACAUAUAGAACUCUUCUGAACAUCAGAAAAACUAUCACCUUUUUUGGGAGGGUUUCAAUAAUAUCUUUCAGAGUGACAUUAUCUGGAAGUGGCUCUCCAAUCUGUCGAAAACCAUAUCUUUCAGAUAAUUGUUUCCUAUGCUCUCUUCUGUCUGCCGGAGAUGGAGCUAUUGGGACUGCCACAGCUUGUACAACCCUACUGUGUCUCAAAGAAAUUAAACAUCUUUUCUGGUUGUUUCUUCCACGAAAUAUAUCUUCCCACUUCAAAUUAAAUGUGCCUGCUCAGCAUGAUAAAAACUGUUAUACAAUUGACUAGAAAAGUGGAUGAAGCAUACCACACCUAAAAUAUCAUUAUUAUCAAUAGCCACUUACAGCAAAUAAACAGAAGUUUCAGCUAUUACUGAAGGUCACGUAAUAGGAAAGCACAGCAACUUAUAGAGUUUUCAUAUCAUUGAACACAACUUACAUCAAGUACCAUGGCCUAUAUCUACAUGCCACAUUGCUCUGUAACAAUUAAGAACGUGUAUGUUUAUCAGACGAGAUAUCUAGUAGUGAGAUUGCAUCCAUGUAGAGUAAUAAGAUGGAUUCCUUCAAUUACUAAAGAAAGUAAAUUAGCGAUCGAGGAGUCACGACAUAAUUUGGCCCCCUAUUCUCUCAUUCAUUCACACAGGCUUCGCUAUAACUAUUACUUCAUUAUCAGUAAAGAGAAAAGCAUUCCAAACCAAAUAGAAUAGGAUCACCAACUUAUAGUCUUCAACACCAUUAUCCAAACCACCCCCAUGCAGGCAUCACUGAACAUUUGUAAACAGAAAAGCAUUGAGAAUCUCAAACCAGCUAUGAGACCCCGUGAUCCGACCUACGCCUCAAAGGCCACAGCCAGAAUUGCUUUCCCUUUCAUUUUUUCCUUUUGUCAUUCUCAAUACCUCAAUAUUCAUCAUCCAACAAUUUCAUCCUGUUAGGCCAUUGAAUCAUUUCUAAAAAUAGCUGUGUGGACUAAUAAAUCUCACUCUGACAGUUCCCAAUUUUAAAUAAUAUUUCAAUCGCAACAUUGAACUCCCAUCUAAAAAAUGUAAUACACUGUGGCUUAAUGAAUUAACAAUUAAAUAAGCACUUCUCUCAAGCCACAUCCUUCCCUCCUUGAGUGCUGCUAAAAAAAAACCUCAUCUUGAUUCACAAGAACUCAAUUGACAAGAAUCACAAAGUUUAUAUUUACCAGGACAAGUAAGUGGGGACAAUUUAUGGUUCUGAAUUGGCCUCCUUUGUUGACCCUAAUUAUAGAAAAAGCAAAAUAAAACCCAUACAUUAGUGUAUCAACAACUAAAAAAACUAUUGAACACGCAACAGGAAAAGAGAAUAUUGACCACAAGAAGGAAGCUGGAGCCUGCAAGUCUGCAAGCCAUGAAGACUAGUGGAAACUGCUGGGUUUCUCUAGUUCAAGAAACCCAGUAGCCCUCCUAAUCCAACUGCUUGUUUGCAACCCUUUACCCCUUUAUCAAUGUCCAAGUGGUCUGAAGAAGAUAAAGGGGUAACAGGGAGAGGGAAGACGACUGCAAUUGGAGCUUGACACAGACCAAAAAAGGGUCCCAAAAAAAGGGAGUGGCAGUUUAUAUCAAAAGUUCAAAACUAGGAUGAGGUUUGUGCUGUCGGUAGCUCGUUCUUGUGGUACAUGUGCAAGAAGACGCAAAAUCUCAAGUUUGCCCGUUGUGGACAGAAUUGCCCGCCACAGCAACAGGUUAGGGUCAACGACUCAAUUGGCUUGCAUGUCUUUCUCAUUUUUGUUUAGGAAUUGAAAUUCAAGAUAGAAGGCAUGACUUUUUUGUUUGGUUAAAAUAAUUGUUUUCCCUAUUAAACACGUUUUUGUUUAUAGUACUGAAAAAAGUUUUGAUGCUUUGGGAUGUUGUGGAAUUUUUUGUCAAACAUGGCGAUUUGCAGCGAUGGGUACUCUAGAAUUUCGACUAUCACCCUCGAAAUCAAAUUAAUACAAAAUCUUGGUCAUUAAUGUCAGACCACAUCAUAUAUUUAUACUCAUGGAUUGUGAGUGUCAAUAGAAAAUUUUCAGUUAAAACUGAGAUGAUUAUUUCGUCUUUAUAGCAUUUUUUGGCACAGUUAAAAUCUCAUUAUUCAUAAUUAUGACAAUUGAUAUACUCGGACAGUUUCAAAAUGGCGGCAUUGUAUCAUACAUUAGUCAUAACUCAUACGCCAUUGGAAGAAAUGAAUAUGGGCAUCCGCAUUUACCUAUAAUGCUCUGCUUAUUGGCAAUCAUAUGUAACUAAUGUAAACGUUUAGUUCAGUGUAAUUGUAAAGCAAGAAAGACUUUUUACCUUUUUAAGAGGAAAAAAGAAGUUACGCAUAUAUUUUCUCACACCUUUUCUUUAUACAUAUGUAUAUAUAUGUUGUACUCUUUAUGUUGUGUUCGAGAACUGUUUGUUCCAUGCGAAAAUAAUUUUAAAAGAAGAUGCACUCUGUUUUCUCUACCCUAAUAAAUUAUUACUUACCAUCUUGAGGAAAAUAAGUAGAUUUGAGGCUCUGGAUUAAGGUAAUUUUUUUUACACUAAUUAAUGUGCCUAACUUUCACUCAAGCUAUCAUAUAUACAUACAUACAUAUUAAUAAUUAUUAUCCUCUCUUACAGUUAUAUAUGUUUCUUAAUUAAUAAGGAGGCUUUUUCUAAGGCAUUCGUUAGUCAAACCCAGACCCCUCUUUUAAGUAUUUAAGAAUCAAUUUUGUUUCGUGUAAAAUAUUUACAGAAUAUGUAAGGGACUAUGCCAAUAACACCUUUGUAAAAUUUUAGUGGUCUUAUGCUAAUUAGUCAAAAGAAACAAUUAAGUAUUAAUCUCUCUAAAACUCUUGAAAAUUUGGCUUCCUGCCUAAUAAACUAAUAAGUUGCAGUUAAAUUCCUAACCGUUAGAUUAAACAGUCAAAUUUUUCCCACUUACUGUUAGAAUCUAAACGCAGCACAAACAACUAUUAACAUAUUAAGUACACAACAAUUUAAUAAAAAACAAAUCACAAGUAUGAAACAUAAAGGAUACACAAUAUUUAACGUGAUUCGUCUCCGCCAUCAAACCUACGUUCACGGAGAGAAAUCCAUUCUUUAUUAAGAGAGAAAAAUCCUAUACAAGAAUAUAAGUUAAACUCAAAUCCAACCCCUAUAUACUAUUUCUCAUCUCCCAAGAACCCUCUCUCACGAUCUAUAUAUAAAGUUACAUAUCGUCGCUUGUGUGUCCUUUUGUGUGUCUUUUGUAUAAUAUGUCAAUCCACAUAUGUAUAGUAUUAUCUGGUCAAAUUUAAAUAACAACAAGAAAUUAGUGCUAAUUUCUAAACUUAUACUUAUAGAAAAUAACUUCUAAAUCCUAAACAAAAUAAGAAAUUUCUUGGCUACUAUUUCAAGUAACUAAUACCAAUUAAAAAACUAGUUACUUCCACAUAAAACAUGAAAUCUAACUAAAAGAAAUUAAAUCAAUUUCCUAACACUUACUUCUCACCACUAGAUUGGAUUCAUUUUAAGAAAGAUUACUGAAGAGGCUCGCCGAACUUCUUCUACCUUUUCUCUGUGUUAGAUUAUUUUAGGCUAAAUUAGUGACAACUUGACUUUCGGUACACCUGAAGAGCUUUCAGCCUGCUGCUGUACAUGCUAUUCCUCCAGCUCUAUCUACUGGAGUAAGCAAUGAUGGUGAUGCAAAAUAAUGGUAAGAUUAAAGCACAAAAAAAUAUUGAUAUUUUUGAAAUUUGUAUUAUGGUUUUUUAACUUAAAAAAUGCUUUAACAAUAGUGAACUAAUGAAAAAAGGGACAUUUAAAACUUUUGGCUAUUUAAAAAGUUGGAUUGUGAUCUGAAUCCAUUGCCAUUUUUUUUUAAAAAAAAAUGCAUUGCUACUUCAAAGAAAAUAUGGAGUGGUAUUGAUUAAUGGGAGACUAUAUAAUAUAUAGAGUUAAUUAUAGUUUGCACCUUUGAACUUGACCCUUUAUAAUAUUUUGUCCUCCUGAACUUUAAAUAUGUACACUUUACUCUCUUCAUUGACUAGUCAAAUAUUAAUGAUGAAUUCAAGAAGGGGGAUCAUGUGUUGGUUAAACUUUACCAACACGGGCAUGUUCGUGGUGUGUACAAGAGUCUAAUGCGAUUAUAUGAAGGACCGUUCACUAUAUUCAAAAAGAUGGAAAACAUGACGUACAAGGUACCCGAAAUACUAUCCCAACUCCAUCCGAUCUUUCAUGUCAAUUUGGUCAAACCAUUUUAUCAAGAUCCGCAUGAUCCACCAAGAAACAUGUCGACGAAAGCACUCGCGGGCAUGAGGGACAAGUACGAUAAAGUUGCUGAGUAAAUCGUGGCCAACUGUAUUAUUCGGUACAAGAGUUGAGCACUAUCAAAGAAGUACUUGACGCGAUGGCAUGGGCUAUUGAAAUUGGAAAUACGCUAGGAAUCAGCUGAAAAGUUGUGGCAAUUCAAGAGCCUAUACAGGCAUAUGAAAUUAGUUAAGGCAUCGAGGUGAUAUCUUGUUCGAGUGAGGGAGGAUGACAAGGAUUUCAUUCUAUCCAUGCAUGAUCGUGCCUGUCCGGUCAGCCAUGCAUUAUUGUAUAUAGUGUCCCAAUAGAAAAAUCAGGACCAUUAGUAGAUCCAUACCUCAAUCCUCCAAAUAAGUGGCAAGCCAUGGAGCCUUACCUAAGACAUGGACGCUACAUCAAACAUUGUUAGAAGUAUGUAACAAGGCCUAGAGACUUCCGAAACGUUCUAAGUUGUUUAAGAGUCUUGUAGAAUGAUUUAAAAUUUUGUACAUACGAGUUGCCUUGUAUAAAAAGUGCUAGAGAGGGUUUAGUGUAGAAUUCUUUAAAAACUUGUAUAACUUUCUUGACUUGCCUAUAAAUAGGCAAAACCCCUUCAUUUGUAACCAUCUUGUGCAAAUGUUUAUAAUUAUAAUAUAAGUAUUCCUUAACCUCCAAUGUUUUUCUUCUUUGCUCUCUACCUUAGUUUCCGUAUAUUUCCGCACACUUAGAUGUAAGGGUGAACCAACAAACCGUUUAUAGUUUAGGUUUUGAACGAUCACUAAUGCCGCACGGCGUGUUGAUUUAUAGGAAUUUAAAUAACCUGUGACAAUUGGUACUAUACUUUUAAUCGGAAUAUGAAACAUCUUAUUAGAAAAAACACAAAAUCACAUGAUUUAAAAAAUUUAAAAAUAAAAGAUGGUAUAAUACCAAAGAAUUGAAAAAUUAUAUUGCGAAAAAAAGAAUUUAAAAAUUCCUAAAACAUCUACAAAAGUUUUUCAUCGCUUAUUUUUUUCCUUUAAAUUGUAAACGGAUUGGUUUUGAUAAUUUUCAUUUACCUUGCAGCUUUCACAAGACUUUCACAAGUUAAUAAGAUGCUAUUUGAUAAUUUCAGGCCACAUUCGUACCUUGUUUUGUAUUUUGUUUGAAUUCUAUGUUUUAAAAAAUCUAAAAAUUCUCUAAAUAUGUUUUUCAAUAUAUUUUUAUCUCAUAUAAAACACAUUAAAAAGUAUUGUAAUAAAAAAUAUAAGCAAAUGAUUUUCAUUCCAAAUGCACUAAUUAAUUUUAUUUUAUUAAAAAUAUGUAUUGCUAUUAGCAUUGAGAUAAUUACAUUGAAUUGCUUAGACUUUUUGUUUUUGUGAAUUAUCUCAUUUAUUUAAGUGCUAAAAAAUCGAAAUACGUAGUGUAAUUUUGUUUAGAUACAUUUAACAACUAAUAAAGAAAUAAAUAUUUAUUAUGUGCAUUUUAGAAUUAGUUAGGGAUAUUUUGAUCUUGAAAAAUAUAACUUUAUUUUAGCCCGGUAUAAAAGUUGAUCACGAGGGAUAAAAUGGUGGAACCUCAAGUUUGAAUUAAGUUGUGUCUGCUGAUUUGUCGUUUUCGUUCGUUUUUCUACGUGGGUGGUAAUACGGCAAUACACGUCGUCGUUUGAGUGCUGACGUGUCCCCUCCUUCCCACCCUGGAGUCGGUUCGUUUCGUGAAUAACUAAAUCCGGUAUGAUCCCUCACGCAGCUUUCUUUCUUCAGCUUCCAUUUUCAGAAGAAACACUGAAAAUACUCAAAAACAAUAACGAAAUCCGUAAAAGCUAACCAAAAAAAUCGCUUUUUCAAAAUUUUCACUCUUGCCGGAGGAGAAAAGUAAUCGAGAAUCCCUGUCAUUUUCCUCCAAUUUCGAUUACGUAUACGCAUACGCGUACGUAAAUGUACGUGCAUAUCUGUACAGAGACGAUCAUUCGGUAAUUGGAAGGUGUAUUUAUAGUAUAAAUAAUUUUGGAGAAGUGAAAAAUGGCACUGUUGCGGAAAUUGUUUUAUCGGAAGCCGCCGGAUGGACUCCUGGAGAUCUCCGAGCGUGUUUACGGUUUGUUCUGCGAUAUCUAUCCUCGUAUAUUUUGUAAUUCUGGUGUUUUGAGCUGAAUAUUUGUUGCUUGGUUGUAUUGUAUGGAUUGUGUCAAAUUAACUGUACGAGUGUACGUUAAUUUUGAAAUUUUGGUGAUUUGAAGUUCAGUAACGUCGUUGAAAUGUGAACUAAUUUUGAUUGUAUUAAUAAAUACAUAUGUUAGGAUUUUUUUUUCAAAGAUUAAUGUCGAAUUGGAAGGUAAUGCAUUGGUUGGAGUUGUUUUGAUUAGCAUUACAGCAAUGAUAGUUCAACUGAGAUAGUGGAAUGCAAUUUGAUUUCAUGUUUCUUGAGUAAAUGCAGUUUGCAUUUGUAAGGUUUUUUCUGUUAAAUUUCCAUAAAUGAGUUGUUGAUGACGUCGUUGUGGUCUCGAAGCACUGUGUAAGGAGUUAGUUUGCUGGUUAUAUGGGGAAAGAAGGACUAAUUCCUCUAGGUGUUAGUCAAAAUCAUAGUGGUCGAUGUUAGUCUUUAGGUGGUCUAGAGCCUGUUUCUGAUUAAUGAAAAUCUCUUGGAAACCUUGACAGUGUGUUGCUUUUUGCAAGGUUUUAAAAUGCUAAAGAUGUUGACAGUAGCGCCUCCCUUGCAGCUUCUCCAAAUCAGCUUUCUUAAGCUUCAAAUAACUUAUUCAUUGUCUGCAACUAAGUCAGGCCCUUAGAAUUGGUCCGACUGAGCAAGCGUUAUGCACGUGCAGCAAUGGCAACAGGUGUACAGAAUAAGAUUAGGUGCAUACCUGAAGGACGUUGAUGUCCAUUUCCAUAACUCUCUUGAAAUGUUUUCAAGAUGGUUUUGACAAUGGAAUUCCGAGAACAUGUGCAAAUAGAGACAUUUUAAUUACACGGAACAAAUUUUAACACUCCGAGGAGAGCUGCGUGUACUCAUUUAGUUUUUCUACACAAAGAAGGAAUCUAUAAGGUCUUCUCUUGUUUUGAAAUAAAUAAAUGUUUUUGCAGAAAGUUUCUAUAUGAAGGAAUCGAUGAAGAUGGAAAUUAAAAUAGUCACACGUUGUACUGAUCAUUAUCUGCUUUAUUUCUGUUUUGGUGGAUAUUUUCUUGAAAUAAAUUGUAAGUAGAAAAAACUUGAAUCACCUUCAAUCACUUUUUCCUUGUUUGCUUUUUCUCCUUUUCUCCAUUAGCAUCAAAUUCAUCUACCUGGAGUGUUAAAAUUGUCACAGCUUUUUUAAAUAUAAUUUUUAAGCAUUUCUUCAAAAGAUGCUUUUCAGGAAUUUUUAGGAAUAUUAUUUGGCAAGCCAUGUCUGAAAUUAGAGAAUGCUGCUGGAAAUGUGAUCCAUUUUUCUUUUGCAAAGCUGUAGUACUGAUAGAACAUGUAUGUCAUGUCCUUUCAAGACAAGAUGGUAGCAGAAAAUAUUGAGGUGAUCUGUCCUGUUUGGGAGUGUUUUCAAUUGCUUCAUGGGUUACAUUUACCACAACCUUUUAGUGACCAAUCAGUAGCUUAGAAACAUUGAGGCUUUUUUAAGUGAUUCAGGUUGAAUGUCUUAUGGAAGAGUUGUUCCAGUCCUGAUACUUGGGACAAAAAUAUUUUCAGUUUGAGGGAGGUGUGGAAUUGUCAUUUUGCGUAUUUGUGACUUUAUUUUGAUUUUAGUUGGCCAUGAGCUUCGCCAAUUGAAUUCAUGGUGGAUUCUGUGUUGCAUCUUGCAAUGAAAAAUGCUAACAACUGAUUGUUAGGGACCUGUAGCCUUGAUGUCAAGAUGUUUAUCUGCAAGCUGUGAGGCUUUGAAGAAAAUGUUCUUUUGAAAUGGUAUCUAUCAGGAAUAAACUUUGUUCAGAAAAUUUGAGGUGCAUCUGUGCCAGUGGCAGAGGCAGGUCAGGAGGGACUGUCACCCCUCUAACUUCCGAGAGAUUUUAUCAUAAUUUAUACAAUUGUAUAGAAUUUUUUAUUUAGAUACUUAUUUUGCACAAGAAUUUUCUUAAAUUUUCUCUCUCCCUCUUCUGCAAUUAGAUUAGAUUUCUUUCUUCUCUUUAGAUGUAGUUUGAUCAAUGUUUAUAAUUCUUUGUGUUGGUGCAUUGCCCGUAGAGGAUCUUUUCUUGUUUUUAUGAUACGCAGCAUUGUACCUGGUGCAAUUCUUGUACUUUUUUUCUCCUUUGGGCCUGUGGAAAAAAUGCUUCAUUUGAUUCCAUCAGUUUUCCUUUGCAACUGCUGUAUUGUAAGAUAACAUGUGUACAGCAUUUCUUUCUCCAAAUCACCCCUCCCUUUGGUGAGAUCCUGGUUCCGAGAACCGAUGUUUACUGCUUCUUCUAACAAAGAACUUACAUGUAAAUCUGUAAAAUGUUAAAGAAAAAGAUGAUUACUUGGUUGUUUACAAGUGAUGAACUAUUUCCCUGGUACAAUUAGCUUUGUAAGAGUAUUCAUUGUGAUUGGUCUUCUCUUUGCUGUAAAACAAGAAAGUCCUAAUUUUAUUAUUGAUUAGGGACCAACUAUUUCUAAUGUUGUCUCUGUAGUAUUUGAUUGCUGUUUUACAACUGAUGUUUGGGAUGAAGAAAACUACAAAGGCUAUGUAGGAGGCGUCAUUAGUCAACUCCGGGAUCAGUUUCCUGAUGCCUCAAUCUUGGUUUUCAAUUUUCGUGACGCUGAGUGGCAGAGCCGGAUUGCAAAUGCUUUGUCUGAAUAUGAUAUGACCAUAAUGGAUUAUCCUCGUCAGUAUGAGGGUUGCCCAUUACUCCCCAUGGAGGUGAUCCAUCAUUUUUUGAGAUCUAGUGAAAGCUGGCUUUCACUUGGGCAGCAAAAUCUGCUUGUAAUGCACUGUGAACGUGGUGGUUGGCCAGUUUUAGCUUUCAUGUUGGCAGCGUUGUUGAUAUAUAGGAAACAAUACAGUGGGGAGCAGAAAACACUGGACAUGGUUUAUAAGCAGGCUCCACGGGAACUGCUUCACUUGCUUGCACCGUUGAAUCCAAUUCCUUCUCAGUUAAGGUACUUGCAGUAUGUUUCAAGGAGGAAUCUAGUAUCACAGUGGCCGCCACUGGAUAGGGCACUUGCUUUGGAUUGUGUCAUUAUCAGAAUGAUACCUAAUUUUGAUGGAGAGGGUGGUUUUCGACCAAUAUUUCGUAUUUACGGUCAGGACCCCUCUCUUGUUGCUGAUCGUACUCCAAAGAUUUUAUUCUCAACUCCAAAGAGGAGUAAAGCUGUUAGGCAUUACAAACAGGUAAAUUAUUAUGACUUAUGCCUUGGUUAUACAUUUUUCGAUGUGCAAAUCAUCGCUAUUCUUAGGGAAAUUGUAUGUUGUUCACUUUAUUGGCUCAGAUGUUCAUCAGUUUGGACAGAGUCCAGAGUGUGUCACCUUCGUUUGCAUAUUUUAUGGUGAUUCUGGCAUUCAUUCAUCAGUUUGAACUCAAGAGUCUAGUAGUGAAGGAUCAGUAUUACUGUUGCUCUUGCUGUCCUAAACAAAGAAGUGAGAUGUUUUAAGACUGAGAGUUGGCCGUUUUACUUCAAACACAUCCUUGUGCAAGACAGUGGUUCUUGGAUCACACAGUAUGUCUUCCAGUUUCAGGAGUGAUAACCAACAUUCUCUUUUAGCAUCAUGGUAGUAUUGGGGGAUUUUUUUUUCCUUCCGUUUUUUUUGGGGGGUUGGGGAGGGGAUCACUAGACUGGUUUUAGUUUUUUGCUACUUGGACAAGACUUGCUGAAGGCCAUCAGGCCCAUCACCUUCUCCAGUUUGGGUUGCAUUCCAAACUCUGCCUGUUGAAAAGUAUUUAAGUCCAGUUGAAACCAAGGAACCUAAGCACAAAUGUUUGACUUGGUGAAACCUAAUUUGUCGAAUUGUUGUAUUUGUUGGGCAGCCACUGGGCUCUCCAUCAACCAAAAUGGUACAAGUUAACAGAAGUUGAAUAAUAUAAGGAUGAGGCAGCUUCUUUGGUCUGUUAGAAUAGACUCUUAGAUGGGCAGAAUGCAACUUCUCAGCUAUUAGAACCUAGAGAAGAUAUAAUCUUAAAUGACUUUUGAGACUACAUUUCUCAAUUGCUAUCCUGGACGGUGGCUAGGGUCUUGACAACCAAGUACUUUUUUUUUUUUUUCUUAUCCAUUUUAUUCAGAACUGGCAAUAUACAUGUAUUAUUGCUGAAGCCGUAACCUUUAUUGUACCACUAGAACUUGUCAGUUAAUUUUUCUCAGAUUUUCCUUUUUUAAAAAUCCAAAGAAGCAUCAAUAUGAAAUAUUGCUAUAGCAAAUAAUUUUGAAAGUAUCAUUGCCUGAAAUACAAGAACAACUUCCUGGAAUAAACAUAUAUCUUCUUAUAUUAUGAGGAGCUGUUUUGUCUUGGGUAAUUUCAAUCUCGAUUUUUGAUAGUUUAAACCUAUAAGUUGGAGGAAUGCCUUUUCUGACUCUUACUUCUGGGAAUUGGAUCUAGAUCCUGGGAAUGUGAGGAUGAAUAGCCAUUAAUAAUAACAUGAAAUGACCAAGCUUUGAGGACGCUAAGGACUUCCUAUGAACUAAGGGGUUAACUCUUGAUGUUUUCUUAUUUCAUCUAUAAUGAGUUUAUGUUCACUAAAUUAGUUUACAAAAGCUCUGUAUUGAUUUUGGAUAGUAGAGACCUGAGAUUUACGCUACAACAUAUUUUCUACUUGAACAGGUUAUGUUGUUCCAAUUUUCUAUUUAUACUUUAUAUGUUGUAUUUUGUUGGACUAGGCUUUUGAUCAUAACAUAUGAACAUUAUUGCAUGUUUGUAGGCAGAAUGUGAGUUGGUUAAGAUUGAUAUAAACUGCUGUAUCCAAGGUGAUGUUGUCCUGGAGUGUAUUAGCUUGUACGAUGACAUGCAACGUGAAAAGAUGAUUUUCCGAGCUAUGUUUAACACUGCCUUUAUCAGAUCAAAUAUUUUAAUGCUUAAUCGCGAUGAAAUUGACAUAUUGUGGGAUGCCAAGGAUCUGUUUCCAAAAAAUUUCAGGGCAGAGGUAUGUUACUUUGCUUGUGAUUAAAUGUGGUUUUCUUCAGUAGGAGGCAUCAUCACAUUAAUGACCUUGUAAUGAAGGUCCUUUUCUCGGAGAUGGAUGCAGCAACUUCCGUAGUUCCGGGGAAUAUGUCCUGUUUUGAAGAGAAAGACGGCCUUCCAGUGGAGGCAUUUGCAAAAGUUAAUGAGAUCUUUAGCAGUGUGGAUUGGCUGAUUCCAAAGGCAGAGGCUGCACUCAGUGUGAUUCACCAAGUGGCUGCAUCAAAUGUUGUCCAAGAAAAGUUGGCUGCUGAUGCUUUCCAUACUAUGGGAAGCGGCACAUCCCCAAAAGAAAUGGCAGCUGAAAAGCUUCAGGAGAAAGAAAACUCUGCAGCUUUAGAGGAAAUUGUUAAGAUUUCCACGUACUUGAUGUCCAAGGAGCAGUCUGGCUCCUCUACCGGUUCUCUCUUGGAUGUAGAUGUGAAUAAACAGACAGUAGGAUCGCAAUCUGUACAGAGUGGUAUAGUGACUGCAAAAUUGCCACAUCCGGUUGCUCCGUCUGAAUCUUGUAUGAUCACUGCUGAAAAGUCUAGUCUUACAUAUUCACAUUCAGACGUUAUGCCUACAGCUUCACCUCUCUUGCCAGCUUAUCAGGAAAAGCAUACUUCAGAAACCACACCUGCAGAAGUAUCAUCCCAAAAUGAACCUUGCAUAUCUCCACAGGAAAUUGGUGAGAAAAAAAUAGUCCCAAUUUUCUCUGCAACUGAGCCUGAACCUCAUACAAUUACUCCUUCAACUAAACCUAUUCCUUCACCUCAACCUCUAAAGGAUGCAAUUAUUGAUUCUCCAUCCCCUCCUCCAUUGCCCCCACACCCUACCACACCUCCUCUGAUGGAUAAAAUAACCAGACCUCCUCCACCUCCACCUCCACCCCUUCCCACUGUUUCAUCUAUAGCAGCAGAAGUAGCUAGUAGUAGGGCUCCCCCAUCACCACCCCCACCGCCAACUACUUCUUUGAUUGAAAAUGCAACUAGCAGUACUGGAACAUGCCAAGUAGCUUCUCUAUCCCCUCAGGUUUCAACUGAAUCUUCUUUUGUUACUUCACCCAGAAGAACUGGACCACCACCUCCCCCACCAACCCCUCUACUCCCACUGCCUUUUACUGCAUCAACCAUAGCAGAAAAAGCAACUAAUAGCAGGGCUUCUUCACCACCACCUCCCCCACCAUCACCACCUAUAAAUGCUACAUUGAUUGUACAUGCAACUAGUGCUACCAAAGCAGCACCACUACUUCCUCCACUGCCUCAGCUUUCGACUGCUUCUUUUCCAGAGACUUUGCCUAGAAGAACUGGGCCACCCUCACCACCUUCUCCACCUGAUACUGCUGCUUCUUUAACAGAAAGUGACGUUGGUAGAACUGGGCCACCUCCCCCUCCUCCUCCACCAACUCUGACCCCUUUAGCUCCACCUAUGAAGAAAGUUUCAGCUGUUGAAGCUAGGCCACUCCCCCCUCCUCCUCCUCCUCCUCCAGCAACGCCCUCAUCUUCUAGAGAUGGAAUGCCUCAAGUUCCAUCCCCUCCAACUCCACCUCCUCCUCCUCCAGUCCCUCCCUUGAAGGAGAUUUCAACUCCUAUAGGUGGCCCACCUCCACCACCACCUCCUCCAGCAACGCCCUCAUCUUCUAGAGAUGGAAUGCCUCAAGUUCCAUCCCCUCCAACCCCACCUCCUCCUCCUCCAGUCCCUCCGUUGAAGGAGAUUUCAACUCCUAUAGGUGGCCCACCUCCACCACCACCUCCUCCUUUAGUCUCUGGACCUUCUGCAGGACAUAAAAAUUUAUCAGUGAGGCCCCCACCACCCCCUCCUCCGACGAUGGCUGCCUCAGCCAAGGAUAGCUCCUCUUUGAUUCCAUCAGCGCCUCCUCCUCCGCUCCCUUCUAAUGGGAAUCUUAAAGGAGGUUUUGGGCCAACUCAUUCUGUUUCAACGGCUACUGGUAGCAGUGGUAGUUUGUCACCAUCUCCCCCUCCUCCUUCUGCUCCUCUGCCUGGUAAAGGAAGAAACUUAUUAUCACGUACCAUACCAUCAAAAAGCAAUCAGACCAAAAAAUUGAAGCCUCUGCAUUGGCUGAAAUUAACAAGAGCUGUGCAAGGAAGCUUGUGGGCUGAGUCACAGAAAUCUGGUGACACUGCCAAGUAUGUUGCAGUUUGCACAAAUGACAAAUUUGGGAAGUGAUUCGUUGAUUUUGUAUUUCUGGGCCUUCAAUUUUGUAAUCUUUUGUGUGUGUUGAUUAGGGCUCCAGAGAUUGAUAUUUCCGAACUUGAAUCACUCUUCUCAGCUGCAGUUCCAAGCUCAGACAGGAAAGCAAAUUCGCGGGCAUCACUGGGGCAAAAACCUGAGAAAGUGCAACUGGUAUUUAUUUUCUCUUUGAGGUUAAGUGUGUUUUCUCAUAGUUUUUUAAUGCUUGUCUCAGGCUAGUGCCAUACAUUACUGUGUUGUGGUCAUGUCUAGGAAUUCAGAUAAGCUCUGGUGUAAUGUGCACUUUUAAAAAUGGUAUAAAUUUAAUGUGUUUUGAUUACCCAUGACAUACUGGAUACAUUCCUAAAUUUUCAAAGGUAACUCAUUUACAGAACAGCUCCAACAUACACUCAAGGGCAAUCAGGCUGUGGACAUGUUUCCAUCAAUUUGUUAAAUCGUAAAGCUUGAGUAAUUGGAACUUUUGGCUGUUUAAUCUUAAAGAUACUUCCAUUGCUGGCAGUGCAUUGUGUCCAUAUACCUAUUCAAUUGUGGCAUUUAAUAUUGUAGUCGUCAAGGAGAUGGCAGAAAGUAAUACCUUUCUGCGGUCCUUAAGGUAGGCUGGAAAAAUCAGUAAAAAGUACUGCUCACAUAACACACUUCUGUGGAGAAAAGAUACUAAGUUAUUGAAUUCUUGGCACUUGGUAAUAUAAAAAGAGUUUAUGAAUUUCUAAUUUUGCAGAUUGAUCAUAGGCGUGCAUAUAAUUGUGAGAUCAUGCUGUCAAAGAUAAAGAUACCAUUGCCCGACUUAUUGGUAAGUUUCCUGUGGUAUUGUUACUUCUCAGAAUGGUUCUGUCUAAGAUUUUCACUUACUCUGGAACUUUAUGAUAUUUUUAUCCUUAAGAGGAUUUACUUUUACACCAAUAUUUAUGGAUUUUAUAUAGCUUUAGGUCCAUGAUAGUUCUGUUUUUUUUUUUUUUGGUGUUCAGUGAUAAAUAAUAAAAAAUUGAUUGAUGCGAAGAUAUCUGAUAGCCUAGCUAUUGUAGUUUUCUGCAUUGUUAUCUUAUAUAGCUUCCCUUGUGAAAACAUUCAUUACCAAUAGUCUUGCUGUCUAGUUUGCUAUAUCUUGCAUUUUUGCAGGAAAGCAUGGCCAAUGGGUUUGAACUAUAUGCUGGCCUUUAUUUUUGCAUUACUAAGAAAGUAAAUUUUUUUUAUACAUAAAUGGCAUCUUUUAUUGAUAGGCAAAGAAUGUACACAAGCAUUCUAACAAAGUCAAAUUUAUUAGACCAAUUUUAGCGAAUGAAGUUUAUGAUAUUGUUAGGACUUAUUCUCAAGAAUUUGUGACUUGGUAAAAUGGUGUUGAUACAAAUAUUUGGUUUUACUCAAGUGAUGAUAUUACAUUUUUAAGUCUUCAUUCCUGAGGGAUUCUCAAGAUUUAGUGUGUUGUCUUACUUAUUUGUAUCUGUACCUUGCUUACAACCGCUUCUCUACCUAAGUGCUAGCAAGACACUUCAAGCAUGCUGUGUCCAUCUUGGGUAGUCUUACAUCUGCCUUUCCUGUUUAAACAUAUUCACAUAAGAACUAGUUUAGGCCUUAAAAGUCUUAUAACAAAUUAUCGUCCUCCCUCUCUGUUUUAUUUUCUUCCUUUGCCUUUACUACCAGACCUCUCCUCUCUCAGAUUCAGUUGCACUCUUUUCCAAAAUUGUUGUGUUAAUUAUGUUUCUGAAAAUUAUAUCAUAAAAUAUUGAAUUACCUACAGAGUUCAGUGCUUGCCUUGGAAGAUUCAGCACUGGAUGACGAUCAGGUUGAAAACCUGAUAAAAUUUUGCCCAACAAAAGAGGAAAUGGAACUGCUAAAGGUAAUACUCAUGUUAGCUUAUUAUGAUAUCUGUUUUCUCUGGGAGUUUACAGAGUGUGGGAGCUGUACCCAGGUGAAAAUGACUAGUACAGAUUAAGUAAUCUUUCUACUCUUCCUUGUCUAACAUGUAAGUAUUUUUCCAUUUUAUUUUUUUCAGGGUUAUAAAGGAGAGAAAGAUAAGUUAGGAAAAUGUGAACAGGUUUCUUUAAUUUUGGUUAUCCACUUUAAAUUAUUUUCUUUCUAUCAAGAAGGAAUAAAUUUGCCGUUCUGUUUGGCCAGCUCAACUGAGUUAAAAAUGGUAUUAUUUUUGUGUUCUUUUCAGUUCUUCUUGGAGUUGAUGCAAGUACCACGAAUAGAAUCUAAGCUCAGAGUUUUCUCUUUUAAGAUUCAGUUCCACUCCCAGGUUUGCAAACAAUACAUAUGUUGAUUUGGCCUUUACAAUUAAUGGGCUUGCGUCCUAUAACUUUAUGCUUUGUCUUGUCAUUUACAGGUUUCUGAGCUACAGAAGAAUCUAAAUAUUGUAAAUUCUGCAGCUGAUCAGGCAAUAUUUUCCACAUGCUGAUUAUGUCUCUUUAUUCAAUUGUUCAGUUGCAAUCAAUAUCUUAUUCAUAUAUCUUAAACUAUAUUCAUCAGAUCAGGAGUUCAGUCAAAUUGAAGAGAAUCAUGCAAACAAUUCUUUCAUUGGGAAAUGCAUUGAACCAGGGAACUGCAAGGGGUAUGUACUUCAUAGUUGGUCAGAGAAGGAUUUCAUUUAUCUUUUCCAGCGGUGGAUUCACACUAGGGGCACAUGCCCCCACUGCCUCCUUGAAAAUUGUAUAACUAUAGUAUUCAUGAUAUUUGAUUUUUGCCACCACUAGGUUAUUGUUAAGUGAAAAUUAACAUAUACUAGUUUGGUAACUUAAUGGAAAUGGUAGGUAGAAAUCCAAGAACCUCUUGCUUCAAUUAUCUAGUUUCCUUGUAACUUCUUGUACUUUGUUAAUUAUAAGAUAAAAAAGUUGUAUGGACUUUCAAUAAAACAAAAAUCUUAAUUUGCCUAGAAGUAGUUGAGUUAUUUGUUUUGCCUCCUGAUCUCCUUUUAACCCAUAAAAAGCAAGUAAUAUUUAUUCUCUCUCCAACUCUUCUCCUUUGAUCACCUCCUUUGUCCCGCCUUCAUCCCAAGCAAACACAAAACGUUGAAAACUUAUCUCAAGCAAUUGUAAUAGGUUAUAUGUAAUUUAUGAAGGAAAACAAUUAUUCUAUUAGUGAAUUCCAAUGUGUCAUUUUAUGUUAUACUACUCAUACAAUUUUUGUAACUUUUCUUUUGGAGAUAGUUGUAUUAUUUUUACUUAUUAUGUGAAUAUUUUUGUCAUUCUUAUUUUUAGGGGAAAAAGAACAAUAAACAUCUUCUAUGUUGUCUUUGUCCCACUGAAACUUAUGCUUGGCUCCACCACUGAUCUUCUUUAUCAUGAAAUCUAAGUACAUAUAAAUAGAGGAUCGAGGAUUUCUGCCAGUGCAAGAUAUUGAUCUCCAAUCAAUUGUUGUAUAUUUGUAUUUUCUGCACAAGUGAUUAUGUCUUAGGUUACAGCCUCUACCCUUUACUUGUAUGUUGUUUUCAUGUUUUCUUUUGGUAGCUUUUCCUUUUUUUUGACGUUGUUAGUGCCUCUUAAGGAAAAGUAUUUUGUGCAAAGAUCAACCAAAAUUAUCAUAAUUUCUGCUGUUGGCUAUGCUUUCAAGAAAUUCGUGAUGUAAUUGAUUGAAUGCCUCUCAAGUCCAGCCACACAGGUCUUCUCAGGGCAUUCUUUAAAUUUUUGGCUCAUGUUCAUUAGAUCCCAUGAUCUUUUUUUGCCUCUAAGACCUGUAAUCACCUGAAAUGUGGAUUUGAAUUUUAAUUCAAUUGUACAUUUUACUAAGCACUUGUUGUAUGAGUUUGUUCUUGUACAGUUAUUUUUAUAAACAGCAGGUGCAGCUCAAUUUCACAGCUGAAAGUGCUUCGAAGGCCAAGGAAAAUAUUUGUAGUUUAAAAUAUUGCUUAUGGUAACUAAUUGAAUUUUAAUCGUAAGAAAGCUGUACAUGGAUUCUUGAAUAUUUCAAUAUUUAAUUUCCACUGCCUUCUUUUAUUGGCUCCUUAUAUUCUCAUUUUUCAUCUCAUGAAACAUUGCUUAUGAGUUUUGGAUGUUAAUGCUUUUUUCUUUCUGGCAUCAUGAGUUUGCUGUCUGAUUACCUUGAUGCUUUUGUGAUAGGCUCUGCAGUCGGGUUCAGAUUAGACAGCCUUCUUAAACUUACCGAUACACGCGCUCGAAAUAACAAGAUGACACUAAUGCAUUACCUUUGCAAGGUGCAGAUCACGAUUUCAUGACUAGUCUCUAAUGCUUAUGGUAUUGGUAUAUGUAUAUGCAUGUUGUGCUUUUUGAGCACUUCUGCUGUGCAUUUUUGUUGCCAAUACGUGAAUGUAUUGUAUUAAUUUGAAUGGUGCCUAUGGUGAAGAUCUCGUGUAUCCAUUUAAAAUGUUUAUUUCGAGAAAUUUGAGAUUUCAUCAUUGUUUCGUUGCUGGAGAUAAUGACUGAUGCUUUAUUGCUGUUUAUGCAAAUGCCUUACCUCUUUGAUGGAGAAACUCAAAAAGUUACAUUCUUUGCCCUCUUGUUGCUGUGGUUUUUCCUCAUCACUGCCUUGCAGUCCAACCUUUUGCAAUUUCCACAAAGGACAGUCUGUUGCCAUUGGAGUUUGUGCAAUCCCUGUUGAUUAGUUGUAUUCUUUAUGUUUCUGUGACCACCUGCUUGUCUCUAACGUUGUGCUAUUAGACCAAUGUUGUCUAGAGUAUCUGAGACAGCCCUUGCUUGAGCCAGUGGUUGUCCAUAUGAUAACACAUAUUUUCUAAAUAUUUGACUGCUAUUCUCCACUGUAAUUAUUUUUUAAUUAAAUUUUCACAUGUUAAGCAUCACGAGUUUAUCCUGUUUACUGUGAUGUAUUGAUAUCAAUUAACCUUCAAACUGCUUUCUGUAAUACCUGCAUACAAACACUGCAGCCAUUGUGCAAUGUAGUAGCUAAUCUUAGGCAAUCACAGGUCCAUGCUGCAGCAAUGUUAUGACUGUAAAGCCAAGCCUAACCUUUGGUUUGUCAAGUAAACACAAUUGUUAUUUUAUUUGUCAAACUUAUUCAUCAUUUGACGAUGACUUUUUGUUUUUCCUUCUGAACUUCGUCUGUGUCUGUUACUACAAAUUACUAGUUGUUUGCUUUAAAGUUACUGAUGCUGUUGACUUUUGAGCUCUGACCAAUAAAAUUUUCAUUGACAUUUUUCUUGUUCAUUGUUUGAUUACAAUUUUUUGUUAAAUAUUUCAUUAGGUGCUUGCUGAUAAACUGCCAGAACUUCUGGAUUUUUCCAAAGAUCUAUCUAGCUUGGAACCUGCUUCAAAGGUAUACAUUUAUUGUAGUAAUAAUAAUUACCCAAUCCAGCAUAGGUGGUGUCUGCUGAUUGGACUUUUCAGUUUCAUUUAGAAUCUGUUAUUGAGUUAUAUAUGGUAUCCAGGUCCAAUUGAAAAUUUUGGCAGAGGAGAUGCAAGCUAUUAGCAAAGGACUUGAAAAGGUCAUACAGGAGUUGUCCAUGUCUGAAAAUGAUGGGACUGUGUCUGAAAAUUUUUGCAAGGUAUCAUUUGAGCUCCUAUUUACAUACAAAUUCUCAACAUUCUUUUUCGGAUCACAAAAAUUUGCUUCAACUGCCCACUGCUUUAUCACACGUCUUUGAAGUCCUGGAAAUAGCUUAAUGUUGUGCUACACUGUUGAGCAUAUCCAACUACAACUGGCAAACUUGUUAGGCCAGUUCUUCUCUCCUGUGCUACUGUUGAGUCACAGUAAGCAUCAAAAGCUUUGCUGUUAUUGGUGACUGCAAAAUAAUUUAAGUUGAUUUUGCAUAUGCAAGGAAUAGACAAAUCUUAGAUAAGAAAUAGGAAUGUUUGUAUCUGAUAAUUAAGCAUCUCUAAGGUGGAAGGCUGGACUCAAUUUAGCAUUUAAACGGAAGAGGUCUAUUGACAUCUCCUCUUUUAUUGGUGCCAUGGAAAAGAAUAAAACAUGUCAAUUUAAAUUAAUUGUGCACUCCAUUACGUCACCUCUGCUGAGUUUUGAUGUUGUGAGAGUUGAUCCCAAUAUUCCUUGAAAAUGUUUUGUCUUCAGUCAGUGUUGCGCAGACAAUCAGCUGUCUUCUAGGAUGGAAAUUGUGGUUUAUCACGAUUUCACCUGUUGAGACAUUCACUAGAUAACAUAUGCUAGCACAUAUACAACUGGUAUACGUUAGCCUUCUAAGUCUUGAAGUUUACCUCCAUGAGUCUAGUAUUGUGACUUUCCAGUUGGUAUUUGUUCAAGUGGAUCAUUUGAGUUGUACUCAUCCAUUUAUUGCAUGUUUAAACUGAUCUGAGAGCUUGUGCCAUCCCUUCCUUUUGUUUUGACUUGGCAUUGACAUUAAUCUUUUUCAUUCCUUUUCCUGGCUAUGGAAUAAUUAAUGAUACUCUGGCAAAAUGAAAUAGUUUAUUCAACAAGAGGUUUCUAAUUUGUAACUUAGUUUCUUUAAUUUGGAAAUCUUUAAGGAUAUUCUCAAUGAUUAUGUAGGCCUUCACAAAUAAGAUUGGAGACUGUUUGUUUUGGAGUUAUGGAUUAGUAUUUAUCUAAUUCAAUGUCUAAGAAGGAGAGAGUGCAUGGACUUCAUUUAGCUUAACAGCAGAAGAAAACAGCCCAAUGUUUGAGGACCAAAAGAAGCAUAGAACUAAAGUUUCUUGAAUGUACUGUGGAUUAUAAAGAAAGAAUAGGAAAAGGUGCUGAUGAGGAGUGGGGGAACUUUCCAUAAUAAUAAGAAUUUAUCCUGGAAAGUGGGUAGGCUAAUGACCUGGAUGAAGAGAGGAUUAUUUUCCAUAAUAAAGAUAAGAAUAGUAUCCUGGAGUACGGGAAGGCAAAUGACCUGGAUGGAUUUUUUAAACCUUGGCUUCAUCCUGGAAACCUUGUCUUAUCUGGUUACAGAAAACAAAAAAUCAAACAUGUAUUAAAUGUGAUUUGAGCCUUUGGAUUGCUGGCAGAUUCAGGUUGUAUAUUCCCCACUUAGUAGUUUUCUUGGGCUGAGUGUGGAGGUUGUGGGUAGGGGUUUAGUGUCGCAGUUAAUAACUCCUAUUUUGUCUAACAAUAUAGCUGGGUGUUGUCAGGGGUUUCCUACAUAAUUGCAUGAAAAAAUUUCAAAUAAUGAUGGAAUUAAGCUUUGGGAAUGGAUGAAGGAGGUGAAAAGUGAUUGUGUUUCUUUCCUUGGGUUAUAUAGGCUAACUGGGGCAAUUACUGGAGACGAGAUGCUGCCUCAGCUUUUGGGAUAUGGGGGACUUCGAUAGUUUAUAAACGAGAAGCAGUUAGGACUUACCUUAAUUGAUGAACUCUUUUCCUUGGCGGGUUGGGCUGUUGAUUUACCUGAAUGUGAAAUACUGUCCAUCGUCAAGUUUGGUACUUCAUAAAUACCUUGGACUAGCCUUGCUUGUAAACUACAGGGAUCCACAAUUGAGAGGUCAGAGAAAAACCUAGCAUGUCCGAAAAGGAUUGUUUAGUGAAAGGUGGCAAAGCUACUAGGGUAAGAAUUCCAUAAAGCAAAGUGAAGCAUUUCCUAUGCAUCCCACAGUGUUGCAAAGUAUUUUGAAUCCCAAUAAAAGCACCUAUUGGAGUGGGAGUGCGAGGUACUAGAGAUCCUCUGACUUUUCAUUGUCAAGUGGUGGAUGCUGAGACUCCGUAUGAAGAAAUGCCUCUUUGAAGGAUUGUAAUGGAGGUAACUACUAGAACAACUACUAAUGUGGAGGUUUGCAUUUAUUUCAAAUAGCGUUAGCAAUUGCCUAUUUGAGACAGGUUGCGAGAUGAGGGGGAAAAUGUAAUUUGUUUGAGAGAAGGCACUGGGGUGAAACUCUGUAUUGAUGAGUUGUGUGGCAGGAGAAAUUCGUGACGAGGUUUUCCAACCUCUUUCUAAUUGCUCUUACAGAAGCUAGUAUUGCUAUAAUAAUCAUCAGGAAGGAGGGUGGGGGUGGGGGGAGGGGGAAUAUUUGAGAUCCACAUUUUAGGCAUGUUUAUACUAUUGGGAAGUAGAAUCUGACCAGGAUCAUUAUUGUAGACCUGUAUGUUUAUCUGGUUGGAAGAGGAUGUGAUAAAUGCAGACCAACCAAAAGCCCAGGAUUUUAACACUAAAAUCUUUGCAUGAGAGGUUAGCAGCAAUAGGGCUGAAAGCUUUCCUUUAAAAACUGACUUUGGGGUAGCAAGGGCCUUCUUUUCUCUUAUCAUGGAAUGGUGGUUUGUAUAUCAAUCCUUCAGUUUCCCUUGCUUCCUCAUUCCAUCCCUUCCCUUUGACAGAGAUACUCAAAAAGAAAUUGUGAAACAAAAAAGGACCAAGGCACCAAAGAAAGUUCCUUUUAUCACUUGGUCUGCAACAUAAAAUGCUAUCCAAAGUGCACAAAAUAUGAAAAAAAAAAAAAGAACUAGUUCCAUUUAUUGGUGUCUCGUGUGGUAGAAAAAUGGGGAAGACUCUAAUCUGCUUUUGCAUUGCUUAAUAGUCAAUCAUUGGAAAAAUAUAUGGACAACCUGGAGGUUAGAAGGAAGAGCUUAGGAGACAUUCAGGGGUGGCAAGUGGCAGAUUAGCACUUUGGAACCAUAUUUAUUGAGCAUAUGGAACUUUUGGAGACGAGAAAAAUCUCUUUAGGCAAAUCAAGAUUACCGUGGUACUUCACUUAUUUUUUUGGUAGGUGGCCAUUACAGCUUGUAUUGAUACCUUGGAAGGAUUGUUGGACGGCACUUUAUCUGUUGCACAUUAUUUUUAGGUUAUGUUUGCCCCUUUGUCUUCCAUUCUGAUAUCUGUUUUCAUUUUGUUUUUCUUUUCAUAUCUUUGUCUGCUCAUUUCAUUACUUGUAUGGGCUUCCACUAUCAGGCCUUGAAAGAGUUCCUCUCUUUUGCUGAAGGAGAAGUGAGAUCCUUGGCUUCACUCUAUUCUGGGGUGGUAUGUCUCGUCUAGCAUCCUAAAUUUUGCUGCAGUAAUCUUUUCUCAGGUGGGCAUGAUGUUAACUUGUUCUUGUGCCUCUUUCUAUUACUUGAAUCUUUGCAGGGCAGAAAUGUUGAUGCGUUGAUUCUGUACUUUGGAGAAGAUCCAUCUCGUUGCCCAUUUGAACAAGGUGUUUGAGAUUACUUUACUAUAUAUUACUAGUUUGGUUUUAGGUCUGGAAGAUGUGGUGACUUCAGCACUCAUAAUUUCUACAGUGUGGUUGCAUCUUUAGGAUGGCUUCCGUGGAUUUCAAGCAAAGUGUUUGGGAAUGCUUUUUAUCUUUAAGUUUGGUAAUCGGACUUGGGGGUUUUAUUACCAUACAGAUUAGAGAAACUUUCAAAGAAAAGAAACCACUGGAACCAAGAGAAAGUGGAUUUAAGUUGAUGAAGUUUUGAAAUUUGAAGGUAGAAUGAAUAGAAACAUCAGUCAAUCCCCACUAAUUAGUCUUAAAAACAUCUCUGGCAGUUCUUAUUCUGCUGCUUUCCUUCUUUUCACAAUGUUACAUGGUACAUGGGCUUAAUAAUAUUCUGAAUUUUGCAGUUAUUUCAACCAUUCUCAACUUUAUGAGAAUGUUCAAUCGAGCCCAUGAGGAAAAUUGCAAGCAGCUUGAGUUUGAGCGAAAGAAAGCAGAAAAGGAAGCUGCAGCUGAAAAACUUCAGUUAGAUGGUCGAGGAAAAGGGGCUGAGCACAUGGUACAUUCUCCAAUUAAGAGUUAGGUAAUCAUACAUUGGACCCUUCCACUUCCACUUCCAUUCCACGUUAAGACUAUACAAUCUAGCCUAUGAUGCUUUAACGCUACAAGCUGUACCAGUCCAUUAGGCUGCUUGAGUCUCAACAUCGAAUCGUGGUGGUUAGUAGGGAAGCAAUGUGCAUUAUACCAGUCCUAGGUUUGUAAGAUAGCAUGUUCUGACAGCGUUUAGAAUUUGAUAAGAGCAGGCGUGAAUCCUUAUCUUCCUAAUGGCGACUUCAGUUUCUCUGACUCCAGUGUAUUAUAUAUGAAUCCUUUUCAGCAGAAUCUGGAAAUUUACGACCUGUUUGUAGUAGGUGGGUCGUGAAUAAGUCUUUCUAGCAAAAUAAACAGAAGGCAAGAAAGAUUUCGGUUAAAAAAAAAAAAAGUGGUCUGCAUUUCCUUUGUAUUAAUUAGUUAUCUUCUGGUAAAUCUUUAGAUUGUUUCAGCUAAAUUAUUUGCCAAUCAUGUAUAUAUGUAGCAACUUUUAGCUGCCGUCAAGAAGAGCAACAUGUUUCCAGGUGAUUUUUUAUUCAACUGCGUGUGUUUGUUUCAGGUUCAUUUCUCUUUCGAAGUAAGGAACAUUACGUCUUCUCAUCUCUUCUUCCCUCCAUGAAUCACAAAUUAUACCAAAAACUGUCCCACAUCUCCACGAUAAGAUAAGCUCUUCCAAAAAGUGAACGCAAAAUUAGCUGUGAAUUAAAGAAAGAACAAAUAAUUUAGCUCUGAAUCUAUUAAAGUCAAUGACCCAAGAACAACCAUUACAACCAACAGAGCAACAGCCAAACUACCCAACAAACAUCAACCCCCAAUGAGCCAAAUCAAGGGAAGAUUUUCCUUUGUUAUACCAAUGCAAACUUGAGGGAAGGGCCAGAGGGAGGUUCAAAUCGCUUCCCACUACUCUACUGCAGAAGGCUUCAGAAGUACUGGUGUACUACUAGUGGUGGAUUCAAAAUUUACCUCGCUUUUGGGCUUCACCAUAAGGACAAGUCUAUGUCUAUCUCAAUUCCUAGGCUGGAAAAUUCUGAUAAACCUUGGCACCCGUUCCACAGUAGCAUAUUUUUGAGUCCUUGAUCUUUGUUACCGUAAUCACAAUUAUUAUUGAUGUUUUAGCUAGAGCAACGACAUCCCCACACACCCCUUAUUUGAUAUCCACUCACCCUCAUCACUUUAAUUUUAAUCACAUUCUCAGCCAAGCUAAUCAGCUUAAUUUUUGUUGUAUCCGGAGCUAAUUUAAGGUUCGUAAAAAUGUAAAUGAAUAUAAAGUAGAACCGUAUAAUAAUAUUAUUAUUUCUCUUUAGCUAAAUAGUUCAAUUUGAUUGUGAUCCAGUACUUGGAUCUUCUGUGAAGAGCUUGCUUGCUUUCUAGGUUGGUUAAUUCAUUUUCUUCCCCUAAAGCUAAAAAGAUUGCAGAUUUCUUUUUCUUUGUUGAUUUUUUUAUAGGAUUAGGUCAGGGUAAUGUGGUAUUAGCACAGAAAACACAGCACUGACUCAAGAUCCAAAAACCAUCCUAUGCUGUGCCGCAGUCCACGAACGGCGUAAUGUACUUGUCGCAAAUCACGUGCCGUUAACGGUAUGCUUGUGGGGUCUUUUGGUUCACAGAAAUUGAGAAAAUGAUUCUUCUUCAGUCCUUUGUCUAGCAACAAAAGCUACCCCCUGAGUUAAUGGGCACAAACCUUGCCUCCACCAAAAAUGCCACAUUUAAGUGAUUUGUUUCAAAAAAUCCAGGCGGGUGUGUUGUGCAACCGCUUAAUCCGGUGGUGGUUUAGUUCCCUCCGGAUUUUCCCUGGGCCUCCUUAGGUCCGCCCCCUCCCCCUUAGUGUAGAAUAGAUUAGGUUAUAUAACAGUUAUCGUGUCCGAGAAAAAAAAAAAAAAGAGUUAAUGGGCACCAACUGCGAUCUCAAUAGGUUUAAAAUUUCCAAGAGAGCAAAUCCAAGAAUUUCUCCUAUUCUAAUUUGUAUAUUCAUCAAAAUUCAAGGGGGUCAUUAUUGCUAGUACCAUGCUUUGAAUAUAGGGAUAAUUUCACAAACCUCUCCUAAGGUUUAUAACAAUUUCAGGUAGUACUCUCCAAGUUUAAAAAAUUACACAUAUCCCCUCAUUGUCUAAAAUGACAAAAAUAACCUUCAUCCAAUGUUGAAUUUAAAGUCUCCAUGAAGAGAACUAAUGUAUUGUAAAUUAAAUUUAGUAAAUCGUUUGAAAAAAGUAAAAAAUGAAAAAAGAAGAACAAGAGUGAUAAAUUUCUAUCUCGUCAUAGACACCCACAAAAUCUAAACCCAAUCUUACUCCAUAUAGUAGUGAUUUUAGAGUAAAUAAAAACGUUAGUUUCCUCCACAUAUAGAUUCUUAUUGAAUUAGUUUUGUUGGGCAAGUAAGUAUUAACAUUUUUUUAGUGGACAGGAACAAAUUUACUAAAGAACUUUAUAAAAAUAUGUGAGUAAUGUUUUGAAUUUAACGUUACUGAGGAGUUUUGUUUUUUUGAAGGAUAAUCAUCUAAGGGCAUUUUAGGAUUUUUAAUGGGGAUUUUUUGCUUACAUCAGCAAAGUGAGCUUCAAAGUAUUUUCUAAGGGAGUUUUUUGUAAUUAUUUAAACCUAAGGGGUGCUAUUUGCAAUUACCAUAAAUCUCAAGGGAGGUUUGUGAAAUUAUCCCUUGAAUACAAUGGUCAAAAUGCCUUUUAUGUGUGUGUAUAUAUAUAUAUAUAUAUAUAUAUAUAUAUAUAUAUAUAUAUAUAUAUCUCUUUGGCUGUUAAGAGUAACUCAAUUCUUCAUUGACCCCAAAUUGAAACCGAAGGUCUUGGAUGGGUUAUCCCUAGCUGCCGAAUCUCUUAACAAAUUUUUCUACAUUAUUCCCCCAUCGAGUUCUCUUGUAUUGUACAAAUAUUUUUGUCUUUCUAGUGCUGACGUUUUCCAUUUUGCAUGCAGGCAAUUGCAGUGGAGAAAACUCGUGUCGGUCGCAGCAGUGUUGACAGACGACAUAAAAGAAUUGAGUAAAGGCUUCAAAGGAGGCAAUUUUUUGUCGGAAUCUAAUGUCUUAGCCAUGAUUUGACAUCACAUAUUCACCGACAGGAGAAAGUUCCAGUGAAUUACCACAUUUGUCAUCAAUCUGAUGCAUUAAAAGAAUUAAAAUAUGACAUACAUACAGAUUAUUAGUAUGUACAGUACACCUGUAUAGAAAAAAAUUAAUUCGUAUAAAUAACUUUUUGCAUGCAUUAUUUGUCAAUACUAGUUGUAUUUAUUCUACUCAUAUAAAUUAUAAUACUAAAUCAUCCCAGGUGUUCAAUUAAGUUUUGUCAUAAUUUACAUCUAUCAUAGGGGAAAAAAAAAAGAUUUAUAAUAUGCGCUGAUUGAAAUAGGACCAGCCCUAGUUGGGCCGCACUAUAAAUGAAUGUGACUUGGGAAAAUAAAUAUUUUAGUGAACAGUUUACUUGUCAGAAUUGGAUUCAUUUGUCUUCAUCAGAUAUCUACACUUACGUAAAGGUCUUGAUGAUGCCCAAGUUAAACGGAUGAAAACACACAAAAUAUACUUCCUCUGCCCUGCCCAUAAAGAUUAGUUCAUCACUCACCUCAAGUGAAAUACCAUUUUGCUUGUGAUAUAUUUCUCCAUCUUCAAUUGCAUUAAGAGUAGUUUAUGGGGUGAUCUUAAAUUUUUUUUUUUCCUAAAAUAAUGAUGCUGAUUCUCAUGCUUCAUGAAGAUUCUCAAGAAUACUCCAAUAUGGGUUCUUUUUUAUGAAUGUUUUUAGCAAAUUAGGUGUGACACUCACGUUUUCUCUUCACUAAAUUAGUAUAUUCUCUUGCUAGUUUCCAGGGGGUGGGUGUAGGGGAGAAGAAUCUUUUGCAGCUGAUAGCAAGGAAAAAAAAAGGUUUAAACAAAAUAAUUGUGAACUUAAGAAAAAUGUUUAGCCUAAUUAGACCCCGGAUUAACCAGAAAAAAAUAUAGAAAGGGAUGGUUUCCUCUUGUAUCUCGAGUAAAGAUUAUCUGUUUUAAGUUUCAUUGAAUGCAUCUUUUUGGCCAUCUUCAACGGUAUUGCACGCGUAAAGAUUUUCUGUUAGCACGUUAUAAAGUUUACCCAAACCUUGAAAUGUCACACAAGCUUAUUAGCAAUAAUUGAUACUUUAGUUAAACAACCUCAAUAAUUAUUAGGCAUGGUAAAACAAUACCAUUUUUACCUGAAGUAGGACCCCAUCCAUCCCAUGAUUAAACUACCUUUUUCCCCUGUAAGGAACAUGAUUAAACAGCUACCACAGCUGUAAUUGAUUUUUCACCAAUCAAAUAAAUAUGUACAUAGCCCAUUAUUACCACCCACAACAUUAAUUCAAGGAUUUAGCCCAAGAGAGAGAGAGAGAAAUCAAUACAAGUACAACGGGCCAAUUAUUCAUGAUCUCAUAGGACCACUUACGGUUGAUGGCGAGCAGCUCAAUCAAACACUCGGACUCAGGUUGACCGAGUUCGAGUUACUCGACAAAGAAAACAAGUUGAGUUCGAGUAUUGUUUUAUGCUAUUCGAGUGUUCGUCGAGUAGCUCGAGUAUUUAUUCUUAUUUAUGUAAUAUAUUAAUUAUAAUUAUGAAAUGACCAAUAAGGGUAUAUAAUUUAGAUAAAUUACAUGAUAUCUUGUAUGUUUUAUAAAAUUCUUAAACGGUAAAAAGGUAAUAUUGUAAUUAUAUAAGAAUUACUUUCAAGCUCGGACGAGUUUUGAUGAAGCAUUCGAACUCGUUAAAACUCAUUACUUUUAUCGAGGUUUAAAAUUGUUUUGGUAGCUAUCUACUUUAGAAGUAGUUGAUUGAUAACAAUGUAUUUUGUUGCUCAAGUUUGCUUGGAACCAUUUGUAAAAGUGUAUAUUAGACUAAUUUGGUACCUGAUUCUAUGAAGAAUGAUCCAUGUGCCUAAAGGUAAAACAUCAAUAACGGUCAUUGUCUUCAUAUGUUAGAGUAGCUUGGGGGUUGGUGCUUGACUAAAUGUAACUAACGAAUUAAAGCAAAGUCCUUAAAGAAAAUAAGGGCCUUUACUAUUAUGACCUAAUUCUCGGAGAAACUGUUGGGAAAACUUUAGCGGCUGUAGCUUGGACCUCUUCAAAGAAGGUGCCAAAUUCUCUUCAUCUACUCGUACUGUCAUACGCUGUACUUCAAUAUGGAACUACCACCUCCCUUACUCUUAUGUAAGUUGCAGAUAAAAAGCUAAAACAACACUACCACCACCCAAAUUAGCCAAAAGAUGACAAACAAUUGAUUCUGACGCUAAAAUUCUUCUCUCUCUCUCUUCUCAAAUCUUUUGCUAUUGACCAUGGAGCAUAAUAAUGCAUGUAGGACUUGUUCACUACUAGUAAACAACUGCAUUUUGAAUUAAUCAAAAAAAAAAAAAAACAAAGAAAGAAGCCCGGAAAAAAGACCAAAUUAGUAAACUCGAAAAACCAAAAAUCUUAUUCAUCUGUUCCAAUCCGAAGCUUUGUACUUUUGAGAUGCAUAUGUAUGCAUGUGAGAUGAGUAACUUUGAGGGAGUGUCCUUUGUCGGUGCCUCUCCUGCAUCGGUUGCAGGAGUCACACAGAUCCUUUGACACAAAAGUAAGAGAAUAAAUACCUUCAAGAUCUGCUACUAAUCCUAAAUAACCUAAUCAUUCAUCCCCCAACAUUAUCUCACUACAUUUACUUUUUCACUUUUUCAGUAACACUUGCACUUGAUUUACUCACAUUCUUACAUCAAACAUGUGGCAGUACAGUAUAAACAUGUACCUAAUCUAAGCAAAAUGCCUAAAGAACAGAGGAAAAAAGGUGAAGAGGGAUGUUACUAUUGUGGUCCACUUUUUUCUUUUUCCUUUUUUGUUUACUCUCCUGAGUUCUCUGACUCCUCUCCUUCGCCCCUUCUUUUAUGUUAGUGAGUGGAAUCCCAAUGUCUUCAUGAUUUUCAUCAUACCAAUUGCCAUUUCUUGAAAUCAAAGCCUCAAUCAAUCCAUUACUUAACCAAAGGGUCCCCAGUGUACUCAUUACUGCUGUCUACCUGAGAGAGGAAAGUGAUAAGAGUUGUACAAAAGAAGCAAGAAUAUGGAUGUGGGGAGAAGAAAAGGGGGUGGUGGAGCUACAUCAUCAAGAAUUGGUGUUGUGGCAGGGUCUGUUUGGGAGAGCAGAAUGAAGCUUGAUGAAGUCAAAGGUGGCAUCAAAGUUUUUAAUGGUGAGAAAAAUGGUAGUAAUGAUUCAGAAGAAAAUGAUGAAAAGGAUGGUGGGACUAGUAAUAGAUUAGCUAUUGUUCCAGCUCAAGUGGAUAAAAAAAUGAACUUGAGGCCAAAAACGAGUCCAGUGGGGGCUAGUGGGAAGAGGAAAACUUGGAAAUCUGACAGUUUGGAGAAGAGCCCAAUUCAGAUUGCUAGGCAAAGAUCUGAAACAAACAAGAAUCUUGAUGAACAGUUUAGAGAAUUGAGUAUGUCUGCUGAUGGAAUUAAAAGGAGCCCAGCUCAGAGCAAGAAGUCAAAAUCUGAGGCAAUUAAGGAUUUGGGUGCUUCGGUUGAUGGAAUUGAGAAAAGCCCAAUUCAGAGUAUGAAGAUAAGAUCUGCUUCUCAAAAGUUUUCUAGUGAAUCCUCUGAUGGAAAUGACAAGAAUCCAACUCAAUUGAGGAAAUUGAAAUCAGAGACCAUUAAGGCCUUGAACACUGAAAAUGCAAGUGAGAAGACUUCUGAAUUGAGGAAAGUAAAAUCAGAUUCAAUUAAGGCUGUUGAGGACUCUUCUAAUGGGAAUGUUAAUAAUUCCCUCCAGCUGGUGAAAGCAAAAACUGUAUCAAGCAAGGAUUUUGAUGAUGAUAAUGGCAAGAGUUCUAAAGUGCAGUCUGAGAAAGAAAAGGCAGUUGUUGAUGAGUCAAAUAAGAGUCCUAAAGAAGACAACAUAGUUAGAAUGGAGAAAACAAGGUUUGAUGAAGAUUGUAAGGAAGUUGAUGUUUGUGAAGAGAAGGUGAUUACAAGCAAUAUUAGCAGCAAUGCGGGACAGCAGCAGGUCAAAUCUCCACCAAUAGUAGAAGACACUGACGAUUUUGACGAUGCUGAUGGUGAUGAAGAAGAUUGGGAUGCGGAGUUGGAGGAAGAGGGUGAUCAGGAAAUUGAAGUUGAGAUUGAAAAGACGAGUCUUGUUGUGAAGGAGAUCAGUGUUGCUGAGCAGAAGCCAAAGAAGGUUGUGGUAGAAGAGAAGAAAUUUCGUCAGAGCAAUGAAAGGCCGAUGUCAAUUCCAUCACUGGUGAAGAAACAGUCUCCUCCUGUUGUCAGCCAUGCCAGAGUUCAUCCAAGUCCAACAAAGAAAAGACCAAGUAAGUGCAUAUUGUUCAAUUGCACACCAUUGAUCAUGAUCAGAAAUGUGACAUUCUUACCACAAAAAAUGCACUGAAAUUUCUGCUGCUGCUGUUGUUGUUCAAGUUCCAGAUGAAUUUCAGGGAAGUCCUAGAACUCAUAGCAAAUUACAGAGCUUUGGUAAGAUUUAUUUUCUGUGCUGAAUUCAAUUAUAUUUAUUAGAGACUACUAGAUGGCAAUUUGCAUUUCUUGCUGGAGUAUGUUUUGCAGUUGACUUGGUGAUGUGGAGAGAUGCAUCAAAAUCAGCAUUUGUCUUUGGCAUUGGAACAUUUAUCAUUAUUUCAUCUUCAUACGCUAAGGAUCUCAACAUCAGGUAAUUAAUUACUUAUCUUGCUCUUGAAGAGUGAAAAGACAUUUUAACUCUGUUUUGUUAAUAAUCUGUUUUAAAUAAAGAGCACUUGACUGAAUUUUCUUGAAUCAUGGCAACGACAGUGCAAUAUCUGUGUUAUCCUAUCUGGGAUUGAUCUAUCUUGCAGCAAUUUUCCUCUUCAGAUCACUCAUUUCCAGGUAAUUUUUUUCUUUAUUUCAAUAGAUAAAAGUGAUUACAACUGAUGGCUCUUCUCAAAAGGCUUUAUACCAUUUAAUAGGGGAGCUGUUGAUUUAGAUGAUUCAAGCAUGGACUAUGUUGUUGGGGAAGAGGAAGCAGUUUGGUUGGUGAAAUUGAUUCUUCCCUGUGUAAAUGAGUUUCUGUUGAAAAUCAAAGCUCUCUUCUCUGGAGAUCCUGCUACUACAAUGAAGGUAAAAUUAAUGGGGUUGGGGGAUAAAAAAACUCCUCCAGCUCAUAUGAUCUCUCCAUUUUUUUUUUCUUGAAUUUUGAUGAUAUCAAUUUUUUGGGACAAUUUCAGUUUGAUGUUUGAUGGGAAUUUAUGAGUAGUAGUUGACAAUUUGUAAAUCUAUUCUGACAGAUGGCAGUGCUACUGUUUGUUUUGGCACGGUGUGGCAGCUCCAUAACCAUAUGGAAAAUGGUCAAAUUGGGUGAGUUUUUCCAUAACGCCAAUGCUUAUCUUUCUAGCAUGGCAUGGCUGAAGCAAUUGCACCGAUUUCUUUUGUUUUUUUUUUUGAAUUGUUUGAAAGCAUAUAAGAUGCAUCCUCUUUCCUCCUCAUUUCAUAUUAAUUACCAUUUGCUAUAGUAUUCGUCAAAAGAUUCUCAUGUCUAAAGACAAAAUUCACACACAUUCUUUUAUUUUAUACCAAAGAAAAACUCUGAAAAAAAAAAACACCAGUACGAAAGAAAGAUUUGAUACACGCGAAAUAAAAAAAUAAUUAAAAAUUUGUGUAUAAAAUUAAUAAAAAAUUACAAUCCAAACACCUCAACAAGUAUAAGUUGAAGUAAUUUUCUGUACUUUGACAGACUUUAUAGAUUUCCUUUUCUGAUCAUUCCUUGUGGGGAAAUGGGUUUUACUUUCUUCUGGUGGCUGACGCUUGUUUUCUGUCACAGGCUUUUUCGGAGUUUUCACAGUGCCAAAAGUCUGCUCAUCCUAUUCCACUCAAUUAACUGCUUACGGUAAAAAGCCAAAAAAAAAAAACCCCAUAAUAAAUCUUUUGCUCUCUCAAAUCUGAAUUUGUUUUCUUCAUCUGCACAUCACAAUUGCAUAAAAGUUAGUAGUUCAAUUCAUUCAUGUUACAUACGUCUCUGGAGUCUUGAUUGUUUGUACCGUUAUAGCAGUGCCUACCCACAAGAACCUGUCUACAUCUCAUCUGCAAAGACCAGACAGGGUCACCCCACCAAACUACCAGCCUCCUUCUAUUUAUUAUGCAGUAUUUUUCUGGGGGGAGCUUUAUAAGUAUAGCAUGUUGAAUUGUUGAUCCAACUUUCUUUAGGAUUAGGUGAUUAGUUGCUGAAACUGAAAGAAACUAAUGUUUGGAAGAUGGAUCCCACAAAAUAAAAGUAGUACUCCAUUAGGAUAUAAGCAUAUGGUUGCAUGAGGUCCGAUUUCAGUUCCCAUCAAGUUAUCAUUUUAUUACACAUACAUAAAAGAAAGAAAAUCCUACCAUAGCUAUGUAUUGUACCCCAAAUUCAAGAAUUUGCUGACACGAAUUGCAUAUAUGUUCAUGAAGGUGUAUUUUGGAUUCGACGAUUUCGGGACGCUUGGGAAUCAUGUUCUCAUAAGAAAGCCGUGGCAUUUGCUAUCUUCACACUGGUGUGGAAUUUGUCUUCAAUUGUUGCCCGAAUUUGGGCAGGUAAAAUAGUUCCUGACUUUACUAGUUCCCCUUUUGAUCCUAAAUUUGGUGAAAAAGAAAGCCUAAAAGAAACCAGGAACAAGUAGUUUCUUUCAGCCUAACAUAUUUUUGAAAAAAAAAAUAUAUAUAUAUUGUUAAAAUUGUGAAAAGGAUAGAUUAAUUACUAGAAAAGAUGAUGUCUAAACAUUCAAUUUUACAAAAAAAAAUUUACAAAAAAAAAAAGGGAAGUGACAUUUAGACUCGCAAAUUAGUCUCUUUUUUUUUUUUUUUGUCAAAAGUCAUAUUUGUAUUCAUAACUUGACAUUGCAAGGUUUGAUACAUCACAUGGGAAAGCUCUCUUCCCAUUCAACAUUCCUAAUUAGCUUGACAGCAAACUUUGCUAAUCUAUGUGCACAUUUGUUCCCUAUUCUAUGGACAAAAGAGAAAGUACAUUUGUCAAACAAGCAUCUCAUGUUUGCAAUGUCCUCUAGAAUGAUAUCAACUCUAGCUUCUUUCCCGUUUUCCUUGUUAAUCAUGUCCACCACCUCCUUGCAAUCAGACUGGAGCUCCACUUCUCUCCAUUGAGCCUCUCGAGCCAUCAGCAUUCCCAUUCGGAUUGCUGCCGCUUCCUCCACUAGGGGCUCGCAAAUUAGUCUCUUGACUCUUUGGAAGCAUACUAUUAUUUAGUGAGUGGAUUGAAGUGCAAGAAGCUAAAAUGGAAGAACGUUUCUAUUUUUACAUAUACAAUUUAAUCAUUAAAUUUAGGCUUCUAAAUAUGGCUAAAUAUUUCAAGCACGUAGCCUAUUGUGAAUUAUAUGCGAAAAAAAAAUAAAAAGAAAAAUGACAACCGAUACAAUUAUUGACUUUUUUUUUUUUUUUUGCCAGUGUUCAUGUUAUUUGUGGCGUAUAGAUAUUACCAGCCAUCCUUCAUUGGAGAGGGAUGGGCUACAGCUGAGGUGCAAACAAGAGCUGAAGAUUCUUCUUCCACUUCAGGACAAAGUGGAGGCCACGUCCAGCGACAACGGCCGAGGCCCAUUGUAACGGAAACAGGGAAACAAAAGAGGACCUUUUAAGCAUAUGCAGGCCCAAUUGCCCAUUACACUUUGUUUAUUAUAGUUUGAUACCACAAGAAAUAAAAAAAGUAUAGAUGAAAACGAAAAAAAAAAGUUUUAGUCUUGUGUGUCCUUAAUUUUCUGAUGUUUUAGGAAAUAAGUUUAGAUAUGUAAAAAUAAAGUAUAUAUUAAAGAAGAAAUGAAAAAAAGAAGCUUUUUUCUAGACUCGUGUGUGCCUUACUUUAUUUAUUUAGAAAAUAAGUUUACCAAUACAUAGGUGAUCAAUUUUUAUUUGGAAUAAGAGAUGAAUUGGGUGUUUUAGGAUGAGGGAGUGUAUGCAGGAGGGUUCGAACGUUUGAACCCUCCCACUUACAUUAAAAAAAAAAAAAAGAGAUCAAAUUUUUAUUAAUAAUUACCGUGCAAAUGAAAAUAGUUGUUCAAUGUCGAAUAGAGCCAAAAUAAUAAUAGAAAAAAAAAGAAUAUAGCCAAAAGAAUAUAUCCGUUUCGUGACGUACAUACUUAAGAAAGUAAAACUUUUCCUAUCAAUGCCAAUCCAUGUGAGCCCAAAGAAUCACCAUUUUACUAAAUAUGGAGAUUAAUUUAUGUUCAUAAGAGAUUUAAAAUGACAAAAGCAAUUCAUAAAUAAAGUAUAUGUCAAAAAAGUUUAAUAAUGAAAAGGCAAGUUUUCAUGAGAAAAAAAUGUUGUCUCGCUAUUUAAAUAGCGUCAAUGUGAGUAAAAGAAACUUAGAAACACCUUGAUAAAAAAUGACAUCUUACACGAUCAACUGUUUUUCACUUUAUUGUAUCUCUAAUAAUUGUCGCACAAUUGAUGCUUGUGCAAAUUAAAAGAAAGUCUAUUUUAGUUGGAAAAUAAAUUGGUAUACAAAUAUGAAAUAUAAAAAGGGGAAACACAGUAGUUAUUGGUGUUGAAAUUAAACAGUAAUUAGUGUAAGAUUGAGGGAUAAUGUAUGAGAUAAUUCGUGAUUCUAAAUUUAUAUGUCCAUUACUCUUUCUAACUUCAAAGUUUAGAAUCUAUAAAAUUUGGAUAAAGGAGAUUUUUUUAUAAAUACAAACAAUGACAUUUUUUUAGCGCCAAAUUUUGGUCCAUACUCCUCACGUAUAUAUAGUGGAAGAUAUCAAACAAUAUAAUAGAAAGAAAAUAAAAGAUUGGAAUAGUCUCUCCAUUUAUCCCCUUUCCCUUCUAAGCCAAGAACCUAGAACCGUGAAACAACGUCGUUUAUGGGGCUUGAAAAUUGUGAAAAUGAAUUUCCUUGCCACCUGUCAAAAUCGGUUCAUGGACUUGUCGAACCCGGUUUCAUUCCCCCAAAAACCGUUCGGUCUGCCACAAAACAAUAAAUAGGAGAUGAUCAGGUUUCUAGAACUACAAUAAUAGUGCCCGAGAGUGAAGAGCCCUAAUCCCCAAAACUAUAACCCCACUCCCAAUUUUCUGUUUUACGACAACAAUCGAUCAAUCAACGAUAUGAGAUUUUGAUCAAGUUCCAGGCAAGGGUUUUAUUACCUACUUCUAAGUUAUUAAUCAAAGUUUUAAUGUGAUAUUAUCAGCUAAAAUUUGACCUCCAUUUGCUCUCCCGGUUUGUUGCAGUUGUAAUUGCUGAUUGUAUUGUUGUUAGUAGCAUUUUGUUUGGCUGAAUAGUUUUCUUCGUUAUUCGUAAUUAUGCUGUUCUAGAUGAUAAAAUUGUGGUCUAGUUGUGAAUUGUGAUUGCCAUCUUUCGCUUUUAACUGUCUGAAGUAUCUCAAGGCUUCUUCUGCUUUUUCUGACCAUAACGUGUGGAGUAUCUGUUGCUUGUAAUUUCGACGUAAAAUCCACUGCUGCACUCAUUCUUUUCACUGCUUAUGGUCUCUAAUGAGAGAUGGGUUCUGGGUGAAACACCUGAAAAGUUUGUGGGUUUUGAUUUUUUGAUUUGGCUGUUUUCCAUUUAUGUGUAUGAUGAUCGUUCAAUGUGUUGUUUACCGGUUCUUGGUUUUUGGCUAUCGUGAUGCUGGUUGACUAAUUGGUCUCUUGAGUUCUUUUUUUUUUGAUAAUAUAGACUGGCGUUGCAGUUUGAAACUGUAGGUUGUUGAAAAUUUUGAUUUUUUAAAUUGACUUGAGGUAUAUGGAUGCUUCCUUAAUUUUGUGGAAAGAAAGGGAAAAUGGUUAAGUGGGCAGCAGAGGUGGUGUUUUGGUAGCUCAAUAUCUAUGACAUUUAGGAUUUUCUUUUUUAAGUUCUUCCAGCUUUGUUAUCUGAACAUGCAAAUGAGGUAGCCGUAGAACCAGGAAAUGCAUGACCUUAAAUUAGAAAAGCUAACUCUGUGCUGUCUCACCAAUCAGUUAGUGACAUGUCUUCUGCCGUUCACAGCUCCCCAGAACAAGAAUGUCUACUAUUUAUGCACUACUUUGUCUAUUCCGUUCACUUAAAACAGAAUUUCCAUAUUUGAAUGACUAUACUUUGAUGAAAUUGGUUGUGGAAGAAAUGGGCAUUAGGUCUUGAGUUGAAAUUUAUGCUCAAGAACUUAGGCUGCAAAAUUUAGAAACAGUGGCAAAUGACGGAAGGAAUGAAUAUUUAGAAAACUUAACUAAUCAGAGAGGGAAAAAGAUUGUGCAAAAGUUCAUUGCAUGAAUGCACAGGGGCUGCAAAAUUAUUAAUUAAUUAAGAUAGCAAAGGCAAUUUUCUUUUAUUGAAUUUACGGUGGGUUGUUUUUAAAUGGGUAGUCCCUUAAUCAGCGAACAAAUUUUCAAAUAUAUGUUUCCUUUACAAGUUUCAGAAAUUUGCCAAAGCAUUGUUUGGCCUUGGAAGAUUGGCAGCCAUUUUCUGAGUUAGACUAGGCUACACUAACACUUUCUAAUCUCAUAUAAUGUCGGAUGAACUUCGUUUUGUUUAUUUUGAGAAACUGAUUCUAGACUUUCUUUAUUCUUUUUGUCAUCUUUUUCCGAUUUUAUUGUCUUUUUGACUGCAAACUCUGUCCUCAAUUGCAUGAUAAGCUUUAAAAACAUUAAAAAGUGCAUUGGCAUACCAAUGGCGAGGUGCUGGAUCAUGCUGUGGGUAUGAACAUUGUUCUCUAUUUCCAUUAUCGUGUAAUUUCGCCUUAAUUUAUUGUUGCUGGUUGAUUGGUAGUGUUAAUUCUUCUGUUUUGUUUUCUUUUUUCAUCAUAAAAGUGUUGGAAAAAAUUUCUGGUCUAGUAAGAGAUCUAAGAUAUAUGUUGGCUUUUGUUUGCUCAGAUGAGCUUAACAGCAGACUCACCUGUGCACUCUCCAAGCACAAGCGGCGAGGAUUUUGCUGCAUUUCUUGAUGCAGAGUUGGAUUCUGCCUCUGAUGCAUCACCUCAUCCAGAAGAAGCAGAGGAGGAAGUAGUAGAAGAAGAAGAAGCAGAAAAAGAAAACAAAGGUGGUGACACCGACGACUAUGACUUAGACUCUGAGAAGUGAGUAUUCAGAAGAUGUUUCUUUGUACUGCUUGCCGUGGUUUCUGUGCCUAUUGUCUGGUUCAACUUUUGCUUGCUUUUUUUUUUUUAAGGAUUAAAAGGCGCAAGGUUGAGAUUCUUGAGAGCUCAUUAGAUGUAGAAGCUAUGACGUCCCAGGAAGUUGAGAUACAAACUUCAGGUAAUGCCUAUGAUUGUACUCUUUCUGUUCAUUUGCCGCUUAUGAUAGAUACGCAACAAUUAAUACAGUUAAUAUUUGCAUGCUAACCUCAAUACGUAACAAGAUGAUCAGACAAGAGCUUAGUCUAAAAAUCUUUCUAGGUUGAUUGUUAGUUACAGUUUUUGUGAUCGAUGGAUACCAAUAACAUCCUGAAAGAGACCUGAACUGAAGUCUAGAAAAUAAGGAUUUACUUCAAGGGUUUGAAAAUGGGGUAAAGUACUUUUUUACACAAGGGAAGCCAGGUAUAGGAUAUUUUAUGAUUUUGGAAGAUGCAGCUGGAUUUCUUAAAUUUUCUUAGUUUGACAAAAAGGUACUUUGUUGAUUUCCAACUGGAAUUUAAGUAGCAAUGCAAGAUUGGUGGAAAGUUCACUAUGAAAUUCUGGUAACAUGACGCUUUGUUUUCUAAAAGUCUGCUUUCUGCAGGAGCAUCUUCAGAUAAGGAUGUUUGUUCACAUCCUGGUGUGAUUGGUGGGUUAUGUAUACGGUGUGGGCUGAAGAUGGAUGAUGAGUCUGGUGUUGCAUUCAGCUACAUACACAAGGUUGCAAUCGCUUGGAAAUCUUGUUAGGAUGUAUUUUGUUGUUUUUAUAAUUUGGCUGCUCAGGAUUACUUGCCUGUUUUCUAGAUUUGGCUGUUUUUGAAUCACUUAUUGUUGUUUAUAUGCUUCUCCUGUUAAGUUCUUUGUAGCACAUUCUAAUCGUAAGCUCUUUCUUUCCAAUUUGAAAUCUGAAGUUUCCUUGGGGGUUUAAGGUUUAAUAUUAGUUUUCACUUAUGCACAGAAUGUUGGUGCAUUUAAGGAGCAAUUCCAUCUUUUUCAUCUCUUCCCGUAAGACUUUUAUGAAUGAUGUUAACUGAUUCUUGCCUUUGAACUCUUUUUUUGUCACAGAAAAAUGUUGUUCUAACCUUAAAUUUUCUGGGCUGCAUUUUUUACAGCUAUUUGUUGUAUUGGUUUUUUCAUAUUACACAUUGAGAAGUUUAUUGGUUUAUGUGGAGGUAUUUAGGCAGGUAAUUAUGUAAUUUAUUUAACAGAAUCUAAGGCUGGCUAAUGACGAGAUUGCUCGAUUACGUGAUAAAGACUUGAAGAACCUGCUUCGCAAGAAAAAACUUUACUUGGUUCUUGAUUUAGAUCACACACUGCUGAACUCAAGUCGGUUUUUAGACCUUACAGUAGAUGAGGGAUACUUGAAGGGCUCCAGAGAUGAUCUACCAGGUACAAUGCUCUCUUUUUAUAUAGUUGCUGUUUAAUUUUUAUCAUUCUUCUGCUGAUUUCUGUUACAGUUGUUUUAUGCGGAUAGUUUUCUAUUUUACAUGACAACUCUGUUGUCUGGUCUUAUAUAUUUGAUUCAUGCUAUGAUAUGAAAUUCUAUGAGCAAAGGCUACAAAUCCUUCCCCCCAGACCUUGUUUCCAUUAUCACAAAGAAAUAAAAGUAAAUUGUGACAAAAGCUUGUCACCAUCUCAGAGAGAGAGAGAGAGAGAGAGAGUUGCUAAUGGAAGACAUUUGGUCAGACUGACCAGUGCCGACAAGCUCUUCUCCUUUCCCCGUGGUUUUGAUUAGGGUUUGUAUUAUUGAAGUUUCAUGAUGGUCUACUUUGGACAACUUAGUUCAUUGUUUUCAAAAGGAUGACUCUCAAACUGGAGGUAGCUCUAAUGACCUCGGAGGUACUUCCACUACUUGGGGAUGAUUAUUUCAGGACAUGGUUUAGUACACAUGUUCCUUGGAACGGAUAUGGGCAGUAUUUAGGUUACAAAGAACUCUAGAUUCUUCUUGGACCAAAAGAAACCAAUGCCAUCCUCUGGGACAAAUAAUCUGGUAUCUACAUUGAUUCCAUUUGGCUAAUAUGCUAUGCAGAUCUGUAUUUUUACUAUGAAUAUUGAAUUUACAGUGCAUGAGUUCUCUAUUUCUGUUUCGUGUAUCUUAAUCCAUUUAAUCUUGGUGUUCCUUAACUUCUGCACUCCUGGAGACUGGAAGCAGCUUUUAGUUGUAUAUAUUUGGUUAAUUAUUUACUGUGCUGCUACUGGUAGUGGAAUUGUAACAAUUAAAUUAACAUUUUUCAUUAAGUUUUUGCCAAUAUUUCUUCAAUUCUUCUUAUUUAUUAGAGAUAGAGGGUUUCAUUGUUUGCUUUAGUAUCCUUUUGGUUAACUUCUUGAUUUUCAUAAUUGUAACUAAUAUUUUGUAGCUUAACUGGUUACUUUAUUGUUCCAGAUGCUUUGAAGAACAGCUUAUACAGACUAGACUAUAUGCAUAUGAUGACCAAGUUAAGGCCCUUCGUCCAUAGUUUCUUGAAAGAAGCAAGCAACUUGUUUGAGAUGUACAUAUACACAAUGGGUGAACGUGCAUAUGCAUUGCAAAUGGCAAAAUUGCUUGACCCUGGAGAUGUCUAUUUCCACUCCAGAGUGAUUGCACAAGGAGAUUGCACACAGAGACACCAGAAAGGUCUUGAUAUUGUUUUGGGGCAAGAAAGUGCUGUCUUAAUACUUGAUGACACGGAAGCGGUAAUUCCAAUAAGUAGUCCUUUACAGUAUUUCAUAUUUAGUUUGUCAGAUUUUCUCCUGCGUUUUCUGGUUCUCAUUAUUUUGUGUCAAUUGUUUGCUUUUCCUCUAUUAUCAGUUUGUGAGCACUGACGUUUUCCUUUACACACAGAUGUUUUCAAUUGGAAAUAGUCACUUUAUAAUGGGGGGAUUGUCUCUGUGUGCGCAUUUUUGUGUAUGUAUGUGUGUGAGUGCAUGUAUAUAUUUGGGGAAAUUUUGGCAUCUUUUGGGUCCCCGUGUCCACAUAAUGCAGCUUGCUUUCCUUCUUAAUGUUGUCUGGGAAGCAGAUGACAUACAUAGACAUCUAUCAUGACUAAUUGAUUUUUAAGCAAGUACUUUCAGAAGUUUGUAUAUGUCUGCAUUUGCUGCCAAGUUGACAAGAGCAUUAUUGAAUGAUCUAGGUCUGGGGAAAACACAAGGAGAAUUUGAUAUUGAUGGAAAGAUAUCAUUUUUUUGCUUCAAGUUGUCGUCAAUUUGGCUUCGGUUCAAAAUCACUCUCUGAGCGUAAAACUGAUGAAAGUGAAAGUGACGGAGCCCUUGCUACAGUUCUUAGAGUUCUUCAGCAGAUACAUUCUACCUUUUUUGACACGGUAUGUGUUCAUCACUAUUAUUGUUUGAAUUGCUUUAACAUUUUGUUGCUCAAUUAUUCUCAUUGAAAUCUUCUUUUACAGGAACAUAGUGCAAGUCUUGCUGAUCGAGAUGUGAGGCAGGUAAUUGUGGAGGACUAGUACUGAUGGCUUUCCUCCAUAUGUUUCUGUGUUUGGAUAGGAGUUGAAGUCAUAAUCUUUUUUCGUUAGCCUAUGCACUGGUUCCCUAAUGGGUAUUAUUAUGGUACCUUAUCUGUAUUGUAGUUGAACUUGCUUUUAUGGAAUUUCAUGUUUUCACUAGAGCUUUCUUUCCAAGCAUGCAAUUUAUUUUGCCAAACUGUUACUGGGUUUUGAACAAAUAAACCUGCAUUCCAAGCCGUCAGAAAAUUUUCAAACAUUAGAUUAGUGAAAUUAUGUUUGUAUGGGUCCAUCUUCUGCAAAAAUUUUGCUUAGCUACGUGGAAUUUGUACCACAACGCAUGAUAAAGGAUUCUGGUGACUUUGGAGUUUUAAGUUUUUCAUUCUCCAGUUUAGAUUGGUUUCAUCUUCUUAGUCAUGAAUUCUACGAUGUUGACUUGUGAUGUUUAAUGUUAUUUAGAAAGAUGUGUGAUAUAUUUUCUCUUUUAUAUCUAUGGCAGGUGCUAAUAACAGUUAGGAAGGAAGUUUUGAAGGGUUGCAAGGUUGUAUUUACUCGCGUUUUCCCCACACAGUUUCAGGGUGAAAAUCAUCACCUAUGGAAAAUGGCAGAGCAGUUGGGAGCUACAUGUUCAUCUGAAGUUGACCCGUCAGUAACACAUGUCGUCUCUUUGGAUCCCGGAACCGAGAAAUCCAUUUGGGCAGUGCAGGAGGGAAAAUAUUUGGUCCAUCCAAGGUGGAUUGAAGCUGCGAACUAUUUGUGGAAAAGACAAACUGAAGAGAGCUAUCCUGUUAGUAAUUCAAAGAACCAGUGAUCCAAAUUCUCCUUGAGCUAACCCAUAGUUGAGUUUUCGUGAAUCUUAGUACAUAAGAGUUGGAAGUCAAUAGAUUUUGGGGCUAAUACCUUAAUUCUUGCCUGACUCUGUUGUUCUCAAAUUAGUAUAGGGUACUAGGUUUGUUUUAGUUCAACGAAUUUAGAGGGCGUCAAUUUGCAUUCCUAGAUAUGACUACAUGAUGAGGUUGUUGUAUUUUAAUAGGUUGAAAGUGAGGGGCAGCAAAUUUUAUCCUUAGAUCGGAAAUGUAAAUAGCAGUUAAAACUGGACUGAAGGUGAUACAAUCGACUGUGAUGUGAGCAAAGAACACGAACAAAACUGAUUACCCAUUGAGGGUUCAUGAUGCAAUUGUAGGGUUCGAAUAUUACUUGGUAAAUUUGAAGCAGCCAGGAACCAGUAUGAAGAAUGGCAAGGUUUAGAGGAGUUUAGAUCACACGGUGUCCUUUACGCCUUUUUAUUUCAAUGCAUAUUGACUGCCACGGUGUCUGGUUUUGCGGGGUUCAUGGUUACUUCCAGGUUUUAUAUAUACCUCUGUGGUGAUGGAGGACCGUAUAUAGACAUAUGAACAAUCAGCUCUGUUAAUGCAGAAAGCAGCAUCGUUCCCUUUGCAUGAUCUUUUCAUUUGUAGAUACCAAAAUUGUUGAUCUUCUUUUGUUAUUUUUUGGGGACGAUUGUAAGAUCAAGGGUGUUGAUGAGUUAACUACUUGUGCUGCUCCCAAAGCAAAUUCCUUUGCAAGUCUUUCCGUUUCUUUGAUGUUCUAGUGCCGUUUUAUGUCUAUGAUAUUCUAUUGUCAGUUUAGCCAUUUGUAAUAAAAAAGAAAAAUGUCUUCUAAGCUCACAACCAGUUAAUUACAGGUUCCGAAAUCUGUACUGCAAUUAGGUCAACAUAUUCUCCUUUAAGAUUCGGAGAUUCGGAAACCGCUACUGCAAUUAGGGCGGCCCCUUCUCCUUUGUAGCCAGUUUCCGUGUCCAAUAGUAUGGUCACAGGUAAUGGAAAUAUCCGGAAGGAAGGCUUGCUUUCUUCUAUUAUGGUCACAGGUAUAGGUGGCAAAUUAAUCUAUUUAACUAAAUUUAUUCAUGCCCGUCCAUAAAUAUAUGGGUAUGGGUAUUUUAAAUUUUUAUAUAUGAGUAUAAAUGAGUUACCUAAUAAUAUCCAUUUAAUAAAUAUGUAUUAUUGGGUAACCUAUUAAAUCCAAUUAACCCAUUUAAAAUUUUCUUCCCCCAACCUCUUUUUUUUCAAAUUUUUUAUUUUGCCAUGAUGUUAACUACUUUUGUUUCAUUAUUAUUAUUAUUUGUUGGUUUUAUAUUAUCAUUUUGUUUUCUCUUAGUUUGUUAACUUGCUUAUUUUUCAACAUUACCAAUUUAUGAUAAGUUUUAGCCUCUUUUCUUAUCUUUCCAAAAUGAAAUUUUAAAUUUAUAUAUGAAAAAAAUGUUAGGGGUUCAAAAUUUUUGGAUUAAGUUUUUAUAUUAACUUUUAUAGUACUUAGUUCAAAUUUUUACAUUCUUAUUAUUCAAUUAUUAAAUAAUAUGUAAUUUUGCGACAUAGAGUAUGGAUGGGAAAAAAAUUGGUAAUUAGGUUUAUUGAGUAUUAUAAGUAAAUAUUUAAAACUAAUGAUGGGUGCAAAGAGCGGUAUAAAUUGAUAACUUAUUUUGGAAAAAUGAAUUUAAAUGAGUUUACAAAAAGUUAAAAUAAAUGGGUUAUAAAUGGGUAAUUGGGUUACCCAAUUCAUUUUUUGACUUACCCAUUUAUAUCCAUCUAAUUAAAUAGGUAUAAAUGGGUUGACUUACUUAUAUCCAUUAUCCAUUUUAUCCAACUUAAACCCGUCCAAAUCACACAUUUUGACACCUCUAGUCACCGGUAAUGGAAAUAUCUGAAUCCCUUUUUUUUCUUUUUUGUUUUGGCAAGUGAAUUGGAGGUUUUAAACCCAAAACCUUCUAUUUAUAAUCCUUUAUAUCUUAUCACCCAACUCAACUCUCCUCAAAAUAUCGGGUUUGUUUGACAAAGAAGUUUUUGGCCAAGUUUGUCUGCUAUAAGUUUUUUAACAACUUUAGCUAUAGUAACUUCAAAAAACUUUUUAAAAAUUUUAAAUUAUACACUUCAAAAUAUUUUAAAAAUUACACUCUUCAGAAAUUUUUUCUACAAUUUUAAAAUAAGUUACAAUAAAAUUUUAGACAAACAUCCAAAAAAAACUCAUUUGCUGAACGGAGCCAUCUUUUUGAGUGGCUUGUUUAAUGUCAACGAAGUAAUUAUCAUAAAUGAUCAGAGAAAUCGCCAUCUUCCGAGCUAAUAAGCUACCGUUUGAGUUAAUGGUUGUCCGCUUAAACGUCUAACCUGGAAAUCACUACCCUUUCUUUUCAUUUUUGUGGGUGGGGGUCAGGAACGUUUGAAGCAGUCAUUCAACCACGUGGAAAGGAACUACUCUGAACACUAAUUAUUUGGAGAGAAUUUCGAAUUCAUUUAUUAGGAAAAAGAGGGUGAGUAUGUAAAUGUGUAUAUAUAUAUAUAUAUAUAUACACACACUUGUCGAACCUGAAUUAUUUUAUUUUAUUUUAUUUUGUUGAGAGCUGCUUCUCCCUUAUGGUUCCAUUAAGUCAGAAAAUGUGUGUCACUUAGUUAUCUUUUAUUUGUCCCUUUCAAACACAUAAAAAAAAAGUAAACACAUACAAUCAUAGAUAUAUAUAUGUCGAACGUAACAAAUUGAGCAAAAAAAAAAAAAGAAGAAACUUGUACAACUAAGGGACUCUUGUUAAAUCAGAAAGUGAUCUAGAGGAAGUAAGCUUGUAUUAACCGUUGUUUUCGUAUCUAUAAAAAAAUUUGAUUUCUUGUUUGCCCUCUAUUUAUUGGUACACACGUUCGUUUGUGAUCCAAGUGAACAUGCAUCUAUGGCAAAGUCCAGAAGCAAAGAAGGAAAACUGGGCAAGUUUUGUACGUGAAAUUCGUCCCAAGUUAAUUGGCCACAAAAUAAGGAAAUUUAGAAUAAGGGACUAACUAAUAGCACAAUAAUGCCGAAUACAAAAAGAAAAAAAAACUAGCCAUCAAAAUCGAUCAGAAACCGGGAAGAAGAUUGGCAGCCGUAAUAUGGGCUAUUAUCUGUGACGACUGCAAGUCAAUGUUAUCCCAUACUGAUCUUAUCUCGAAAGAGGUGAAGCAAUAAACACGUACGAGUCUUAUUCAGAAACAAGUACUGUCCCCUUCCACAAAUCAAGCAAACGAAUGCAAUAAUUGAGUUGCGCACUUUCAACCACUGUCCGUUAAAUUGGAUUCCACAGGCUAAUUCGAUCAGGAGCAGUUUAAAUUAAAGGUUUCUUUUCAUUUCAAGAAAGCGAAAAGAAAACAAGAAACAAAAAAGAAUAGAAGCUUAAUUAUUUGGUGUGAGCUAGAGAAUAUUCAUAGUUGCCUAACCAGCAGGUUUGAGUUCUACUAUCAGCAGUUUUCUACGGUGGAACAGUGGCCUAUCCUGAUCUUAGAAUGUAAGAGACACAGAAAGAGAGGGAGAGAGAGAGAGCACGCAUGCUGCUAGACUAUGAAAGUUGUGCUUUAUUGAAGAACAUGCAGUGGGCGUUAUUAUCUGUCCAUAAUCAGAUAAAUGACUGGGACUAAUCGUGUCCUUAACACGUCUAGUCAUAAUUUAUCGAGUAGCAUAAAUCCAAAAGUGAUAAGAUUUUGAGAGUUGUCUUUAUGUACUAUCAUGAGAUGAUGCAGGACAGGACACUCCUCAACAUACCAUACGAGAACCAGAAAAGGAGAAGGCACGAACAUGUGACUAUUAUGUUAAAACUAGACACCCAUAAUUGUUUGAUGACUAUUUUGAAGUAAUAUAUGUUUUAGCCUUUAGGUGGAAUCAGUCAAAAUUUUUGCUGCUUCUGGCGGAUUACUAGCAAAAACCCAAUUCGCUACUUAUUUGAGAAUCUUCAGUUAAGUUACUAGCAGUUGGAGUUGGUAGUUUGGGUUGAUUACCAAUGUCAAAAUAUGCGUCUUCUUUUUUGUAUAUAUUUUUCUUCCUUUUGGAUUAAGAGACAGGAAUAUGAAAAUGGAAACACAAGAAGUCAGAAAAAAAUGCUCUCAAUCUUUUUCUUGUCAAAUUUUAGAUGCCAACAGCAAUCUAAAUCAAGCUCUUCGUAGUAAUUUGGAUAUGAAAGUGCUAUCCGGUACUCGAACAUUGAAUUGGCUCGGGGCCAUCUAGCUUCUUCCGAUCCAGUACUUGCUUUCCUUGUAGCCCCAUAUCAAUAUUGAUCUUGCUGUUUGCUUGGACCACAACAUCAACGCCGUGGAUUCCAAAUGAAUCGGAGACUAGGGCGUACCAAAGGAAUAAUUAAUUAUCCCACAAUUUGAUUUACAACAAGUAAUGAUUUUCCAACAAAGUUUGUACCAAAUUCUUGAAGUUGCUAAAAUUGCAUAAUGGGCAUAGUUGUAGCUCCUACUUUUGCAUCCUCAACGUGUCAAAGUCUUGAAUUUGCGUACGACUACUAUGAUUAUUCAUAAUGCAUUUACUUGUCGGGAUUUUUCAGUCUUUAACUUCUUUUUUUAUUCUGUAAACAAACAAUUUCUCAAACUCAUUGCCCUACGGACUUAUUGCGAGCGUCUAUUUUGCUGCACUUUUUCUUGUACUUCCAUGUUAUUGCCCGGUAUCAUAUCAUCCACUGGGUAAACUUUUCUGCACUCAGAAGUUUAUGAUAAGAUUGCGCCACUAACUUGGAGAACGUUCUUGAACAUCAAAUUUAACCUCCUACGUACCCCAAAGCAGAAACAGAAGUUGACAAUGUAAUCUAUGACUCGGUGGACUGAACUGACGACUUCUAUUAGCCUCCUUUAAAUAAAGCUGAGAUAGUAAUAUGAAACACAUGCUUGAAUGAAAUCUGAAAGAUUGCAUCUGCCUUUGGUGGUGGUUCUUAUCCCCAGCUAGCAGACAUCUAAUCUACUCCAUUUAAAAUGAUCAUAAGCAGCCCGAUUGAUGCACGUAUUCAUAUAACAUUAGUGUUUCAUUAUUAAUGGCAUAUCUUAGCAAUACGGCCACAAAAGUCAUUUUCAAGGAUUUCUGAUUAGUCUUCUUCUUAAUCAAUGCAUAGAUUUUAGGUGGGAUGAGCUGGUUCAAGUAUUAGAGUUCUGAAAACUCAAGACAUAGAGGACUCAAGAUUAAUUCCUCUCUCUCUCUCUCUGAUAAAAGAGAAGAAAAAUAUACGUAUGAUAAUAGAGUUAGAAACCUUGUACCCAUCCUAGGAUGAAGGCAGAAUUACUCAAAAAGAAAAAAAAAAACCCUUGAUUUUUCCUAAUUUGAGCUUAUGCAAGAAGAAUAACAUUGUGUUAAAGCAAAAGUUUGUGAGAAGAAAUGUUGAACAGAGACAUAAGACGUGUCCCAGUGUCCGGCUCCGGCAGAGACGCUGCUGCAUGUAUAUACAAAUUGCGUACUGUGGCUUUGAUUUGAAUGAGAUUUCGUCUUCAUGUACAAAAAAGAUUGAAGUAGCGUUUCUUUUCUUCUUUUUUUGGUUCAAAAAAGUUUAGUGGUUUCUGCUGGAGCAGGACACAUCCUUAAGAUUAAAGGUCACUUACCAGAAUAUUCAUAUAUUACUCAUCAAUGCAGGGUUUACAUUUGCAGCGGAAUUUGCAGACAUGUACGACAUAAGACGUGUGUCCUACUGUCUGGCUCUCGCGGACACGCUCCACGCAUAUUACAAAUUGAGUACUGUGUCUUUGAUUAAAUGAUAUUUAGUCUCUUCAUGUACAAAAAAGAACACUUGUAAGUUAUUCACUAAUCCAGCAUUUACAUUUGCAGUGAAAUUCGAAGAUAAGUAGGUAAUAUUCGUAUUUAGUUACCAUCGUUUUGAUAUCAAGUUUUGUCCUGAUGCACCGAGAUGUCAUUUCAGCUCCGUGCAUGCGUGUUCGGCAUGAAAGACUGCUGCUCUUCUCGAGGAAGCUGAUCACAAAAUGAAAACGAAACAGUGGAAUUUGUCAUUCUGAAAUUUUUUUUUUUAGAAAAAAAAAAGAAAAAAUGGAAAACAUCAAUGCAGCACGAUGGACAAUUGAAAGAUGGAAACUCAGUGAUGUAAGGACAAAAGACAGCGUACAAUGAAAGAUGGAAACUCAAAUUCUUCCCAUGGUUUUGGAUCGGGGCUGGUGCAAUUGCACCGGCAAUCCCACCAUGCCAUUAGUUGCCAAGAUCGGCUGAGGAGAGUCUGGACUCGAAUGCUUCCCAUGAUUGAUUAUGGUUCUUCUAGUCAGCACUCCAAGCAAGGAGGCAGCUGCUUAGCAGGUGAAAAAUCAAUAAUUGUCUAUUUAGUUUUAGAAGGGAGAUGUUAUUAGCACUUCUAAAAGAGUUUUUAGCACUUCAUCCUCUCUGUAAAAGCUUGCAUAAAGCGUACGGGAUAAAUAAAGUGUUAGAGGCUUUUCUAAGAGCGUUAAUAUCAUUUUUCUUUCCUAUAUUUCUUUUUCAAGAUUUUUCAGUUUAAAGGGUGAAGUAAAUUUUAGAUAAUCUAUGAAGGCAUAUUAAUUAAUGACGUUAAAAGGGAAUUUCUAGAAAUUUAGGAUGUGCAAGUGUGAGGCAAACUAGUUGUGGAGGUUUGGGAUGUCGUCCCCUUAGAUGUAUCCCACAUCGGGGUUGGAAGGGUUUGGGUUGGUAGUUAUAAGUCUCCUGUGGAACCUCAAAGUAUACCGACUUUUGGGAUUUCCUUGGGGUUUAGAUUUGUAAAAAUUGACGUAAGCUCUUUGGGUUUCGAAAGAAAAAAAGUGUGAGGCAAACUAAACAGGAUUAGAAACUCAGCUGUCCUUAUUUUCAAUUUCCUAUAAUUGAGGGUAACAAUAAUUGAUAACCCCCAACCUUAAAGGUUGCUUCUCUCCUGGAUAAGUGUACCUUAAAAGCACAUAGCAACUUAAUUGAACCGUAGGAGUCAACACAUUUUGCGUUACACAUAACGUUAAAAUCUUGUAUCUUUCAAUAUAAAACUCAGAUGCAAAUUACAAUUAAUAAUAUUCUAAAAGACAGGAAAAUAAUUCUCAAAAGAAGAAGAAGGAAGAAAAAUUGUUCUUUCUCUUCCCUGUUUAGCAAUUAUUGUCUUCCAAAUAUUACUGACUAAUUAUUAUCCGGAGAUCAAAUAUUUGCCAUCAUCUCAUCUUCAAAGUGGGCAUAAUUAAUUAGGUUCCACUGCCAAGAAAUUUGUGUAUUAUAUGCCUGGUUUGAGCCCGUGAUUUGAUUUAAGGGCUUCUAGAGAUCCUAUGGAUGUUAUUACCAAGAAAUCAGAAUUAUUGACGGAUUUGAGUUGUGAUUGACAUACGUACUCGAUCGAUCGAUAGCUUCUCUUUAAUAAGACUAAAGAGUUAUAUCUGCUCUCGUCACAGGCCAGAUGGCCUCGUUUCGAAAUGACUUGCGGAAUUAUAGCCAAUGUCACCUCGUAAUCGGAAAUUAACACUUGUAUGUUUAAUCAAAGUGCGUGGAUCAUUUUAUUCCCCUUUUCCAAAUCCAUCAAUUUCAAUGCAUCAGGCAACCAUAUACUCAUAUUCCUAUUGUUUUACGUCCAACCCUGGCCAUGACAUGCAUGUAUAAAACCAUACUACGAGUUUGUAAAAUGUAAACCCUUGUAUAAUACGUAAGCAUCAACCAAAAAUUUGGCCCUUUGGCAGGGGAAAAUCAUAUGCAAAUAGUAUAUAAAAAUUUUAGUAUAUAAAAAUUUGAGACAAUUAAGGCUUCAAUUAAAUGAGAAAAAUAUAAUUCUACCAUAAAAAAAAUUCCAAUUAGAACUUCUUAAUGAGACCCCAAACUAUAGUUGGUAUGCAUCAUUUUCUAACGACUGUAGAUUUCCAAAAAAAAAAAUGUUAAUCAUAUUUGGAGAAACAAUUUGCAUAUAGAGCAUAAAAUGAGUUUUUGUAGGUAAAAUCAAGAGCAUUUCUUCCUGCUUGAUUGCGUCUAACAUGGCUUGGUAAUGACAUCACUAAACAGGAUCAUGACUCUUUUAACAGGUGAGGCGAUAGGGAAACCUGUCAAUCAUAAACAUCUCUAUGCAUGGGAUGAGAAAUUGAGCCUUACUCCCUCCCUUUUUUUAUAUAUUUAUAAAUAAGGAAUAUUCAUUAAUAAGAUUGUUGGAAAUCAUUCAACACGAUUUGUUUAACAAAAUCCGAAGGAAUGUUCCAUAUAGAGUCUCUACAGUUGGCAGAUUUUGGAAAAGAAGCUAGAUUGCGUGCUAACUUGUUUGCCUCCCUUGGAAUCCAACUUACAUUGACACAAUUUUGGUCUAGCAAAGACAUAUGAAUAUCAUCAAUUAUAAUGCCUAUAUCAGAAAAAAAACAUCGCCUCUAUCUCUAAGAAGCCGGAUAAUCGAUGAUGCAUCCCCUUCACGUAUGAAAUUCAGAAUCAUCAAAAUUUUGGCCAAGGAAACUGCUUCUCGAUCUGACAGCAAAUGCUUCUGCCAUUUCAGCACUCACAAAUCUAGAGAAUUGCUUUGCCAAAUCAGCAAGAAAAUUACCAUUAUGAUCUCGGAUUGCCACUCCAAUACCAAAGAUAUUGUUAUGCUAAUAGGGAGAAACACCUCGAGAAAGUCUACCAAAAAAUUCAAUAUGUAAGUCAGGAACCCAACUUUGACCCAAAAGCUUAAACUACUAGAUCUUGAACUCUUAAUUACAUAUUAACUGCUAUUUUUCCAUCUCUCGGACCAAUAUGAAAUAUGACCCUUUACUCAUUAAUCUAAUAAAUCUCUCCCUUUACUCAUAAAUCUAACAAACCUCCCCCUUCAUGAGUAAUCCCUACAUUAAACCCAAAUUUACAAGCUCUUCUUCGAACCCACUUUAAUACUCAACACAAGUCCACCUUAUCAUCUAAGAUCACCUCUUCUUCCAAACAUAGACCCACUCUUCUUUAACAUCCAAACUACAUUCUAGACCCCUGCUAACCUUUGACUCCUUGGUCUAACACUAGUCAAACUCCUUAGUACUUUGACACUUUGGUCCACUACCAAGAAGAAAAUUUUCACCGGUCCAAUUUCGAGAAGAAUCUACUUGUCCAUGAGUAACCCAGUCUCGCAACCUUAAACUAUUAGGUCUUGGACCUUUACUUACAUGUUAACCGUUUUUUCUCUAUCUCUCAAACCAAUGAGAGACAUGACCCUUUACUCAUGAACCUAACAUAUGCGACGAAAUAUUGCCGUCAAAAUUGAUCUUAUAAUGAUGCACUGGAGGAGCUAACUAAUGAAUAUCAUGAUUUUGGGGCUGUAUAGAACAAGAGACAUUGUUAGCUUUCUUGAAAUCUGCAAGAUAGUUGAGAGCAAAGCUUGUCAUUGUCAAAGGGUCAGGAGACUUUCUUUCAAAUAGAAUGGAAUUCCCGUUGUAACAAAUCUCAUAACCUUAUUCCCUCUUCAUUAGCAACGAGAAAUGGAGAUCUCUAAGAAGCAGAAUGGGAUCAAAUUAGGUUUAAUGACCAGAAAAGGUACCUUAUCUUCAUGUGGACCAAAGUGCCAAGAAAAUAUUCAGUUCACAUGACAUAUAGUAAUGUACCAGCAGUCUAUACAUCGUAUCAUUUUUUAUCACUUUGCAGCUUAUCUUGUCUAUAUAACAUCAUGUAUGUCGACAGUAUGUUAGAACAAUAGCUUAAAAUUAAUCCUCGAGCAAUCAUUUUUUGUUUAAUCACUUAGAUGAAGUAAUUCAACAAAAAAUUUGCUCUUCCCUUCCCCCUCGUGCAAAAAACAUGCCAUCAUGAAAGGGAGUUUGUAAAACAAAAUGUAUGCAUUGCUAACUAGAAUUUUUUACCUUACCAUUUCACUUUUCUCUCCUGUAUUUUCUCUAUGAUUCACUUUCUUCUUCUUUUGCCAAUUCAAUGUCUCUGAUCUUGCUAACACAUAGCAGUCAAAAUUCAGGGUUCAUCUUCCCCAGUCGUAAGAGAAAAAAGAAAAACCCCAAAAAGGAAACACUGAGCACAAUUAGCGCUUGUUCUUUUGUAUCUAUAAUGGUUGGUUACUUGUUUUUUCUGCAGCAAGCCGACAAGCACAGACAUUAACCUAACUGCCUUCUUGUGAUAUGCUAAAAUAAUCCAAGCUCUAAUUUGUAAUUGGAUUUUUCGUGACGUCAAGUAUUGAUAGUAGUUGCAGGAAAAGGCUGGAAAUAAUUGCAUUACAUAUUUCCAUAAUGAAGUAUUAAAUUCCGAAAUAUCUAGGGACCCAUUACCAGUAUUUAGAUUCCAACUAGAACAAUAAUCGGACUUGCAACCAAAAUAUGGCAUUAAUGAUUUGACAUAUAAUAGAGCUUAGUCUUACGGAAUUAUGCGUGCAUAUGUCAUGUCCAGAUUCCUUUGAUUUGACCAGAAAUAUAUAGUGCACAUCUAAUUUUUUAGAUCCUGAGAAAGUGAUCAGGAUUUCUAUAGCAACCUGGUUUGCAAGUGUUUAUGCCAUUAAUUUCUUUAGGCAAAUGACAGAAGGUGGAGCGUCAGAGAAUUAUUUUAGAGCGUGAAUGUCAUUUGUCUUUCUUUAUGUUAGCACAAAAUCUUAAUUAUUUUUUUAUAACUUGCAAAAUACAUGCCAAAUAAAGGCCAAAAUAGCUCCAGUUUCUUUCCUGCAUAAAGGUUCUUUGAUAAUGUAAUUACAGUGUUAAAGUAUGUUUGUGAAUAUCUAUUUCUCCAAAAUGCAAUUGACAUAUUCAUAUUAAUAAUUAAAUGGUAUUUAAAAGAUAAUUAUUACAUUUCAAGUCUUUAUUUGAUUAAGUUCAAUUUUAGAUCCCAAAUGAAAAGAAAAAUGGUAAAAGAAAUACUUGUAGAGAAGUUAGACAUUUAUGGUUAUUUUGGUUUCCUAUUUUUACUUGGAUAACCAUUAAAGUAUCUCUAUAUUUGGAAUAGCAUGACGUUGAGUAUCAAUAUUACCUUUUAGAAGUUGUCUAAAGAUGAUUAGGUCUGAUUAGUUGGAUAACAAGAACAAUCCUAAUGAAGGACACCUUAAAAUCUAAUGUUUCUUUAUUUCAUAUAUGGCAUAAAAAAAAUUAAUUUUUCCUACACUGACAAUGUAUACACUGUUAGCGUUGGAUGAAUGAUAAAUAUAUAAAAUUUGAAUUUAAAAUUCAAUUUUUACACAUAUAUCAUGGAUCCAACAGUGAUAGUGUAUAUACUGUCAGUGCAUACAAAAUUUACUCUAAAAAAAAUAUAUUGAUAAUGUACGAUUUCUUUUCCAAAGUUCUUAUAAGCAUUGAAAAAAAUAAAAGAUAGAAGCAUACGUAUAAACUUAAGAUCUCUUGUAAUUAUUUCUACUCUAACCAAAAUAAUUAAAUUUCUUCUAUUGUAUUAAAAGGUUGAACUAAAAGUGCUACAACUUUCUGUGAUUUCUCUCCACAUGCAUGGCUGAUUAUGUUCCAAGGAUAAGAUUUUGAAGUUGGAAUGAAGCUUUCUUCAAUGCAUAUAUACCAUUGUCUUUUUGUAGUUGGGAAGCUUUCAUUAAAUUGAAAAUUUUCGUUUUGCAGCAUAUCCACAUACUGGUCUUGUGGCCAGAAAACAAAGUAUACAGCAGAGCAUAUCAGUUUUUAUCAGAAUAGCCAAAUUUCACCUUACUCCAACAGCCAUGGUUCUGGGGCCUGAACAGAUCACCAUCGGAUGAAGGUAGGAGAUGCAUUCAGUGUUUUAGGUAGACGAAUCUUGAUGCCCAUGUGAUAAGGUUUAUCUCAUUUUCUUAUCAUCUCUUUUUUUUUUUUUUUUAAUAAUCUCUUGAAAUGGGUGGUAAUUGGAGAAAUCAUUCUAAGCUCUUGCAUGUAUUGGAUUAUUUUCGCCAGUACAUUAUAUUGUGGUUUUUUUUUCUGGAAAUGACGUAUGUUGUGGGUUUUUUUUAAUCUGAACCAUUUUUUUACCAUGCAUAAAUCACACUUAAAAUUAAAAAAAAAACCACCAUAAAUAAUUUUUUCCUAAAUAAUCAUGAAUUCAAAUGGAUAUAUUCAAGAUUAAUCACGAUAGAAAUGGAAAUUAUACUUAAACAAGUUCCAUUUUAGUGUAUCAAAUCCUCUAAUUUGCUGCGAGAUUGUUCGAAAAUACAAAAAACAAAUUAUAGAAAAAAAAAAAAAAAAAAAAGCUUUGAGGGUUUUAAUUGGUUGGAACACCAUUGACCUUUUUGCGUAACUCUUUUCUUUGGUGCCCCUAAAGAAAAUGUUAGACAACUAAUGGACAACUUGGGGCCGUCACUUCUCAUUCGUUUCAGUUUGAGCUGCCAAUUUCUUUUUCCUCUAAAAGUUUUUUUUUUUUCUUUAACUGAAUUUCCAUAAGAAUCUAAAUGCAUUUAAUGUUCGAGGAAACAACUCAAAAAAUUAUUUGUUUUUUUCUUUCUUAGUCCAUUGAGAUGACCGGGAAGCUCGAUCGCAAAACAUUUGUUCCAUAUGCCAGUGAAGCACUUACUCCCUCCGUCCCACUUUGAUAGUUCCGUAUUCCUUUUUCAUCUGUCUCAAAUUGUAGUCCACCUUCCAAUUGAAGAAUGUAGUUGUAUUUUAAUUUUCCUAAAAUACCCUUAUUCAAUGUAAGUAGUUGUUACUAUAAACCUACCCCAUUUAAUGAGAGUUGAUUCUUUUUUUACCAUUAAUUCAAGUUCCCAUAAAGUUGUACCAUAUUUAAUGUGAGGGUAUUUUAGGAAAAUAGCAAUCUAAAUUUACUUUUCCAACAAAAUUAACUACUUUUUCUUAAACUGUGUGAAAAAAGAAACGAAACUAUCAAAGUGGGACGGAGGGAGUAAUAAUUAUUCAGGGUUGUGGAGCGCAGAAGGAGUUAGACUGCCUUAACUUUAAAAACUAGCAAUUGGAGAAUUAUAGAAUGGUAGUACUCAAAAUUGUUUAUUUACUCCGUAUCCUUUUUUUGAAAAACAUCUAUAUAUGUCCAUUCAAUUGUUUACUCUUUCUUUAAAAAAGAAACCUUUAAUCUAGAAUAUGCUAGGAAUAAUUAUUUUUUUCCUUUUUUUUUUGUAAGUUUCAUUUCAAAGAGAAAGAUAAAAAGGUGAGAAAUUAUAUCCUCGUCAGGCCAGGGUACAAAUACUCUAAGAAUUUGAUACAUGACUAAACAUGGAGAAAAAUCUAAGAAUACGAAAAAAAAAAAUCUACACCCUUUCAACCGAGAACAUGGAGAAAAAUUUGAAACAUAAAAUUGAAGCCUGAAAAUGUUUAGUAUCCUAUGUUUACUAUAAAGAACCAAAAAGGAAUAAAUAUUAACCCCCCCCCCAAAAAAAAAAAAAAAAAAAAACACAAGGACUUGUCCACGAUGGUCACCUCCCAAAAUUUCAGCUAUGCUUUAUCUUAACAUGCUUGCUUCACAUUAUUUUAGCUUGCUUUUUGUUUUACUUGACCUAAAGUCUAAGUGCUAUCUUUUCGAAGAAAGAAGAAAUGAAGAUUAUAUCAGUCAUUAUCACAAUGAUGUUACUCUCCCCAUUCCAGUCACAUCUGAGUGUAGGGUAAUGCUGCAAUUCAUGGUCGGUAAGCAAUCCUAAAUAUUUGAUAAUUUUGUCACAUCAGCCAUGCCACUGUAAAAAAAAAAAAAAUUAUAUCCAAUCUCAUGAACCAAAAAGAUUUUCUUUCACAGGUUGGUGGCAGUGGCACCAUAAUAUUGAACCAAAUAUAAUGAUCAAGCCAUCUUUAUCAGCAGAGAUUCUUAGAACCCAUAAUUCAGAAAACAGGAAUUUUCUUAAUUUCCUGCUUGGCAGUAUUCCGCUUGUAAUGCGAGAACUUCAUAGUUCAUUCUUGACUUUACCACAAAGUUUUCAUAUCAUUUUUUUUUUUUUUUUGCAUGUGACCUACGACUAAAGUUUGUUGAAUUUCUUUCAUUGAUCAAGGUGUAUGUAAUCCACAGAUAUGUAUAAUUGUACGCAAGUUUUAAGCAUUAAAUAGUAGUGUACGUAGCAUUCAAAAAAAAAAAAAUAGUAGUGUACAUACAACUAUUUAAUUUUUCUUAAAAAAAAUGACUGAAAAGAGGAUUUCAACUUUUCUUGAGGGUCCUAUAUAUAGUACUCAAUGAUAUUGCUAAUCGGGAUUCAAGCAUGAAAUGACCCCCGAAAAAAAAAAUUUAUCGAGCGUUCACUUUAACCAAUCUUUUUCUUUUCUUUUUCAUGCUUUUACUGAUAAAGUUAGAGUAAUAUGUAAGAGCUGAUUUCAGAUCAUGAACUGCUCCUCGCUUUUGUCUUGAUUUGUUUCGAGUCCAACAGUAUAGCCUUUUAAAAAUGUCUUACUUGGAAGUGCGGUCAAGGUUAGUUAAAUACUCCAUCAUAGUGCUUUUUUUCUUUGUCAAAAGUUGGUAUUAUCAUUAAUAUUUUCAGAAAUCAAUGAUAAUACAAUCGCACUCUCGAUUUUGAUAGAUUAUAAGGGUCAUUUUGGUUGGAAUCAACAAUUUCAUAAACAAUUGUUGAGCUUAAAACCAAGCCAAAAAGAAACAUUCCCACCUGCCCAUCCGUGGUUUUUUCUUGUACUUGUACAGCUUGUGGAUGGUGCAGGUUUAACUCGUACAGGUCUUACCUAUUCGCACCGUCAGCAAGGCAGCGGCUCCUGUUGGUGUAUGAUGGCUAAGAUGGGCGCUGAAGAUUCCACUUGAUCUCCGCAGCCUCUCUUGGUGGGGCGCAAAGGCCAAGGGGGGUCGGCCCCCGACGAUCAAGUAAAAUAUACAGGUCCCGCAUGCAUGAUAACCUGGAACGAGGAAUAUUAUUAUUAUGGAGGCCGAAUUACACGACUCCUCCCUCAUGCACCUGAAGGUGAGCAGGCCACAUGUGCGGUUGCCAGUUGCGUACAUUCUUUUCUAAACGUCAUGAUGUAGUUGAAAUUAGUGAUGCAUGAAUAGAAUUUGGUUUAGCCAAGCAAAUGAUUAAUUUGAAAGAUACACUACUCUUUCUUCUUAAAAUCAAGAGCUGUGACGCGUAUGGAGUUUUAAUUAUUACGCAAUGAUUUAUUAACUAGUAUUUGUUCUUUGUAUUUGUUGUAUGCGUAUAGCUUAUGUACGUAAUUUCUGUCAUAUAUUGGUGUAGAUUGAUUUCAUUAUUAACGAAAUUUGAUGACGAAUAUGAUUUUGGUUGGUUUAAUUAUCUGUCAAUCAUGCUUACAUGACGUUUUUCGUAAAUGCUUUGUAUUGGUGGUUAAGAGUUUAGUGCCCGUAAUCAAUCGUUUUCCAAAACGAUUAAUUUAUUUGUUAAUUGCAUAAACUAAACGAAACCAACUACAUGUUUCUUGUAGAUCUAAAUGAAUGAAUGAACGCAAUAUGGAUGUUCGGGUAUAUGUUCCAUAAAUUAAGAAGAGCAAUCUUUUAGGUGUAACCUCAAAUUUUGUUCAUAAAACACACAUUUUUCAUUCUUCACUAACAAGUUUUGAUGUUUUUAUUUUCAUUUAUAUCAAGUGUUAGUUGCGAAAAAUAUUCAUGUACAUAAUUAUUUUAAACAUUGGAUUAGAAACUUUUUAUUAUGAUUUUAUUGUGGAGGUAGUUUUUAUUCUCUACUUUUGAGAUAUUAAUAUUUUGAAGGCCAUAGGAGAGUUGUAAUGAUGAUUCUAGGUUAAAUUAGCUUAUAUUGAAAAGGUAUUUGAGCAUUAAUAUUUAAUUUGGGAGUAUAAAGUUGGUUGUCAAUGGGCUUUUGUGUGUUUUCUUUUAUCGUGACAAGUAUUGAUACUGUAUAUGCAAUUUGGGAUCUUUUAAAUGACUACUUGACUUUAGAACUUAUGUUCGGAUAGUUAUUAGGGAUUUGGCUUGUUAAUUUAUGUAAAGUGUGGAAGAAAAUGAUUGGGUAUACUAUAUUUUUCUUUCUUAAUUUUGUACAAAGGGACCACUUUUUGAAAGAAAAUCUAAGUUUUUGGAUCUAUAUUGUUACUAAACAGUAAAAGUAGGGGAGGUAUAUAUAAUUUUUAAAACUUAAGGGGAGUUCUUUGUAAUUGUGAGAAACCUUAGGGGAGGUUUGUAAAAUUGUCCCUUUAUUUUUCUACCUUAGCAAGAGAGGCUAUCGGGAACUGAAUUCUUCAUCUUUUUAACAUCAGACCAUCCAAUUAGCCAGAUCAAGAACACCAAGGCGCUUCCGGUGAUAUCUUAAUUAUAAUAAGGUUAAAAAACUUACCUUUGACAUCUUGAACCUGAAUAUACAUCUCAUAGAGAUCACAACUCGAGCUGCCCACUAUGCUAAAGUUGAUGAGAAAUAAACACCCAAUUAACCACUACAAAUUAAGCACCACAGACAAUUAUCAACGUGGUUAAAUCCAAAUUAACAGUAAUCAGGUGGAUUAAGAAUUGAAAUUAGCAGAAAACCGCAUGUUGCUUGGGGUGGCAAAAUCUGUCUUUUUCUGUGGCCGCCAAACGAAAAUAAAUGAGGUGGGCUGCUGUCUUUGACCGACAUCACCUUCCUCGUCCCACCCCAAAAAACAUUCCACAGCCGCGAAUUCUUAUUUGCUUGAUUUCUCGGCAGUUUCUGCGUUCCAAGGACAUGCAAGGAAUAUACAAUUCACUAAACCUAAAAGAUAGAGUGUCCUUUUAUACUACUAAUAAUUAAAAAAAUUGUAAUAAUUGGCGACAGAUUCAUUGAUCUUAUCAUCUUCGAUUUGUAGAUACGGAAGAAUAUCAAUAGAAAACUAAUUCCGUCAGUGAUGAUCCCAUGCGAUUCUCCCAAGUGGGGCUUAUCAUGUAUGGUGGUGAAAGCUUAUUUACCGUAUCAGGUGCCCGUAAUAGGGGGUGUCAAUUAAACUUUCUGUGCCGGAUUUUAUUAGGCAAAGCAAGCUUUUUUUUGGGGAUGAAUUAGUCGAGCUCGAGUUGGCUCGAUCUCAUUGACAGUUCUAUCUAUAAUGCAUGAAUCUCAAAUUAACGAAAGUAAAUCGAGAUAAACCAUGCAAAUUUUUUUUUUUUGUUCGGUGUAAAUCUGAUCCAAUCAAUUAUGCAUCAAGAAAAAUAUGUAUGAAGCUCAAAAUCUCCACGAUGAAAGAAUUGAUGUGAUCUGAUUUAGACCUGAAUCCUGUUUGGAACUGCUCCAACUUAGCAGAAGCCAAUUUGGAAUCUUUGGCCGGUCAGUCUAGUUGUUGAAUACACAGUUGAAAACAUGAACACUACCUCCCUCUGAAGCUUCCCCCAAACGUCGCGCUGAGGACAUUAUCAAAAUAAAAAACCAUUAAUGGAGCAAAAGAACAAAAGGGUUCACUACAAAGGUAACAAGGACUUGUAGGUAUCUUUUAUUUUUAUGUGUGAAAACAUUUUCUUCAAUGUAAAAAGAAAUGUUAACCACCUUGUAGCGUAGUUCGAACUUACUAAUUUAUUGAAGCUUUAGAUAAAACGGCACCAGAAAGUUCAGAAACUGGUCGGGAAUAUAUAUAUAUAUAUAUAUAUAUACAUAUAUAUAUAUAUAUAUAUAUAUAUGUAACCCCUAGCUUGCUGAGCUCAUUCACAUAUGCACUGCCAAAAUCAAUCAUUCGAAAAAGAUGAUUCAUUGGAUACAUAUAUUGAAAUCGCACGAUGCAACCACUAUUGUAAUUGGAGUUUUACUUAUGCACUUUCAAAAAAAAAAAAAAAAAAAAAAAAAGUGAUUCCUAAAGUGGUCAAAAAUUUUGUUGUUCCCGAAGCUGCGAGCAUCUCCAAUGGGGGUGUAAUGGCUCCCCAUUACACCCCUCCAUGACACGGCUCCCCAUUGGAGCCGUGUCAUGCGGAUUACACGCAUCAUACAUAUGAUGCGUGUAAUCCGUUGAUUCUUCUUCCCAUGGCAACGGUAAUAUAACAUUCCAACGGCACAAUUUUCUUCCGAUUGAAUUUAACAUUCCAACGGCAUUAUUUUUUAGAAUUCUAUAUAAAUACACAACACUUUUUACUAAAACAUAUCCCAAUAUUCUACUCUAUUAUUUCUUUUAUUCUCUCACACACUUCUACUCUCUCACUCAUUUAAUUCAUUUUUUGUGAUUAUGGAUGAAAAUUGGAGUAGUUUUACAAAUAUGUUAAAUGCUCCAAAUAUAGAAAAUUCAUCAUCCUCACAAAAUCAAAACCCCCAAAUUAUUUGUUUAAUUUCCUACAUAAUUAUUUUUUAAAAAAUAACAAUAUAUUAUUUUUGAAACAUAGAAAAAAAUAUAUUAUUCAAACUUAAAAAUUAAUAAUAUCAUUUUUAGAAAAUAAAAAAAUUCAAAAUGUACAAAAUUUAACGAAAGUUAGUACUUUAUUUUUUAAAAAUAACAAAAUUAGUUUUAAAAAUUACUUUAUUUAUUUAUGGGAUAUGAGUUAAGCAUUAUUAAAAUAAAUAUUUGAUUAAUUGUGGACCCAUGCUAUUACACCUUGUGGAGUGUAAUCCAUUGUGAGUGAAAGUGUAAUAAAAGAGGAGAAAGUGGAAUGCUGACGUGGCAUGUGGAUUACACUCCAUAAAGUGUAAUUCAUUGUGGAUGCUCGGCGGACUAAGUUCUAUUAAUCAACUUCUCGAGACAAUUCCUAAUUUCUGUCCCAUUUUUUGAACCAUUUUGCUUUGCUUUCAUUUACACACAAGCUGCAUAUUUAAGCUUUCAGUUUUGUCGAAGCCAUAGAAUAAAUGCUAGAAUCACCGUUCAUACUUAAGGGCUGUGAUUAAUAUCUAUGUAUCUAAGAAUUAUAUUUUGUCUUUUCAUUUCAAAGUGGACCUUUCUAAUUGACCCAGUGGUAAGUAUUUAGGAACAUUAAAAGUAUGCAUAAAUUUAAGAGAGAAGUAAAGACAUGUGUAGCCGCUGGUUGUGAAGUCAAGUUACUUUUACAAGUGCACUAAUUACGAAUAUCUAAAUUAUAGUUAAAAAUCAGUAAAAGAUGCCAGAUCAAAGGGGAAAAAUUGGCAUUUAAGAUUUACAAACUGACAGCUCUAAUACUAAUAAAAUACUGACGGAUCAAGGGGAAAGAUGGCAGAUCAAGGAGAGAAAAAAAACGUUUAAGAUUUACAAAGUGACAGCUCUAAGACUAAUAAAAUAUUUUGCAAUACCUUAAUUUGAGUUUCUUAACAUAAGCUUUAAUAUAUUCCAACCUGAAAUGUCGAGUAUGCUUUAAUUAUUGAUCCAUAUUUUCUAUCACCUUUUCUUUUUUUUCGAUAUUUAUACAAUAAAUACAAAAGUGAGACAACUUCAUUUUGAUGAGAUUAUUUGAAAAUUAUUGUUUUAAUAUUUACAAAAUACGUUUUUCAAUCAUAUUUUUAUUUCACAUAAUUGACAUUAAAAUUUAAAAUAUCAAAACUUCUUUUUCCAAAUAACUAUCGAUCCAAACAAAACCCUCGACACGUCUAAGAAACCAUUGGCUUAUCAAAGGUUGUCCCAUGAGAAGUCCAAGUGGCCUAGGUCAAGGUUACCCCGUGAGAAGUCUAAAUGGCCUAGGUAAUUUUAUUAAAUAAGGGAUGUAAAUGUAAAUGUGUAUUAAAUAAUAUAUUAGAUUAAAGUAAAAGAUAAACAUUUUUUACAUGUGAAUAUUUAUUUGUUGAUUUAGACAAUUUCCAUAUAAUCUUUUUUAAAAUUUUAAAAUUCAUAUUUUUCAUAUGUGAUACACAUCCGAACACGUUAAAAUAAAAAUAUCUUUAUGCUGAUAAUUGAUAAAAGAUUUAACCUAAAUUAAAUAUAUUAAUAAUUACUUAAUAAAAUCCCUUCAAAAAUUAUACUAUAUAUACACACACACACAGUUUCAUUGGACUAUUAAGGGUUCCUAAAAGAGAAUCUUGCUUUCAGUUACAACAAUAAGUCCAAAAGAUUUACUUUAGCGAAUUGUUGUUGUUGCAGUUUUUUCUUCAUAGAAAAAAUUAUUUCAUUCAAUCAAUUUGUACUAUAGAAAUACAUCAAAUCGAACAUGACACAGAUAUAUAUAGAUACAAAUUUGAAAUCAAUAGAUACAACAAAUCUAAAAAAUCAAUACAAAUAAAAAAUGUGGUUAUUGUAAACCCAUGCAUCUGUGCGUGUCUUCUAACAAUUAGAUCUGAUUAAAAACUGGUUCAAACCGAAAAAGAAGUUUGGAUUUGACAAUAAUAAAUGGAGAAAUUAGAUCUAUAAAAUCUCAAAUUUCAUAGGAAAAGAUAAAAACUGAAACAAAACUCUUACAAAGAAAAACUCUAGGAGCGAAUAAGAUUCUGAAUAGAAUAAUUUAAGAGAAAGGAAACUGAAACUAGGAGAUUUUACGCCAGAAGAAUCUCUCUUUAAGAUCUCUCCUUAAAAAAACCCUAAAAGAGAAAUUAUUUCUAUAAAAUAAGCUAAAAAAAAACUCGAGAGAGGGCUUUCUUCCAUGGAGAUCCACCAAAUGAGUUGUUUCAACUCGGAAGUUUCAUCAUCUUAGCGAUGUUUUGAAAAUAGGACCGAACUGCCUGAUUUGACCGAUUGGAUUGUGAACCAGCUCCGAUUCACUAUUAGUGUUGACUUAUCAUAAAAAUCGAUCAAAAAUCGCAAAAAAUCAGCUAGAUCGUUCAAUCUGGGUUGACCCAUGAACUGUAAUUUUUCAUUUUUUUUCCAUCUUUUAUAUUAAAUGAACCUAAACAUAAAACUCAUCUAUCGAAUCUUUUGUUCUCUACCCUAAUUUCUAAAAGAAUAACCAAACUCUCUCUAUUGCUCACCCUUAAACUCAAAGAUCGUCGUGUUCUUUUGUAGUUUUAUUAGAUUUAGUUUAAUUUUAGAAGUUCCAAUGCAUUUUGUUUAAUUUGAGAAUAUGGUUGUGAUUCAUGUAGGAUUUAAGAUUUUUUUCCAAAUAGGUACAAUUGAGAUGAAUAUAUUUGUUUGAAUUCACAAUUUUAAAUAUUUAUUUGUGUUUAAAAAUAUUUAACAUUUUAUCCGAUGAUAUCUUAACUUGGUCCAUGAGAUAUCUUAUUAGAUAAGCGUGUCAUCGAACUAGAGUUGAACCUGUUUGAAUUUCGAUUCGAUCACUCUGCCGGUUCAAUUAGCGGUCUGAGUUUUAAAACAUUUUAUUAUAUCUCAGCAGACAAAAAUUUCAUGGUGUCAAUGUCUUCAAUCUCCAUUUGACAGCCGACGUUUUGCGGCCUAUCAUUCGAUGAAUCAAAUGGCGCUUGUGCAUUCACAAAAAUCACCAGCCCACCGUCUCCUCUUCUGCAAUAUCAGGGGCCACACAACGUCAUUGUGAGCAGUAAGUGCCGUGCGGUUAUAAUCACGUAGUAUGCUUUAAUUUCACCACAGUUCUCUAAGCCUACAUAUUCUCACCGUCCAGCGCUGUCUUACGUGGAACUCUCAUUAUGCUUGCUGACGUCCUUUUCUACGAAUAAAUAAACCUCAAUAAUUGACUUCCUAAUUCAACCUUUGCCAUCAUACAUUCCCAAAAUUGCACAAACUUUAGACGUUGACGAUGUUGCCCCCACCUCAAUUCCACCCACAUCGUAGACGUGGCACUUCUGUAAUUGUCAUCUUUUUCUUGGACUACAAUUGCAUCAUAUUAUAUGUAUUACUAAUAUAAUAAUUUUUUUUUCCUAGUCUGUGCCUUAAUAUAAAUAUUAUGUACAUAUAAAACAUGGUGACAAGAAGGACAAAAAAGUAAUUUCGAUAAGACAAGAAGUUGGCUUCAAAGUGUUUUACUCGCUUACCUCUGCUCGUUUACCGCAUGUGCCGCACACGUGUCUCGCCCAAUCAUUCACAUAAUCCAAACGCUGCAGUUAGUACCCAUCGACGAUCUUGACACGUAAUCCUUCCAUCAAGCUGAUCACAGCCGUCAGAUUGAAGAGCCGGAGGAUAAUCUAAAUUGACCAUUUUACCCUACAUCGACUAUAUAUUUGCCCACCUGAGGAACUAGGCAAGAAAUUAGAGAAGAGAGGCGACUAGAGAGCUCUCGUUGGUUUAGCUCGCCAACCCUAGUGAAAGCCCUUAUUUCUUUGCCUUCCUCUACUGCCCCAGUUGCGAAUGCAGAGAGAUGAGAAUUGCUUCGCUUCUUAACCCCCAUUUGGGCGGCGGAAGGUCCCAAAAACAACCCACCGGCGGCAGGAAUUGCCACCGGAAACACGUCGAAGACGGGUGAAUCCUUUCACCCCUUCUCAGCCAGCUUAAAUAUUUUCCCAGUCCAACAAAACAGUGCAGUUCUUCAGCCUGUCAACCAAAACAAACCCUUUAGUUUUCUUGUACUAUUUUCAUUUUUUUUCAGCAAAAUCAUUCUACAGAGCGCCGAUGACAAUGGGGUCCGAGGAGAAAUGCGGAGUACUUCGCGGAAAGUACGAGCUGGGGCGGCUUUUGGGCCACGGGACUUUUGCUAAGGUGUAUAUGUCGCGGAACCUGCAAACGGGCAAGAGCGUGGCCAUGAAAGUUGUCGGGAAAGAGAAGGUG